RNAcentral lists this long non-coding RNA (89723 nucleotides) under Gossypium barbadense (sea-island cotton). Its description in RNAcentral is "long non-coding RNA (GBAR_LNC012097)". The stretch from base 2597 to 2721 matches the Rfam family "MIR7504 microRNA precursor family". Lineage: Eukaryota; Viridiplantae; Streptophyta; Magnoliopsida; Malvales; Malvaceae. The record is from RNAcentral.
AUUAAACGCAUGGUGGUCAAUCCCAACUGCAUUCCAGGACAUCCUCUACGGCCACUCCCAAACGGGAUGAGUUGGAAAUCAUGUCCUCGAACGUCUAUGUUGCUAUCCUUGAACCUUUCUGGAAAGAACUCUUCAGCAUUGUUUGACCAUACUUUAUGGUCUCGCCCGAUGGACCAAAUAUUCACUAAAAUUCGUGACUUCUUUGGAAUGAAAUAUCCAUUAAUGGUGAUAUCUUCUGUCGAUUCACGUGAAAGUAGAAAGGGCGCCACCGGAUGCAACCUUAAACUCUCUUUGAUGACCAUAUCUAAGUAAGUAAGCUUCGGUAGAUCCGACUCUUCUACCAUUCUAUGCCUUCCAACAAUUCUUUCUAGUUCUUGCUGGAGAACAACCAUUACUGGAGGAUGCCUUAGAAGCUCUGCAAGUGUCCACUCAAUGGCUGUAGUUGUGGUCUCAAAUGAAGCUGCCACCAUGUCCACCAUUAUGGCCUUGAUGUUUUCUCUACCAAUGAUGUACCGCUGCUCUUCAUCGUUAGGGUUAAUGGGCGUAUUCAACAAUGAAACCAUUACAUGAAAGAAAUCUGUGUAAGGUUUUUGUUCCUUGGCGUUAGUCCCUUGUAAAUGUUCAUCAAUCAUUUUGUCAAUAAUUGCGUGAAGCCCAUUGCUUGUCCUCUUAAGCCUUCUUCUAUAUCCCUGCAGUGAAACGAUAGAUGGAAUCUGUAAUAUAUUAUUUUAUUCUUCAUUUCUCUCAAGUCUUUCUGAAAAUACUAGAUUUAUUUGGUCAAUCAAAUAUAUAUAUAUAUUUUUAAUUCGAACUAGAUAAUUUCUAAGGAAGGUAAAGAUACAACCACUAUGUCACAACUUGAGAUUCAUCAAGUAUUUUAAUCUUUUAAAAAUUUAUAAAAUCAAAUUAUUCAAACAUAAUUAAACUCUUAAAACAGUACUUCUUUAUAACUAGUCUAGACCGAUUGAUUAAAUCAACCGUUGAAUAGGUUUUCUCUUUUUUAUUUUUAUGAUUUAAAAAUAAUUUAAUCAAUUGAAACGAUUUUCAAUGAUUAAAGUGCAACAAAUAAUUUAAAAAAUCAUAAGAACUAGUGUGACGCAAAACAACUAAAAGCAUGAAACUUGACUUUUUUUUUAAAAAAAAAAGGAAAGGGGUUGAAGUAAUUUGUUCAUGGAUCGGGUUAUCUAUUUAGGCUUGAAGGCCUGUCCGAAAUUUAGGAGGGUUUGGGCAAAAAUAUUAGGUUCGAAAAAUGAGUUUAGGCAAAAAAAUUAGGCUCAUUUAAAAUAUGGGUUGGGCUCGAGCUUAAACAUUCAAGGCUUAAGUCUGGUUCAACCCGUUUUAAAGUUUAUAAUACUUUAUAUUAUGUAAUUUAUAACACAUUAAAAAACAAACCUAUAGUAAAUAUAUAAUACCACUCUAAUGUAAACAUUAAAAUAAUGUUAAUAUGAUUAUAUAAAAAAUUUCAAAAAAUAAAAAUGUAUAAAAUUAUUAAAUAUUAAAAUAAUAUAAUAUAAAUAUUUUAAAAAAAUAAAAAAAAUAUGGACGAGCCUAAAAUAGGCUUGAGUUAAUUUUUUGCAAAUUUAAGUGAGUUUAGAUAAAAUUUUAAACUCAUAUUCUGGAUCAAACCGAACUUGAACAAACAUAAAAUAUAUUAUUAUUAUUAUAUUUAAUACCGACCCAUGAACACUUUAGGUUGAAGGGAGAAGAGACUAGUAUUUUUGGAGCUUGAAUUUUUGUUUUUAAAGGUUGAACCUUGAAGUUCUAGUUGCGAAUAAUUUGUGAAUAUUUUUAAAACUUGAAGCUCGAUGGAGUAAUAUAUUAAAUAUUUAUUAAAUUUAUAAUUAUUUUAUUUAAAAUGUAUUUUAUGUCACUCUCAAUUUGUAAGUCAUAACUCGGUAGUUUUUUUUUUAAAUUAUUUAAUUAUAAAAAUAAGUUUUUAUAAAUAUUAUUUACUCUAUUAAUAACCUUUCACUUUUUAAACAUAAUGUUAUUUUAUUAAAAAAGUUAUUUCAUGGAUCUUUCCUAACACAUUAUUUGCAAUCCCUAAUUAAUUAUAUAAGGUUUAACUCAUAAAUUGGUACUUAAACUAUACUGAUUUUUCCAUCUUGGUAUCUAAAUUUUUUUCAGUCACAUGUGACACUUAAAUUACUUUUUUUUUUCAAGUUGGUACCUCUGUUAAGUUAAUCAUUAGUCAAACCGUUAAAUCUAUUUUAAAAAAUAAGCUUAACCCAUAAAUUGGUACCUAAACUAUACAUUUUUUCCAGUUUGGCACCUAAAUAUUUUUUUAGUUACAAGUGAUACCUAAACAACCAGGGGCGAAGCCAGAAAUGAAAUUUUAAAUUUUAAUAGUUUAUAUAUUUAUAAUUUUUAAAGGAUUAAAUCAAAUUUUUAUAAUUUUAGGAGGCCAAAGUGCAAUUUUAUCUUUACUAAAUUAAAAUUUUAAAAAUUUCUAAAAGACCUAAAUAACAAUUUUUCCUUGUCAGCCCCCUUAGAUUCGCCUCUGUAAACUACUUUUUUUCCCCAAAUUGGUAUAUAUGUUAGUUCAAGAUUGUGGAUUGUAUGAAGUUGUGAUUCCACGUCAUCCAUAUCUCAUUCCAAUAAGAUAAUGACAAAUAAGAUUUUUCCUCUUGAUUUUUAGCAUUUUCAAUUGGAUUUGAAUUUUUUUCAGAAGAAAAAAAGCUAAAAAUCGAGAGGAAAAAUCUAAUUUGUUAUUCUCCUAUUAGAAAAGGAUAUAGAUGAUAUACAAUCAUAGUUUCGUAUAAUCCUUUCUCGUUAGUUCAAUUGUUAGUUAAACUAUUAAACCUAUUUUUUAAAAAGAUGACGUGUUAAAAAAGGCAAUUUUUUUUUCUCUUGUACAUAUAUAUUUUUAUUUUUUUCUUUAAAACCAAACUGAUGGUUGAACCGAUUAAGUCACCAAUUCUCAAUUUGAUCAGUUUUUUUGGUUCGAUGAAAUAUUAUUGGUGAUAGGCUUCUUUUUUUUUUUUUUAACUUCAGCUCUUGUUUUCAUGAUAGAUUUUUUUUUUCUAAUUUAGAAGGGUGUGCCUUGAUACAUUGGCAACAUCCACUUAAAAAUAUAUAUAUUUCAUUUUUCUCUCAUCAUGUAUACUUGUGAAAAUACAAAUAUUUUUAAAAAGAUAUACACUGGUUUCGCUAGACACAGUGAUGGCACUAAUAAUGUUUUUAAAGAAAAAACAUAAUUAUUGGCUGAUGAUUGGUCGAAAAAGUUGUGACGUAGCCGAUGUGUCAAAUGACACCUGUUUGCACAGUAACAAACAACUCAUUUUCGUAAAUAAAUUUUUAUAUUAUUUUUAUAAAAAGCGACAUCUUAUACAAUUUUCAUAAUUUAUUUAUUUUUAUAUUAUUUUGAUAAAAGAAAAAAACCCAAGAUGGAGCAAGUAAUUACAAAAUAAAUUGUGAAAAGGAAAACAGUGCAUAUAAAAUAGGAUAAAAUGAGAAAAAGAAAGGAUAUUCACCUGAAGGUCAAGUGGAGCAAGAAAAGGUAAAUAAUCGGACAGAUUAAAAACCCCAGCCAAGAUCAUGGUCUCGUCAAUUAGCGGUUUAAAUUGGAAUUUAUCAUCCAUGGAUUGCCCGAAAAUCACUUUACACAUCAUUACUUCAGUAACCUUACCUACCUUCCGGCUAAGGUCCACCGUCUCACCCGCCGCCACUGCCUUCCUCACCGAUUCAACCAAUGACACCACCUCUUUCUUUCGUACUGGGGCAAAGCAUUCGAUUUUUGAAGCGCCAAGGAAGUGCAAAGUGCACCAUUUCCGUACAGUUCGCCAAUAGGAACCGUAGUGGGUAAAAGCCAAGCCCUUGCCACCGUAGGUCAAGUACUCGGUAGAUUGGAGGUUAGGCCUGGAAGCAAAAACGAGGUCAUGGACCUUGAGGAACAGUUCAGCGGCUUCAGGUGAUGAUACCACAAUGGUUGGCACAUAGCCUAGCUUUAUUGACAUUAUGGGUCCAUAUUUUUUGCCGAGAUGGUGAAGGGUUUGGUGAGGAAGGUUCCCUAGCAUAUGGAGGUUACCAAUAAUGGGAAGAGGAGCAGGACCGGGUGGAGGCUUCCGGCCAUUUUUGUGGUGGUGUCGUGGGCGGAAGAAGUAGAUAAAGGAACAAAGUGGUACAAGGAGUACCAAGAGUAUGGCUAACGUUGAAUAAUACAUUUGGGAUGGGAAAGGAGAGGCAGCCGAUUGACAAUUGACAAUUGACAAUUGACAACCCCACCUUAAAUAAGAAAGGAACAAGUAAGAGUUCCAAGUUGGUUGACAAGUAAUAGUGUAAGUUCCAAGUUGGUUGACAAGUAAUAGUGUAAUUACAAAUAAAUAACCGAAAUAUGAACCAUAUAUUUCUCAAACAAAAGAAGAAUAACAUUAAACAUUUUUAUCGAAAACUACAAAAACAGAAAAAAAUAGCAGCAUCUUUGGUUGGCAGCCAUUCCAUUCACUUCAGAUUCAAUGUUGAACAAUAAUUCAAUAGUUUGAUUCAUUAGUAGGUUAUUCAGUGGAAUCCAUUUCUUCUCUAUUCAUUAAAUUCAUCGAAUCAACAUUCAGUAAAAAAAGUUAAGAGUAGCUAUUCAACAUCAACACAAAUAAAAAUUUUUUGUUUUAGUCAAUUUUACCCACUCUUAGUCAUUUUCAAAAGCUUCAAAAAUAAAUUGCAGAACCCAUUUCUGUUUCCAUUUUGUUUUUACUUUAAUUUUAUUCCUCAUUCUCUUCUACUCUCCAUCAAUUUCUAGAACAUAAUAAGAAAGAAUAAAAAUUCUUUUCUCAACACUUUCAGCUCUUGAUCAAUUUCCAGAAUAUAACCAAAAAACUAAAACUAAAACCCAUUUCUUAAUAAUAGAUCCAUAAAAUUUGAUUUUGAAAGGGAAGCUUUCUUACUCAUUUUUCUUACAUAUAAUAGAUAAAUAAAGGGAGAAAACAAGAAGAUGAAAAAAAAAGCUUAAAUUAGUAGCUUUUGGAGCAAGUGAAAUAGUGGACAAUGGCGCCACCGGUGGUGGACUGUUGGUAAUUAAUUCCAAUUCAUGUUAAGAGAAAAUUAGAUGAAGAAGAUAAGUGGCUAAGAGUAAUGAGGAAGAAGACGAGAAGAGAAAAUAUUAAAGGAAGAAGAUGAGAGAGAGGGACCAUAAAAAAAAGAGAAAAAUAAAAACACUAAAAAAUAAUAUUAAAUUUUCUAUAAUUAGGUGGGUGUUAAAUCAAUUUUAAAAAAUAAUUUUUUUAAAUAUAAAUACAUGAUUUUUUUAUAUAGUACUAUAUAAAAAAUACCCAAAAGAAAUUUUGAACAAAUUAAUAUUUGAAAUAUAAUUUAUAAAAAUAUCUCUUGAUAUUAAUUUUUACCAUAAUAUUCUUAUUUUAUUAUUAAGUCUAAUAAAUUUAAAUAUACUGUAGCGACGUAAAAAUUUUAGUUUCGGUCGCUAAUUGUGGCGAUCUAGUGAAAAAGUUUGGAAACUGAAGUUCGAUUUUAAAAUAAAGAGGGAGUCGCCACCGAUCCUUUUUCCUAGGUGUGAUCGGACACCUACUAGAUUCAUUUUUUUAAAAACAAAAGGAAGGCUGAAUUUAGGUCUACGUUAAAAGCCAGAGAAAAAUUAGGGUUCGGGAGUCGGUUACGCGCGAGGAAGGUAUUAGCACCCUCGCGACGCCCAAAAUUGGUAUCUCAUAAACACGCGUUGUCUUAAUUUUCAAAAAUAAGAGUUCAAUGUAAAAUUUAGUCAUAAUCCGAUUAAAAGAACGAGAAAUUUUGGUUUAUUUCGUUUUUUUAGAAGGGUAUAUCGCUUUAACAUGAGUCAAUUGACGUUCACCCAACAUAGCGACGAACUCGAUAACUUAAUGUUAAAUCGGUAUAUUGCCUUGAUUAUUGAAAUUAAUUAGAAAACCGGAAUGUAAUUUUCAGGAGAAUGCAAGACAUAAUUGAUACGAAAUGAAAAUAAGUAAAUGAAAUGGCUUGAUACAUUUGAAACAAAUAACAAACAUGACAAUAAUAUUAGAAAAUAAUAACCGCGCAUGCAAGAUCAAAUGCAAUGUUAGCAUUGAAUACGAGAACGUAAAGAGAAUACGAUGAAUAUACACAUGAAAAUAAUUAAGAAUAUAUAUGUAAAAUACGUAUAUAUAAAUAUUAAUGGUAUUAGAAAGAUAUAUAAGAUAAUAAAAAUAUAUAGCUAGUAAUGUUAAAUAUAUAUUCAUAAUAUUUACAUAUGUACAUAAAAUAAAUAUUGAGGAACACAUGCACCUAAAGAACAUAUAUAUAUACCAAUAUAUAUAAUAAUAUUAUGAAGGGGAACGAAACAAAUAAUGCAUAGGAUUAAAACGAAGUUUUGAAAAAUUAUUACCUAUAUACAUAUAUAAUAAUAAAAAUGGAUACAUGAAAUGACAUGAGAAAUAUACGUAAGAACUUAGUAUACAAAACUAACAAUUAAGUAGAAUCAUAUACAUGCACGGUAUUAAAAUGUAUAUACAUACAUAAUAAUAAUGUGGGGACGCCUAUUAAUAAUAUUACAUAAAUAUAUACAUAUAUGUAUAAUAAUGAUGAAAAUAAUAAUAAUAAUGAAAAUAAAUAAUAUAAUAAUAAAUAUAAUAGUAAAAAAAAGAUAAUACUAUAUGAAAUGUGUAUAUCUAUAAUAACAUAAAUAUGCUAAUAUGAAUAAUGAUAAUAAUACUAAUAAUAAUAAAAUACAAAGAAGUAUAUAUAAUAUAAUAAUAAUAUUAAAAUACAAUAAUUAAAAGUAAUAUUAUAUAUAAAUAUAUACAAUAUUCACAUGUAAAAGAAAAAUGUAUACUAAUAUAUAGUAAUAAUAAUAAUAUAAUAUUGGAAAUAACAAUAAUCAUAUUAAAUAAGGAAACAAAAAAAUGACCAAAAAUGAACUAAAAACAAAGCUUUGGGGCGAAUUUAAAAAAAAAAUUAAAGGGGAAAGGACCUAUUUGAAUGCGGGUAAAACCAUGGGGCAUUAAAAGUGCAAAAUUUCAAACUUUCCAAAACGCUGCGCAUAUACGGGGGUUAAAUAAAAAACUGAGCAAAAUUCUGGGGUCAAUUCAGAAACAAACAUAAACCUAAUUUAAAACACCAAAAAUGCGGAAGGGCCGAUUGCGCAAAUAGCCCUUCCGUUCUUAAAAGCACGCAGAUCCUUGCUAGGGCGGGUCGGGUCGACCCGACCCACCCUUGAAACGGCGUCGUUUUAUUGGUUAAAGGGGGAAAUUGGGGCGCAAAUUGAAGGUUGUGCACAAGGGAAGGAUUCAGCGCGCAAUUUCCCCAUUCACACAACAUGGCGCAGACCCAUUUUUCUAUUCGGGCCCACACGUGGACCCUUAUGGUCAUGGGCAGCACUGUUUUGUAUUUCAGACCAUUUUAAACCAUUUUCCCUUCCUUUCCUUUCAAAUACCCAUCCAUUUUAACAAAAACCAGCAGCCUUGAAAAUAAAUUUGCUAGGGUUCCUUUUACAAGCAGCUGAAUCUCCAUCGGAUUUGGUGUCCAGCGGCGCACAAAACAAUUCCUGGUUCUGUUGCCGUAAGUAUUCGACCAUGCCUUGAGGAAAUUAGUAGUAUUUUCUUUUUUACUUGAGAAAAAAUAAAACUUCAAAUCUCAUACAUUUUUAAAAAACGAAGAAAGUUCAUAAAAUAGAGAUUCAACACCACUUGACCCCUCUCCCCUACUUUUGUAUCUUAAAGUAUUCGGGAUCUCAUUGGAGUCGAUUUACCUACUAAAAGACGAUCUAAACCAAACAAAAAAAGGAAAAAAAAAAAGAAAGAACGAAAGAAAACUUGAGAUUACCCUUGCAAAUUCUUAAUUGUUUUUUUUAUAUUUCUGUGCGUGUAUAUUCUGUGUGCGUCUGUGUUCGUGUUCCCCUUUUCUUUUAUUUACUCUCGAAAUAAAAAAAGAAAAUAAUCACAAAGAGAAAGCCCAGAGAUUUCGAUCGGAGAAAUCACCUUCCAAUAUUGCUUUUUUUGUAUUGCCUAUUGUGUAUUCGUUCGUAAAAAUAUGCCCCCCUUUACAUUGAUUCUCUUUCGGCUUUUAUAGCCGAUUACAUGUGAUUUUCACUGCUCUCUGCUUGUUUUGCUUUUGCUUUGCAUGUUUCUCCAUUCCUUUCCUGUCUUCUUUUGUUUAUUCUUUCCCCCAUCCCUCGCAUGCUGUUGUUUUUGUCUUUUUCGUUUGUCUGUUACUUUUGUUGUCUUCUUGCUUGCGUGUUGCAGGUGGUGUCAGAGGGCGUCAGACGCAUGGGUGGCCGGUGAUAGGCUGGAGGCGUGGCAGAUAAGGAGGCCACAUGAGGCAUGCGACGGCCAGCUAGGGUUUGCUGCUGAAAUUUUGCUGAAAAAUGUUUUAGAUUUUGGGCCAUUUGGGUUUUAGGGUUUUGAUUUGUUUGGGUUUAAAUUUUGGGUCAGAUUUUGGGUUUGUAAAUGGGCUGUUACUUUUGGGUUUAUUAUUUGAGUUAUUUUAUUGGUAUGGGCCCGGGCAAAAUGGGCUCGUACAGCUGCCCCUCUUUGCUCGUUGUCGUGUAACGAGAACAGAGCAAAGACUAAGAAGGCCAAUUUUGCCCGGUCUCACCGAGUCUUGACUUUAUGGUGCUUAUCUUCUUCAAGUAACCUCAUUUCAGUCCACUGCGUCUUCUUGCUUUGAUCCACUUCACGGCAACUUCAAAAAGAGAUAUGCUUGUGGCUUUAAUCCACUCUGCUACAACUCCAUGGGGAUGAGAUUGGUUUUUUUCGUCUGCUCCACUGAUGCUUAGGGAGAUAAGACUGGAUGUGAUCUGCUCCACUGCUGCUUAGGGAGAUAAGAUCUGUGGUUUUGUCCGCUCCGCUACUACUUAGGGAGAUAAGACUUGAUGCGAUCUGCUCCACUACUGCUUAGGGAGAUAAGAUCUGUGGUUUUGUCCACUCCGCUACUGCUUAGGGAGAUAAGACUUGAUGCGAUCUACUCCAUUAUUGCUUAGGGAGAUAAGAUCUGUGGUUCUGUCUGCUCCACUAUUGCUUAGGGAGAUAAGACUUGCAACUUUUGACCAGUUCCACUAUAGCUUCAGGGAGACCAAGUCUGGUGUCUUUCAUCAACUUCAAUCUUUAUUCUUACUCGGCAUGUGAUCUUGAGCCCAACUCAUUUCUCGCAAUAUGAAUUGGCUCUUUAAAAACAGACAUUAAAAACAAAAGCUAAAGAUAUCUCAACAUGUGAACUGAGGCUCAACUCACUUUUCGCAAUAUGAGUUGAUUUUUUUGACAACAGAAAUUGAAAUUACCUCAGCGUGUCCUGAGGCUCAACUCAUUUCUCGCAAUAUGAGUUGAAUUUUGAAAAGCAGAAAUUGAAAAUACCUCAACGUGUCUUGAGGCUCAACUCAUUUCUCGCAAUAUAAGUUGAAUUUUGAAAACAGAAAUUGAAAUUACCUCAGCGUGUCCUGAGGCUCAACUCAUUUCUCGCAAUAUGAGUUGAUUUUUUUUAACAACAGAAAUUGAAAUUACCUCAGCGUGUCCUGAGGCUCAACUCACCUCUAGCAAUAUGAGUUGAUUUUGAAAAAGUAAAAAUUAAAAGGUUCAACCCACCUAUCGCAAUAUGAGUUGAUUCUUGACAAACAGAAAUUGAAAUUACCUCAUCGUGUCCUGAGGCUCAACUCACCUCUCGCAAUAUGAGUCAAUUUAAAACAUAAACUAAAAAUACCUCGGCGUGCCCCGAGGCUCAACUCACUUUUCGCAAUAUGAGUUGAUUUUGAAAAACAGAAAUUAAAAGGUUCAACCCACCUCUCGCAAUAUGAGUUGAUUUUUGAAAACCAGAAAUUAAAAGGUUCAACUCACCUCUCGCAAUAUGAGUCAAUUUAAAACAUAAACUAAAAAUACCUCGGCGUGCCCCGAGGCUCAACUCACUUCUCGCAAUAUGAGUUGAUUUUGAAAAAUAGAAAUUAAAAGGUUCAACCCACCUCUCGCAAUAUGAGUUGAUUUUUGAAAACCAGAAAUUAAAAGGUUCAACUCACCUCUCGCAAUAUGAGUUGAUUUUUUGAAAAACAGGAAUUAAAAGGCUCAACUCACCUCUCGUAAUAUGAGUUGAUUUUUGAAACUUAAUUUGAAAAGCAGAUUUUGAAAAUACCUCAAUGUGUCUUGAGGCUCAACUCAUUUCUCGCAAAAUGAGUUGAAUUUUGAAAACAGAAAUUGAAAUUACCUCAACGUGUCUUGAGGCUCAACUCAUUUCUCGCAAUAUGAGUUGAAUUUUGAAAAGCAAAAAUUGAAAAUACCUCAAUGUGUCUUGAGGCUCAACUCAUUUCUCGCAAUAUGAGUUGAAUUUUGAAAAGCAAAGAUUGAAAUUACCUCAACGUGUCUUGAGGCUCAACUCAUUUCUCGCAAUAUGAGUUGAAUUUUUGAAACAGAAAUAAAAGCAUCAGAAUACCAAAACAUGUUAUCUGGUGGAACUCAGGUGUCUUUUCCUUUAAUUCAAUACAACUAUCAUCACAUCUUCUUAUUCUACUGGAGUACCUGUAUAUGUCAUGCAUGAUGUUAUCAUGAUAUGCACAUGUUUGUCUUAAAUGCCUUUAUGCCUACAUGAUUAUGCUAUGCGCCUUAGGCAUGUUUGCCGUAUGUCCCUUUCCGUCAUGAUUUUUGAUGAUCUGUGUUCAUUGCUUUGACUCUUGACUUUCUCUUCAGGCCCUGUACCCGUCCUCUGGCUUCACGAGUAAUCUGCGUUUCUCAGUUAUCGCUCUCUUGCCCCUGGUUGAACUUUGUCCUUGCGUUGAGGCUCUUGUACUUAUCAAAUUCUCAUCCGGGUAAUGCUCAACAUUUCUUUUGUUUGGAGCAUGUCAUUUCAAAAUACUCUAGAUCUUCAACGCAUGAACUCUUCCACAUUUCUUAAUCAAGAAUCUUUUUGAGUAUGUCUUCUUGCGUAUAAAUUUUCGAGCUGCUAAAAAUCCUUCAAAUACUGUAGUCUUGCUGCUUGACUCACUUCUUGAAUCUUUUUACUCAUUGGGCCCAAACCUGCUUCAUUAGGACGCCAUUUCGGGUUUUCAUCCUAAUUUUUAUUUAUCAAGACACCCUUUUCAGGUUUUCAUCUCAAUCUUCUUCUUUUUUUUAAGGCGUCAUCACUCAUUGCCCAUCAGGGCUCUAUUACGGACGUAGUACGCUGCCCUAAUGCUCGGUUGGUAUUUUGACCCAAAAUCCGAAGAAAUAAUCGCGUUUUGCUCAGCCCCACCGUAAUUUUAGGGUCCAUUCUACUGUAAUUUUGGGAUACAAGGUUGGCACUAUCCUUAAACCAUUCCACUGCAAUUCAUGGCUAUAGGAUCUGUAUCCUACUGUAACUCAAGGGUGUAUGAUCUGUAAUUUGUUCCAUCGACUGAUAUUUUUGACAGAAAAUCUGAGGAGAUAAACUCAAUUUGAACUAAAAUAUUUCCAACCCUUACCCUUGGUAAGCUCUUGAACAACCGACUGGUUUCAGGUUCCUGUACUAUUUAGAAGCUUUCAGAGUAAUAUGCAAAAUUCCUUUUAUAAAAGUAUGAUUAGUCCAUUAAUCAUUAUUUCAAUGCGAAAUGCUUGAAAAGGAUCGAACUGAUGGACAAGAAGAGAAUCGGUUAAGAGCAUAGCUCGAAACAAAUAAGUUGAACAAUGAGAGUAAAUGCAAGUUUAUUGGAAGCUUAUUUUGAAAAGAAUAAGAUAAUCAAAGAUAAAUUCAGAAAUGGGUAAAAUGGAAAGCUAAGUACCCCAAAUAUCGCCGCCUGAGCUUCUCUGUACAAACUCCUUUUGAGACAAUUUCGAGUUCAACAUGUGUUUGGGGAUUCAGAGUACUUUGUCAAUGCUCCAAGACGUAACAUACUUCUUCACUGUCAAUUUAAGUAUAGCAAGACUACCAUAUGCCCCACCUUUGAACAAGAUUUGAGCUGCCUUUUCCAGGUUUUCAACUCAAAACCCCUUUGGUCUCAAGGUGCCCUUUGCGGGUUUUCACCUUGACCUCUCCAUUUUCUUUUCUUUUUUUUUUGAAUGAAUGAAGGUCACAAGGCGCCCUUUGCGGGUUUUCACCUUGGCCACUCCUUUUCAUGUAUUUCUGGACUGAAUCCGAAUUUAGGAUUGGAUUAGUGUUCUUUCGGGGAAAGCCUCCUUUACCGCAUAAAGUUCUUAAGCAUCCAUUUCCCUUUGGAAUCCUUUUGUAUAGCAAGGAUCUUCUGCAAUACCAAGUUCCUACAAUGAAAUUCCUUUGGGUGAACCAUUUCCGCCAUAACUCAGCAUCAUAGGCGUUUGACCUUCAAAUCCUUUUCUGCAGUCAAGUUUAAUGAAGACAUUUUACUUCAUCCAAUCCUUGAUUCAACAAAGCUUGGAGAAAAAGAAUCUUAAUUUCCAUGGACAGAACCACCUCUAAUGCCCCAGUGAAGGUCCUGGUCAACUUUAAUAAGCACAAAGAGUAAAAGGUAGCUUCUUAUGUCAAUAUUUACAAGUCUCGGUCACCUUCUAUAACUUUUCUUGAUUUUUGUAUCUUUCUUUUGGCAGCCUUUGUUGUAUUGUGAUAUGACAUUGUACAGUUACGCAUUAAAACAUGAUUCUUUCUGGCAUUUGAUUUUUUUUUUCUUGUCUUUUUUUUUGUUUUUUUGUUUUGUUUUCUUUUUCUUUUCAUGACUGUCGACCUUAUAAUAUUGGCAUAUGAAGCUACAUUCAUCUUCUUAGUGAAGCAAUUGACGGCCACGACGAUGAUGUCGACUGGAAGCUUUUGACGAGAUCAUCCCCAGAACAUCUAUGCCCCACGUAUUGAAAAGUUUGUGAAGAGAUGAAAGAAGCACGUGAGUCUUGACGUCAUAACUGAUGCUAUUCCCUUCCCAUGGUGGACCAACAACAUCUGAUCCUCAUUGAUUAGCUUGGCUAUUGCAGAACCAUUGUCAUGUGUUCUCUAGACACCCUUAUGGACCUCUUUCCAGAUGUUCCUGAGUGCGCCUUAAUAUGAUCGUGCAAAAACAUCCUUAAAUUCUUAGAAAUAACUCAAUAGUCUUGCCUUAUUUUUGCGGUGAGCUAGGUUUCGAUCUUCAUCAUUUUCCCAAGCUCACAAUGUCAGCUGACCCUUUGUAAGUUAGGGUCUGUUUUUCAUCUCAUUCUGUUAUCCUUCACAAAUCAGAAGAUGGACACAGUCUCUGUCAUCUUCCAAGUCCUGAGAUUCCUCUAGACACAUAUCUUGCUCCAAAGGGAGUUAGUAACAGUGUCGCUCGUGACAUUGAUAUCUGGGGACCCACUGUGGGUAUGAAGGAAAAUUCUAGAGAAUAAAUGAUUCUAAGGAUGAUUAUUUGUAUAGGAUGAUCAUGAAUGUAAAAUAAAAGAAUGAAAGUCCAAAUAAUAAAAGAAUCUAUAAAUAGAAGAAAAUUUACUCAAAAAGAUGCGUUUCAUUGAAAUAAAAAUCUUGGACCGAAACCUAUUUUUCAAAAGAAAUCUUAUCACCUCUAGGUCUUAAGGCAAUAAGUAUGUUUUGAAUAUUACUCUAGAUUAGCUUUAAAAGUACACGGAUCUCUUCCACUGUCCCAUUGUUCAAGACACUCGGAGGUGGGUGAUAUCGAGGUCAUGGUUGAGUUGGGUACGAAUUAGAAGCAUAGUGGCUUCCUAUUCCCACCACAUGGGUUUCUGGCUCUUUUUUCUUCAUGGGUGCUGCCCUUUUGAGCUCUCAGGGCAUUCCAUCCUUUCAUUUUUGAUGGCAUUCUCUAUAAGUUCCCCGGAUAUCACAAUGUUCGCAAAGUCUUUCGUAGCACUUCCUACCAACUUGUCAUAGAAUGGUGCUCUCAGAGUAUUGAUGAAAAGGACUGUUAUCUCAGUCUUAGUCAAUGGUGGUUCCAUUUGAGCCGAGAUAUCUCUCCACCUUUGAGCAUAUUGCCUAAAGGUUUCUGCUGGUUUCUUUUCCAUCCUUUGUAGAGUCAUUCGAUCAGGCACCAUGUCAGACACAUGCUUGUACUGUUCACAAAAUGCUGAUGCUAAGUCUUUCCAUGAUCGGAUCCUUUCUUUACUAAGUUGAUUAUACCAUCGAAGAGCUGAUCCGACUAAGCUGUCUUGGAAACAGUGUAUUAGCAACUUAUCUUUAUUCAUGUGACUCGUCAUUUUUCGGCAAAACAUGACAAGAUGCGUUCUUGGACAUCUCGUUCCAUUGUAUUUUUCAAAAUCUGGUGCUUUAAACUUCGGAGGUAGAACCAGAUCAGGCACCAGACUGAGCUCCUUGGCACUUAAUGCAGAGAAAACUUCAGCGCCUUCGAUUGCCUUGAGCCUUUCUUCAAAACUCCUAUACUUGCCCCAAACAUCAUGAUCGUCUAAUUUCAACAUGGCUAUCUCUACUGGGUCAUCCCGAUCUGGAAUAUUGGGAUCAACGGGAUUACCUCCGGGGUUUGAUACAGAUAUACCUUGCCCUAAAUGAGUAGGUGGUACAGGUCGUUGCUCCAAACCUACAGGCUCCUUUUGAGGACAUCCUCUUUGCGUUACAUGAACGUGAGGCGGGGUGAAUCUUGGGGGAUAAAACGGAUCCUGAUCAUGAUUAACUCUUGACUGAGGUUCUAUAACGUCAGGACUCUGCAUAAGUCCAUUCCCUUUAACAAAAGCUGACAUCAUCUCCAUCAUUUUGGCCAUUUGAUCCCUUUGUUUGAGUGAUUCCUCUCGAGACCUUACCAUCAGAUCUCUCGUUUCCUGCUGUGAUUUAGCCAACUGUUCUUGCAAUUCUCUUUGGGCCUUUUCCAUUCUUUCAAUUCUCUCAUUGAAUUCGGCCUCCAUAGUUCUAGCUCUUAGUCGCGUCUUAUACGAAUGGCGUGAUUCCAGACUCGUAGCAUUACAACUGUAGAUCAUACGGUUUCAGCCUCAGUGAAUGAUUAAGGGACAUGUACAUGCAAUGAAUGGAUGAACGAAUAAAUGGCAGAUGAAUGUCAGUCAUGAAUAUGCAAAAAUUUGGUGUUAAUUUCAAGAUAGCCCCUAUUUAGGCAUUUCCUUAAUUAAAAGAGUCUAUUACACAACAUUUCGGCCAUUCGUAUAAUUGACUCCUCCAUCAGAAACCCAUUUUUGGCAACUAAUCUCUAAUCAACACCUUCCUAAUAUGAUGCCUAUGAUGCAUGAUGAAAAAUAGAAAUACAGACAAACAACUUUGGUUAGCAUAACACAUAUGAACAGAGAAAAACUGUGGAAAAUCUAACAAAUUAAGCUACUUGGUCCAGUGGACUCGAUUCCCUUGUUUAGAAAGCACAAAUGUAAAAGAAAUAGAAGGUAAGAUGUGCUUUUCCCGUGUACUUAUUUUGGUGACUACUAAACGAGCGGAGGUUCGGCAUGGCUCUAGUUGGAUGGCUCGUAUGGUUCACUAUAUGCGGUUUUGAUUCUAGAUGGGUACUUGAAUCAUCUGCACUGUCAUCUACUAAGAUUAGUACAAAGCCUCGGUCAUGGCCCAUCAUAGGCUUACGAGAUCAAUUCGAGGGAUUACAUUUACUUAUGCCUAUGCGGAGGGACAAGUUAACUCACGAAAGCAUAAGUCAUAUGUAACCCGAAAGUAUUCACUAGCCUGUGCGGAGGAACGAGUUAACUCACGAAGGCGUAGCGUUUACUUUCUCUUAACAGGGACGGAGCCCGGGUAUAGAGCUCAUGUUAUGCAACAAAAAUGCACGUGCACGGUGUGUGGGGAGAAACUUGUAAACCUUUACGUUUUAUUUAGAAAAACUAAACCAAAACUAAAAUCGCAAAAAUUUAAAACUGAAAAACAACCUGAUAAAACAAGUUAGAAUAUAUACAACACGAUGCAAAUGCAUGAUUUUUUUGAAAACAAAAAAUUUAAGGAUCACGACUAAAUGUUAAUUUGAACAAGAAACUUUGAAAAUUUUGACAACGCGAGUUUAAUUCGACUCGACUCUCAAAAAGGGUCCCCAGUGGAGUCGCCAGCUGUAGCGACGUAAAAAUUUUGGUUUCGGUCGCUAAUUGUGGCGAUCUAGUGAAAAAGUUUGGAAACUGAAGUUCGAUUUUAAAAUAAAGAGGGAGUCGCCACCGAUCCUUUUUCCUAGGUGUGAUCGGACACCUACUAGAUUCAUUUUUUUUAAAAACAAAAGGAAGGCUGAAUUUAGGUCUACGUUAAAAGCCAGAGAAAAAUUAGGGUUCGGGAGUCGGUUACGCGCGAGGAAGGUAUUAGCACCCUCGCGACGCCCAAAAUUGGUAUCUCAUAAACACGCGUUGUCUUAAUUUUCAAAAAUAAGAGUUCAAUGUAAAAUUUAGUCAUAAUCCGGUUAAAAGAACGAGAAAUUUUGGUUUAUUUCAUUUUUUUAGAAGGGUAUAUCGCUUUAACAUGAGUCAAUUGACGUUCACCCAACAUAGCGACGAACUCGAUAACUUAAUGUUAAAUCGGUAUAUUGCCUUGAUUAUUGAAAUUAAUUAGAAAACCGGAACGUAAUUUUCAGGAGAAUGCAAGACAUAAUUGAUACGAAAUGAAAAUAAGUAAAUGAAAUGGCUUGAUACAUUUGAAACAAAUAACAAACAUGACAAUAAUAUUAGAAAAUAAUAACCGCGCAUGCAAGAUCAAAUGCAAUGUUAGCAUUGAAUACGAGAACAUAAAGAGAAUACGAUGAAUAUACACAUGAAAAUAAUUAAGAGUAUAUAUGUAAAAUACGUAUAUAUAAAUAUUAAUGGUAUUAGAAAGAUAUAUAAGAUAAUAAAAAAUAUAUAGCUAGUAAUGUUAAAUAUAUAUUCAUAAUAUUUACAUAUGUACAUAAAAUAAAUAUUGAGGAACACAUGCACCUAAAGAACAUAUAUAUACCAAUAUAUAAUAAUAUUAUGAAGGGGAACGAAACAAAUAAUGCAUAGGAUUAAAACGAAGUUUUGAAAAAUUAUUACCUAUAUACAUAUAUAAUAAUAAAAAUGGAUACAUGAAAUGACAUGAGAAAUAUACGUAUGAACUUAGUAUACAAAACUAACAAUUAAGUAGAAUCAUAUACAUGCACGGUAUUAAAAUGUAUAUACAUACAUAAUAAUAAUGUGGGGACGCCUAUUAAUAAUAUUACAUAAAUAUAUACAUAUAUGUAUAAUAAUGAUGAAAAUAAUAAUAAUAAUAAUGAAAAUAAAUAAUAUAAUAAUAAAUAUAAUAGUAAAAAAAAGAUAAUACUAUAUGAAAUGUGUAUAUCUAUAAUAACAUAAAUAUGCUAAUAUGAAUAAUGAUAAUAAUACUAAUAAUAAUAAAAUACGAAGAAGUAUAUAUAAUAUAAUAAUAAUAUUAAAAUACAAUAAAUAAAAGUAAUAUUAUAUAUAAAUAUAUACAAUAUUCACAUGUAAAAGAAAAAUGUAUACUAAUAUAUAGUAAUAAUAAUAAUAUAAUAUUGGAAAUAACAAUAAUCAUAUUAAAUAAGGAAACAAAAAAAAGGACCAAAAAUGAACUAAAAACAAAGCUUUGGGGCGAAUUUAAAAAAAAAUUAAAGGGGAAAGGACCUAUUUGAAUGCGGGUAAAACCAUGGGGCAUUAAAAGUGCAAAAUUUCAAACUUUCCAAAACGCUGCGCAUAUACGGGGGUUAAAUAAAAAACUGAGCAAAAUUCUGGGGUCAAUUCAGAAACAAACAUAAACCUAAUUUAAAACACCAAAAAUGCGGAAGGGCCGAUUGCGCAAAUAGCCCUUCCGCUCUUAAAAGCACGCGGAUCCUUGCUGGGGCGGGUCGGGUCGACCCGACCCACCCUUGAAACGGCGUCGUUUUAUUGGUUAAAGGGGGGAAAUUGGGGCGCAAAUUGAAGGUUGUGCGCAAGGGAAGGAUUCAGCGCGUAAUUUCCCCAUUCACACAACAUGGCGCAGACCCAUUUUUCUAUUCGGGCCCACACGCGGACCCUUAUGGUCAUGGGCAGCACUGUUUUGUAUUUCAGACCAUUUUAAACCAUUUUUCCCUUCCUUUCCUUUCAAAUACCCAUCCAUUUUAAGAAAAACCAGCAGCCUUGAAAAUAAAUUUGCUAGGGUUCCUUUUACAAGCAACUGAAUCUCCAUCGGAUUUGGUGUCCAGCGGCGCACAAAACAAUUCCUGGUUCUGUUGCCGUAAGUAUUCGACCAUGCCUUGAGGAAAUUAGUAGUAUUUUCUUUUUUACUUGAGAAAAAAUAAAACUUCAAAUCUCAUACAUUUUUAAAAAACGAAGAAAGUUCAUAAAAUAGAGAUUCAACACCACUUGACCCCUCUCCCCUACUUUUGUAUCUUAAAGUAUUCGGGAUCUCAUUGGAGUCGAUUUACCUACUAAAAGACGAUCUAAACCAAACAAAAAAAAGAAAAAAAAAGAAGAAAGAACGAAAGAAAACUUGAGAUUACCCUUGCAAAUUCUUAAUUUUUUUUUAUAUUUCUGUGCGUGUAUAUUCUGUGUGCGUCUGUGUUCGUGUUCCCCUUUUCUUUUAUUUACUCUCGAAAUAAAAAAAGAAAAUAAUCACAAAGAGAAAGCCCAGAGAUUUUGAUCGGAGAAAUCACCUUCCAAUAUUGCUUUUUUUGUAUUGCCUAUUGUGUAUUCGUUCGUAAAAAUAUGCCCCCCUUUACAUUGAUUCUCUUUCGGCUUUUAUAGCCGAUUACAUGUGAUUUUCACUGCUCUCUGCUUGUUUUGCUUUUGCUUUGCAUGUUUCUCCAUUCCUUUCCUGUCUUCUUUUGUUUAUUCUUUCCCCCAUCCCUCGCAUGCUGUUGUUUUUGUCUUUUUCGUUUGUCUGUUACUUUUGUUGUCUUCUUGCUUGCGUGUUGCAGGUGGUGUCAGAGGGCGUCAGACGCAUGGGUGGCCGGUGAUAGGCUGGAGGCGUGGCAGAUAAGGAGGCCAUGUGAGGCAUGCGACGGCCAGCUAGGGUUUGCUGCUGAAAUUUUGCUGAAAAAUGUUUUAGAUUUUGGGCCAUUUGGGCUUUAGGGUUUUGAUUUGUUUGGGUUUAAAUUUUGGGUCAGAUUUUGGGUUUGUAAAUGGGCUGUUACUUUUGGGUUUAUUAUUUGAGUUAUUUUGUUGGUAUGGGCCCGGGCAAAAUGGGCUCGUACAUAUACAAAAUAUGUAUUAAUAAAAUAAAUAAAUAAUAUUUAUCUAGUUUAAGGGAAAUAAUAUGUAUUAAUUCAUAUGUUAAUAAUAAUUUUAGGUAAAAUUUUACUAAAAAAUUAUUAAGAAUAUUAAGAAUGUUAUGAAAUUAUAUAUUUUUAUUUUUAUUUAAUUAUAUUUAGUAAUAAUUAUAUUAAAACAUGAUUAAAUUAUUUAUUAUUUUAAUAAUAAUCUUAGUAAAAUUUAAUAACGAUAAUUAUGUACUUAAAAAAAAUCUGUUAAGGGUACUCUGGUUAUUUUAGUCUUUUUCUUAUACUAUUACAACAUCAUUCCAUUCAACAAAACACAAGAAUGCCAUUACAGUUCUAUUCCAUUCCAUUCAACCAAACAAUUGAAUUACUAAUUACAGCUCUAUUCUAUUAUAACUCUAUUCAAUUACAACUCUAUACCAUUACAGUUCUAUUUCAUUACAGCGAACCAAACGUGCCCUAGAUUUUUACAUUAGAUUUAUUUUUAAUGACAUAUUUAAAAUGUGGGUUUAUCCCUUAACUUAUAUAUUUUUGGACACAAUGUAAUAGCUCAAAAUUGCCCGGGCCCGUAAAAUAAAUAAAUAAAAACAGAAAUAAAAUUAAGGAAAUAAUAAAAGUCCAUUUACAAUAAACAGGCCUAAAGGCCUGAUGGCUACACUUGUAACCCAACUGGUCUAAACCAGAAUACCCAUUAACCCAGUAGCCCAUUACACUUAAAAGCCCUUGAACCCGAACUAAACCCAAAUUAAUGAGACCCAGGAAGGCCCAAUGCCUAAACUGAAUCUGGAAACCCUAGGGUUUCCAGAAGCUUCGCGCCGCAAACUCCAAACAUCACGCCCCUUCGUCUCGCGACAUUUCAGUGACCCUUCAUCGAUGCCUCCAUUAGCGCCGUGACUAUCGUAAUCUGCACACAAAUCAACACCCCAUCAUCGCCGAAUUUCUCGCUAGUACCUGCAAAAAAAGGAAAGAAGAACAACAGAGGCAAUACAAAUAUGGCAGGGAAUAAAAUCAAGCAUGUAAAUAUUAUUUUCAGUGGCUAUAAAAAGCCCGAAUCAAAAUGAUGUAAAGUGGGAGUUUUUUUUAUAUACAAUAAAAUACAGUAGUUUAUCAAGGAUAUGAGGUCUUUUACAGGCAUAUAUACAAUAAAAAUCAAGAAACAUAGGUGAUUUACUUUUAUUUUGUUUUUUUUGUUUUCGUUGUGAAUACAUACAAAUAUUGCUAAGAAUAUAAAGAAGGGGAAUUUACCGAUGGAUUUGCGCUAAAAAUCGGAGCUUUCCAGCUUCCGGCCACCGUAAGAGGCGGUGUUGACAGAGUUACGUAGGCGCGUGUAAGCCCUUGGACGGAGGCUCGACAGAGCUCCGAGGACCAGCUCUCAACCCUCUUUCAGAGGAUGUUUUUGUUUUUGUUUUUUUUUAAAUCGGGUUUAAAAUGAUUUUAGGGUUAAAAUUUGACUUAUAUAGCCUUAUGAAAAUGAUGUCGUUUCGCUUAAAACAAUAAGCUUCAAAACGGCAUCGUUUUAAGACUGAAGAUCCGCGUGUUGACCCGUGACCCGGGGAGGAUCCGUUCGUUUUUGGUAAAUGGGCUAAUUUCUGUUUGAGCCCUUCCCCAUUUUUCAUUCUUUUAAUUUUGUUUAAUUUUAAAUUUUAUAUUUCAAUUUUGCCCUGACUUCUUUAUUUUUGUUUCAAUUUAGUCCCACCUGUCAGUAUAAGGCUUGUUUUGCGAACGACGCCGUUUCGGGAUUAGGGCAAAUUGCCCAGUGAGUCCCUUGGAGUUUUGUGCGCGUCCCAAUUAAGCCUAAACCUUCUUUUGUUAUUUUAAAAUUAGCCCUAGAACUUUAGUUUUAUUUAAUUUUAAUCCUUUUAAAUAUUUUUGCAUAAUUUAUUUAUUAAAUACUUUAUAUAUUAUUUAUUUUACUAUAUUUAUAUGUAAAUUAUUACAUAUUAUAUUAUUUUUAUUAUUUAUUAUAUUAUUUAUAUAUCAUUUUAUUAUAAACUAUUUAUUAUUAAAAUUUUGUAAAUUAUUAUUGAAAAUUACAUUUUUAUAUAUCAUUGUUUAGAGUUUAGAACGUAAUAUUUUAAAAUUUAAUGUGAAAUUUUGUUCCUAUUUAAUAUAUUAAUAUCUUUUAUAAAUAUAUUAAGUUAUUAAAUCAUACAAUAUAUUUACAUAUAUAUUAACCUUUGUUUAAAAUUUUCCUUUAUUAUUUAUAUAUAUCAUUUUAAAUAUUUUUACCUCAUUUAUUCUUUGUAAAUUGUAUGUAGAUUUUAUCCUUUUUAUGCACAUAAAUUGUUUGUUUAUUUUAGUACUCUUUUUCAUAUCUAUUUGAUGUUGUUUUGAUAUAAUAAUCUUAUCUCGUAAAUUAUUUGUUAUUUUUAUAUUAUUUUUUGUUUUUAUACAUUUGCAUGAAAUAUUAUUGCAUAUAUAUUAUGUAAUUAUAUUGUUCUAUUUAUUAUUCGCCACAUUGUAUUUUGCAUGGAAUGAUAAUGUUUGUAUAUUUACGUUUUUACGAUUAUAUAUGCAUGAGAUAUUAAUAUAUAUUAUGUGAGUUAUGUCAUUAUUUAUCAUUUUCUACACUAUAUUCACAUGAAAUGAUAAAGCAUAUAUCAUGUAGAUAGGUUUAUUUAGUAUUGAUCUUUCCUAAUAUGUAAAGUACAUCAUUAAUUUCAAAAAUUAUAUCUUAUUUAAUUCAAAAGAAUUUUAAAAAGUGUGGCAAUGUUUUUGGUAUUUAGGCAUUCGGGAAGUAGUGCCCUAACAUGCUGGGUUGCGAUUUUCUGUUUGUCUAAAUGUCUAAAGUAUCCUUCUAAAUAGAUUUCGUAAAUCACAAGAUGAUUUCGGUCACGAAAGUUUAAAGAUAUUGCGUCCAAUCAUGCUGGAUGUGAUGUUUGUACUCUUUUGGAGCGAAAGAAUCUCGACUUUCAGCAAAUUAUUAUAGUUUUAAAAAGGGGAUCUUAUUUCCAAAUUCCUUCAAACUUUUGACAUCAAGACAGAAAACUAAUUUGGUACCAAUCCUGGGCGUUGCCAGGGUGCUAAUCCUUCCUCGCACGUAAUCGACUCCCGAACCUAUUUUCUCACAUUUUCGUAGACUAAAAUGUUUUAUAAGGUGUUCCAAUCACACUUAAAAAGGUUGGUGGCGACUCCCGUUUUUUUUUAAAUACCCUCCCCUUUUAAAAUCAGGUUUCGACACACAAUGUAUAGAAUUACCUAUAAUUCCUCUCUAACCCAUAAAUAGGAAGAUAAUGCGUCUCAGCGCACUUAAACCCACAUACUCUUGCAUUGACAACAAUACAUAUACUACUCAAGCUAAGACUCAAUCGACUACGUUAACUUAUAUAUUGAUUGAGAUUGAUGCUUAAUCUAUUUAAAAAAAUUGUUUGAAUUUUAGUUUACAGAUGUAAUACCCUAAACUCGUAACCAUCGUCGGAAUAUGGUUACAAAGCAUUACUUGACUUGUACAUCAAACAAUUAUACAUUUCGUAUUCAUUUCUCAAUCCAAACAUAAACCAUUCAAAUUCAUUCAUUUGGUCACUAAUUUGAGCCAUUGAAGCCUAAAAUAGACAUUAAAGAUGGUUCAGGACAAAACUGAGUACUCACAAACAUUUUAGAAAAACAUUGAAAUUUUUGUAAAGUACAAGGGACACAUGCCCGUGUGGCCAAACCGUGUGUCUCACAAGGUCAAGAGACAAGCUCGUGUCUCAUACCGUGUGGGCAUUCACAAUGGGGGCACAUGACCGUGUCCCAGCCUGUGUCUGAGCCCGUGUAACUCACUGACUUAUGUCACACGACCAACCACACGCCCGUGUGCCUAGGCCGUGUACCAUUUGAAAUGGCCUCACACACCUGUGUGUCAAGCCGUGUUUUAGGCCGUGUGAAAACUGGAAGGUAUACUGACUUAUACCACACGGCCAAGUCACACGCCCGUGUGCUAGGCUAUGUGAAGCUACUGACUUGUUUUCUAAAGAUGUUGCAGGGGAAACAUGAACAUUUCACCAGCCGUGUGUCACACAUGGCUGAGACACAUGCCCGUGUCUCUACCUAUGUGGACAAAAUAAGUCAUUUUCCAAGCCAUAUUUCUCACCCAAUUUGAUUCUAGUCUAAAUUUAACAUUUUGCAUAUGACCAUCUUGUAAUAGGCAUUCAAACCAACCUAAAUUCAAACUCAACCGCAUGUAACAUCAUCACAUACAACCAUUGAAUUUACUAAAUGCACAUUUUACCUAUAUCAAUCCUACUCAAUUCAUAAACUAAGUGCUAAGAAUAUGUCUGUAAUACCCCUACCCGUAUUCAUUGCCGGAAUAGGGUACGAAGUAUUACCGGAGUUUACGGAUUAAAUUUUAAAAUUUUUUUAACUCAAUAUAACCCCUUUAUAGAUAUUUAACAUUCCCUGAAAUUUUAAACCAAAAACAAUCCACAUCAACCAAUCCAAUUCAACAUAUUUUCAAGAUAAAUUCAUACAUAUUUAUAAAAUAACGUCAUCACAUACCCAAAACCAGGUUUGUUAACCAUACCAAUGGCUAACUCUACAUUCAUUUCACAGAAUCAUUUACUUUAUUAGCUUAUACAUGCCAUUGAUUUCCAAAAUAAAGUUUCUUUAUAUACCAAAAUCCUGAGGUUGAUAGUGUGAUGUGUCUCCGACCAAAUCCGACCUCCAAGCUUUUAACACUACAAAACAGGGAAAAAGAAAACGGGGUAAGCUUUGUGCUUAGUAAGCUCAUGUAACAAGAAUUAUACUUACCUAAUAUUUUCAAUAAAGUACAAUAAACAUUCACAUAUCCAUUCAAUGCAUUAUUACCCUAAUAUGCACAAACUCAACAUUCAAGUUAGUACAAUAAUUUCCAUGUACCAAUAAUAUAUACCAUGAUUGAUGAGCUCAUCAAUAUCAUAAUUUCCAUUUCCUUGUUAUUUUUCUAUAUUUAUCCCGUUGAAUUUAUCGAAAAUUCGAUGGAUUUUUAGAGGUACACUUUUAGUGUACAAUUCUGGGUCCGUCAAUUCACAUUCAUGUGCGCACAUUUCCAUUUCAGAGAGCACACUCUCACGAACCUCAACCUUGCAGCGGGAUUACCAGUCCAGGCUAAAUCCCCUGUAAUAUAAAGUUAGAGUAUUGUCGGGAUUACCAGUCCAGGCUAAAUCCCCUGCAACGACAAUUACUCUAACGAGCUUGGAUCUGAAUUACCAGCCCAAGCUAAAUUUAGACCCUAAUUCGGAUUACCCGUCCGGGCUAAAUCCAUUUUCCACAUAUUCUUCGGGAGGGAUAUAUCAAGAUAGGAUCACCCGUCCGGGCUAGAUCCUUUUUACCUUCAAUUCCUUUUUAGAGAUCCAUCGAAUUUUCCUUUCAAUGUUUACUUUAUCUAUCAAUCAACCAAUCAAGGUAAAUCAGCGAGAUGACCAAUUCAUAAGCAAACUUUACUUCCAAAAUAGCAUAAGACUUCAACAUGUAUUUACAAGUAUUUACACUUACAAAAACAUAUAACCCAAGACUCCAUAAUCAAAAGAGAUGCUACAAUAGUUUGCAUCCUAGGUACAUGCCAAAAACACAAAAGGGAAACGUCACCAACUUUGAGUACGGGGUUCUUGCGGGAUGCUAUGUCCGAGUCUACUAUUUAUCUAACCUGUAACAAGUAAAUUAAUCUAAUUAUUUUUAGGUUCCAAUUGUUAGCUAAGUACAAUUCUAAUCACCAUUAAUAGGAAUUUCUAUCUUGACCAAUUAAGAAUUCAAUAAUUCAAGUAACCUUAUCGUAAGAUUUAUUAACAACAUGGCACCCGGUGCCUAGCGGUAAACCGCAGAAAGGUUGUGCUCAAUGCUAGUUGGAUUAACCGACAAUAAUGAAUGUGAGCCUAGAUCUAGUUGGAAAAGCCAAUGAUAUUGCACCUAGUGCUAGUCGGAUAAAUCGAAAAUAAUGAAUGUGAGCCCAGCUCUAGUUGGACAAGACAACGAUAUUGCACUCAGUGCUAGUCGGAUAAACCAACAAUAAUGAAUGUGAGUACAGCUCUAGUUGGAUAAGACAACGAUAUUGCACCUAGUGCUAGUCAGAUAAAUCGACGAUGAUAAAUGUGAGCCCACCUCAAGUUGAACGUAUCGACGAUUAUACAAUGGUUUAUAUCCAUAAUUUCCUUCAUUUACCUUCCUUACAUUAAUUCAAUGAUAAUCAUACAUUUUAUAUCAAUUUUAAGUUUGAAAAUACUUAAUUCAAAUAAUAAUUAGAAAUAACAUUAAGUUCGAGUCCAUGAACUUACCUCAGAUUUGUACGAAGAAUUGAUCGCUUAAUCCAACGCUUUAUUCUUCCCACGAUCUAAGUCUAUACGUUGUUUUUCUUGAUCUAUAUAAUCAAAUUCAACUAAUUUAAGUUUCAUUAUAUACAAUUCAAUCCAAAAAUCACAUUAUGGCAAAAUUACCAUUUACCCCUAUAUUUUUGACUUCUUUACAAUUUAGUCCUUAGGCUCGUAAAAUGAAAUUUUUGCAAUUUCUCCCCUAACCAAGCCUAGCCGGAUUUACUACAUGCUUAUAGCAGCCCAUACAUUUCACCAUUUCUCACAUUUAUCAUAUGAUUUAUCACAUUUCUCAAUUUAAUCCAUAAUGACAAUUUUCAUCAAAAUCCACUUAACAAAAUAUGCAUAUCAAUCAACAACCAUUAUUUUCAUACUAUAAAACUUCAAAAAUAAAUAUGUUCAUCAAUUGCAAAACUCAAACAAUUCAAUAGUUUUGCAAAUUAAUCCCCUAAUUAGUUAGGUUAAGCUAUAACGAUCUUGAAAAUAUAAAAAUCAUUAAAAACAACACCUAAAUACACUUACAUGCAAGCAAAGCAAGAAUGGGCAGCCUAGAAAACUCCCAUGGCUUUUCUUCUUCUUAUUUUAGGCACUAGCAUAGUAAAAGAUGAAGACUUUUCAUCUUGUUUUGUUUAAAUUUUAUCAUUUAUUACUUAAUUACCUUUUUACCCUUACCUAACUUUAAAAUUUACACAAUUACCAAGCCAUGCACAUCCACUAUCACUUUUAAUGGUCUAAUUACUUAGUAAGGACAUCCACUUUAAAGUUCUAUAGCUAUUUAAUACUUUUAGCUAAUGGAACACGACUUUCGUACUUUACGCGAUUUAGUCCUUUUUCACAAAUCGAACACAUAAACGAUAAAAUUUUUCAACGAAAUUUUUUAUACUAUAGUACUAUCAUGCUGUAGAUCUUAAAAUGAUAUUAAAAUAAAUUUUCACUGUUCUGAUUUUACUAAAAACGGGCCGUUACAUCAGAUUCAUGACGUUUAAAGUUGUUUCAUAAAAAAAACUGAAUUGUAGAAGAAAAGGGAAAAAAGAGGUUUCGGUUGAUGCAGGUGGUUUAAACAGAGAAAGCUAUAUACUAUCGAUUUUAAUAGUCCAGUGACUUUAACGAAAAUUUUUGAAUAAUUUAUUAACCAAAUUGUAACUUUUUUUUAGUUAAGUGACCAAAAUGAAAGUUUACCUAUAAUUUAGUAACUAAUGGUUUUAUUAAUUUAUGGUUUAGGUUUCAGACUUUAUUUGUUGUUAAAAAACAGCAAACAAUAAAAUAUUAUUUUUGUUAAUAUUUAUAUAUCUUAUAAUUUUUUUAAAGUCAUAUAUAAUCUUAUAAGUAAGUACUAUUCCUAUGGUGCAUGGAUAUUUAAUUACUGUGAUAAUAUAUUCAUUUUUUAUUUAAUUAAAUAUUAAAAAGUAUUUCCUAAUUUAAUCAAAGACAAAUAUAAGAAAAUAACCACUUUUAAAUAUAAUGAAGAAUUAUUAAUUCUUUAAAAAAAGGAAUUAUUAAUUGACAAAAUAUCAAUAUCAAUGCAAUUAAAAUGGUUAGUAAAUGUAAUUGAAUUAAUUACAACUAGAGGUGUUCAUGGGCCGGGCCGGGUCGAGUUCGGGCCAGGCUCAACUAAAAAAUCAUGCUCAUUUAUUGGGCUCGGGCCGGGCUGGGCCCAAAAAAUGGGCCUAAAAUUUUGUCCAAGCCCGACCCAGAUAAAAAUACUAAAACCCGUGCCCGGUCCGGCUAGCCUGUAUUAAUUUUUUUAUAUUAUUUUUAAAUAUAUAUAAUACAUCAAAAAUACAAAAAAUAUCAAAAUAAAUAUUUCCCAACAUAUUAAAAAUAAAUUUUAAAAAAUAUGUAGACUUAAAUAACACUAAGAUAAAUACAACUUAACAAGCAAAUGCUUCUAAAAUAAUAAAAAAAAUAACAAAUGCCUUUAAAAUAAUAAGAAAAUUAACAAUAAAAUAAAUUUUAUACAAUAUCCAAACAAUAACAACAAAAUAAUAGCAACAUAAAGUAAAAUGGUAGCAAAAUAGGGAGAAAACAACAAGAAAAUAGCAUUCAAAAAUAAAAAAAAUAUGCAGAUUUUUUUGUCCUUUAAUGAUUCGGGCCGGGCCGGGCUCGGGCUAAAAAUACCUUACUUUAACCUAGGGAUAGAUUGCAAAACCUCUGCACAUUCAAUCAUGUCCUUCUACAAUGGCGAUUUCUAGCGAAAAAAUAUUUUAGUAUUCCAAUCUUAUAGUGAAUGAUUUCUAGAGAAAAAUAUUGUAUUAUCUCAUUAACGAUUUCUAGAGAAAAAAAUAUUGUAGUAUUCCAAUCUUGAAAUUUAUUCGAGGAACAUUCCCAGGAACAUAUGAAUAUUAUGUUUAAAUGUGAAAUAUAAUUCUCAAGUUAUUUAUUACUUCUUAUAUUUUAUUUUUUAUUGUAGAAUAAUCAAAUUAUUUGUUUCACUAAUGAUAUCUUCGCAUAUUAUGUAGUGCAGUUUAAAAAUAAUAAAUUAGAUUAUAUAUUAUUUUUAUAGUAUUAUAUAUUAUGAUUUUUUAAUUCAUAUAAUAAUAAUUAUAUUAAGAGUUUUAUUAAAUUAUAUUUAGUAAUAAUUAUGGUAAAAUAUGAUUAAAUUAUUUAUUAUUUUUAUUAAAUUAUUUUUAAUAAUAAUCUUAUUAAAAUUUAAUAAUAAUAACAAUAAUCAUCUACUUAAAAAAAAUUCAACUAAGGGUAUUCUGGUCAUUUUAGUUUUUUUUCUUAUUCUAUUACAACAUCAUUCCAUUCAACCAAACACAAGAAUUCUAUUACAGUUCUAUUCUAUUCCAUCCAACCAAACAGUUGAAUUACUUAUUACAGUUCUAUUCCAUUACAACUCUAUUCAAUUACAGCUCUAUUCCAUUACAGUGAACCAAACGAACCCUUAGAGCAUGUUUGGUUGAAGGUAAUAGCUAAACCAUUACAUGCCUAUUACUAACCUAUUCUUCAGGCCAACUUAAACUGGCGUUUGGUUCAACGUAAUACCUUAUUACGAGUGGAUUCCAUUCCGGGCUUAAACAGAGAUUUUUGGGGAUUUCUAUUCCGUGCCUUCUUCACCGUUUACCUAUUCGUUGCUUGAAGAAACCUAUUCUACCCUUACCAAAAUUUCACAUCAAAAACACUCUCAAUCAGCAGCCAUUUCACAUACCCUUUGAUUCCGGCAUUCCUCCCCUUCAUCCAAGGUCAGGUAAACAUUUUUGCUUCUUCUUCCUUCACAUCAUCUUCUUUCAUUGUUUCAUCAUCUAUCUCCUUUCUGCAGUUUCAACUACAAGGCAGCAAAUUGACUUGGCACGAGCGCUUAUUGGUACUUUUCUUUUCCAAUUUCUCUUCCGCAGAGUUUUGUUUGCUUAUUAAUUUCUGGGCUCUAAAGAAAGGUAUCAAGAAGCGCAGAUUGGGUCAUUCAAUCAGUCACAGAGGACAAAGAAUUGGCUUCAAAAAAGAACAGUCAUUCCCAUGAACCUAAGAAGCUUUUGUUCCCAAAUGGCUCCAAAACUUUGAAGGCUUCUUCUUCAGAGGUUGGAGGUGGUCACGGUGAUGAUGGUGAUGGCCAUGAUGAUGUCGAGAAGUUGAGUAGUAGAGCAAUCAAUGCCUCUAUCGUUCUUGGAUUUGACACGUUUGUUGUAUCCAAGUUGCUUACAAUUGAUCAUGAUUAUUGGCAUGUAAGUUAUCUCCUAGGUUUUUCAAUUUUUUUUUUGCAUUUUAAUUCUAUUUCCUGUUUUACUUAGAGUUGAAUAAUGAUUCAUUUCAAAAGAGCUUUUUUUGGUAUGCUCUUGUUUUGAGAAGGGUAUUUUUGCUUGGUAGUAGUUUUCCUUGGUUUCACUUCUCUCUGUGCUAGAGUUGGUUAAUCUCUUUCGUUCGUCAUUUUAUGAUUUUAAUCUUGAAAAUUGUUGAGGUGUUUAUAACUUUCUAAACUAUCCAUGAAAUCUGAAACAUUGCUUGUAAAAGAAAAAGGAGGUCUUUAUUUAUGAUUUGUGCUUUCCUGGAAAUUUGAGGUUUAUGCAGAUUAGCUUUCAAAAACUAAGUGAAAGCUGGAGUCCUCAAAAUAAAAUGAAGUGAAAUCUAAAUGCUACAAUAUUGUUUUUUUUCCUAUCUCAGUAUUUAUUUGAUUCUUAUGAAUGAUUAACAGGGAUGGACACUUUAUGAGGUACUCCAAUAUGUUCCAGAACAUAAUUGGAUUGCAUACGAACAAGCUCUUAAAGCCAAACCAGUGAUAGCCAAAAUGGCAAUAAGUGGGAUAGUCUAUUCAAUAGGAAAUUAGAUUGCACAAGUAGUUUCUCUCUCUUCUCCACUCUCUCUAUUAGUCCUUUAAACGUAAACAUAUAUUGCAUUCAGCUCAUAUUGUAUAGCCUGUGUGUAGUGUUAUGAAGGAAAGCCUUCAGAUCGGGCCUUGUUGGAUUUACUCUUCAUUGAUCCCUUUCUCACUAUUAUUACCAGUUUUGAGAGGUAAUACUUGUGGUUCAUAGUUUAUAUGUUUUGCUGCUUUGAGUCAUUUUUUUUCCAUGGAGCACUGAAACACUUUGAGUUCCAGGCUUUAUUUCCUUUCGAUGACUGGUGGGUGGUUCCAGCAAAAGUUAUCUUUGAUCAAACAGUUUGGGCUGCAAUCUAGAACAGUAUAUAUUAUGUAGUUUUGAGGUUCUUGCGUUUUGAAUCCUCGGCUAAUAUCUAUAAAGAACUGAAGGCAACAUUUUGGCCUAUGCUGACUGUAAGAAGCAUUUCUUCUGUUUCUUUUGAUGCAUAUUUUGGGUGUCAAUGGUUGUGGUAUGAAUUGCAAACGAUGUAGUCUACUCUACCCAUGAUUUUUGAUAUACUGGAAUUCUAUUUCAUGCUUUAUUUGUUAGAGCAGGAUUUAUCAUAUAUGCUCAUUUUUCUUUUACUUAAUCACUAUCAAUGUAAAAUGUCUACCUCUUCUCCAUGAUGUAUUGGAGGAUUCAACCUUUCUUAAUAGGUGUACCUUAAAAUCGACUUAGAAAAAAUGUUGUGCGGAGAAAGUGAAAUCUGUAUAUUUUAAUUUAGUACUAUAGAUCAUUGGGAUAUUGAAAUGAUCAAAUGACUUUUAUGUACUGUUCUUCUUACUUGAUGGAUAACUUAACCACUUGAAUGUCAAAUAAUGCUCAAGAGCCUAUUAUUUGCCUAUGCAUUAGGGAAUAAGAGACAUUUAUUUUUAGUAUAUAAUUAGUAAAAAACCUGUCAUCCUUCUUUAGGUCUUGAAGGAGGCCUCUAAGCUUUAUACUGCAAGUUGGGUAAGGGAUAUUGGUCCUGAUCUUAGACCAAACGAUUCUAAGAAGGAUGAUGGGAUUAAAGGUAAAUCCAAUGGAGAUAAGAGUAAGAGUACAGAGAUAGAACCUUCGACCUUGGAGGAUAUUGGUGUGGAACUUUACUUUGUGGUUUCUUAUCUUGAAAUGUUCAAAUGUAUAAGUUGUCUGUAAUGAAUCAAGAAGUAUAUAGCAUGACUUGCAAAAUAUAUGGCAUAUUAUAUGUGCAAUAAACCGUUAGAUUCGUGCUUGAGACAUCUUAUGGAGGUCAAGGAACAAAGUCCCGUAAUGCUUGAGUUCAGUUAGGUUUUCAUUUAAAUUUCCCUUUUUAGUAGAACUUUUCUAGAGGUAGCUUGGAAUUUAUUCUUUGAUUUCUUUUUCCCCUGGCUGCUCAGAGUCAUCUGUGACUGCAUUUUGUUUUAAUUUGUUGUUGGCACCUGUGUUCAAGUCUUAUAUUUUACACUUCCAUUGGCAUAUUUUUGGUGAAUCCCUUCUUCACCAGGCCAAAGUUCAGUUGUUGAGGAAAUAUUAAAUUCUCAACUAAAAUUUUUGUAAUAGCCCAAAGUUGACCGGGUUUAAAUAAAGAAAAAAUUAGAUAAAUAAAUAAACAUUUAUUAAAAAAGUCCAUUGAAAGUCCAGGCCUACUGUUGCUACCCAAAGCCCAAAUACAAAAACCCAUAUCCGGGUAUAACCCAAUAGCCGGAACAAUACCUAAUACCCUUAAGCUAAACCCAAACCCAAAUAAGGCCCGUUACACCCAGCAGUCCGUCAGACUCAUUAUCCCUGCUAGCCUAAGUCAGACCUAACCCAUUACAUUACAGACCUUGACCCAAAACAAAACAGCCCAAAAGGCCCAAUAGACUUAAGAGAAACAGGGAAACCCUAGGGUUUCCGAAUACUGUGGCGCCGCAAACAUUUCUGGAAGCUUCGGGGAGUGUCUGGCAACCCCCAAAUCGAGGCCACCGUUUAAUGAGUUGUCCCAAGGGGCUUCAAUGCUCAUCAACGCCCCGAUCCUCGGUCGUCCCUUGGUCUGGCCCCAAAUUACGUUAUGAAUGUCAUGACCAUCACCAAGGCUCCAUCAGCGCCGUGAUCAGUGCACGCGUCUACACCAGCAUGGUCACUGCCAGAUCCCUCGCUCGAUUGCCUGCAAGAAAAGGAAACAAACAGCAGAUACGCGAAAAAGCAGAGUAGAAAAUGGCAAGGAAAUCACAGCACAUCAGUCAAAGAUACAAGAAAUCAGAGAUUUCUUUCCUUAUGUAACAAAUCAGUAGGCUAUAAAAAAAGCCUUUGUAACCCUUGUAACGAUUACACAGAUACAGAAAUAAAGAAACGAAUACAAAUAGUUUCAAAGGUGAUAACUGAGUGACUUGUUCUCUAUUUUUUUUAGCCCAUAUAUAUGAACUGUUUAGCAAAAUACUAAGGGUAUUUGAAAAGAAGAAGAACUACCUGUUUUGGAUCUAAAGGAAUGAGGAUUUUUAAACCCUCCGAUCUUCGUAUACAGUGGCCCUUAGGGCGGCGCGUGGGCGCGUGGACCGGCACGUGGCGUACGAAGGCCAGAACCGGAGCUCCCUUCCUCUCUCUCUUUCAGAGAGAAUUUUUUAGUUUUUUUUUUAAAAAAUCGGGGUUCAAAUGAAUCUUAAGCUGAGAAGGUAGCUUAUAUAGCUUGAACGAAACGGCGUCGUUUUGCGACCCCCAGGAUCCGCGUGUUGACCCGAUUACCUGGGGAGGAUCCGCGCAUUUUUUAAAAUUGGGUUAAUUUCCCAAUCGGUCCUUCUACCCCUUUUGUGUUUACAAUUAAACUAUUUUAUUUAUGAUUUGGCCCUAUUAUUUUAUUUUAGUUUUAAUUUGACCCUGACAGUUGUUAAAUUAUAUUCUGAGAAACGUGGCCGUUUUAAGAAUAGGGCAUUUUGCCCAGUGAGUCCCUCUAAUUUUACGCGCGUUUUAAAUAGGGCCUCAAUUCAGUUUUGUUUCUUUGAAAUUCGCCCUGUAAUUUUGCUGAAUUUUAAAUUUAGUCCUAUAUUUAUUCUAUAUAUAUAUCUAUUUUAUAUAUUGAUAUUUAUUUUUAUCCUUAUUAUUUAUAUUAUAUACUAUAAGAUUAUUUUAUUAUACAUAUAUUAUUAUUCUUCAUAUUACCUAUUAUUUUUCAAAUUAUUUUACAUCAUUAUUUUUUAUAUUAUUAUAUUUUUACUUGUAUUAUAUGUUAAUUAUUUAUACAUAUAAACUUUCAUUAUUUUAUAUUAUAUCUAUUAUAUAUCUUAUUUCCUAUAUAUUUAAAUUAUAUUUUAUAACAUUUAUUUUAUUUUAUUUUUAUUCUAUAUUUUUUAUAUAUAUGUUAUGUGUAUCAUAUAUUAUCUAUUAUAUUAUUCAUUAAGAUUUGUAAAUUAAAUUACAUUUUAAACUCAUAUUAUAUAUAUUAAAUUAUUAAUUAUGUAUUAUUUUAUUUUAAAAUGAUGUUUUGUGAUAUGUAUUAUUUUAUAAAUCCUUUUACCUACUUUUAUUUUAUAUAUAUUUUUAUAUAAUUAUUAUUCUCUUAUAAAUAUUUUGUUAUUAUAUUUUAUAUAUUAUGUAGCAAAUACUAUUUUAAAAUUAUUAUUAAAAUUUAGGUCUUUAUUUGUGUUAUGUGUAUACUUUGUUGACAAUAAUUUAUUCCAUUGUUUUUAUAUUGCAUAUAUCAUGCGUUAUUUUAUAUUUAUUAUUUGAUAUUACAUUUCAUGAGCAUAUACAAUGAUAUUAUAUUACUCUUUUGUAUGCCAUACAUUAUUUAAUUAUUGCUUUCUUAUAUAUAACGUGCAUUAUUUAAUUAUCACUUUGUAUGUUUGUAUAUCUUGUUUAUUCAUUCUCAAUACAUGCUAUAUAUAUAUCUAUGUAUGCAUAUUGUUACUAUUUGCUUUAUAUGUAUUAUUUUAUAUGUAUAUAUCUAAUGCACGAUCUUUAUAUCAUAGUAUUCAUUUUUAAAUGCACGUAUUAUUUACCUACUACAAUAAUAUGUUACUAUGUAUGAUUUAUAAUGCAAUAUAAUUCCUCACACAUCACCAUUUUUUUAAAAAAAGAGCUCCAAGGUUUUCAAAAAAAUAUAAAGGCAAUGCUUGAUGUUUGGAAAUUUCGGGAAAGUAGUGCCCUAACUUAUCGGUUUGCGACUCUUCUCGUUGAGUUCGAAUAAUCAAAUACCCUUUUAAGUUUUUAAAGGUUUUCAAAAUGUAAGUGACUGUCUUGGAAUUUCAAAGAAAUAUGACCAAACUUACUGGAUGUGGCGUUUUGUUGUUUCAAGAUAGGGAUUUUCGAAAGGCUAACUCAAUGUCAAUAUUUUACGAGUGAGUUCCAAUUUUCAAAAUCCAAAAUAUUUCAAAGAGGAUUGCGUCUUAAAAUUUCUAAUUUCCGACCUUAAAGACAUUUGAUAAUCAAUUUGGUACCAAUUUUUGGGCGUUACGAGGGUGCUAACCCUUCCUCGUACGUAACCGACUCCCGAACUCGUUCUUUUGAUUUCGUAGACCAAAACCGAUGAUUUUAAAAUAAAAUUGAUCUAAAGGUGAUCCAAUCACACCUAAAAAGCUUGGUGGCGACUCCCGUUUUCAUUUUUUUAAAGUCGAUUCCCAUUUUCUAAAACUCGAUUUGAAAAUGAUUUCGACAGCUUGGCGACUCCACUGCGGACUAAUAAGAGAGUCAAGCCGUGUAAUUGAUUAUCUCUUGUCUUAAUGUCGGAAAUUAAAAAUUUUAAAAUUUAAUUUUCUUUGCAUUACAUGUGUUUGUGUUAUUGCAUGUGUUGCUAUAUUCUAAUACGCAUUGCAUUUGCAUGACCGUUGUGGUCACACCCUUAAGUGGGAGUGAGAAGCUACGCCUUCGUGAGGUUUUCGCCUCCGUGCAGGAUAGUGGAUCACUUUUGGGAUACAUCCGUACCUAUGGUUUCGUGAGAUUUUCAUCUCCGUGUAGCCAUAGGGAAAUGUGUCCCCCUGAACUGAACUCGAUUCAAAUGAGCCUAUAAUGGGUGAGGAUCGAGGAAUCUGCUGGUUCAGGUACCUCAACUUUAGAACUAAACCACAUAUAGAAGGACCGUAAGAGCUCAACCUAGAUAGAAUUAUACCGUAAUUAUUACCCUUACAGGUUAUCUUUGAGUUUAUUGUUAUCAUGUGAUACUAACUAUCUCUUUUCUUUUGUUGCAUAUCAUUUCGCAUUUAAAAGGUAUCAAUUCGCGGUCAGUGUCUAAAUUAGAGAGUUUUAUUAUAGAGAACGGACUUCUUGAUAGAGUGGAGAGCAAUGCCAACGUCCAUAGAUGGUCUGAGCAAACUCAGUUAGAAAAGGGAGAUAGUAUAGCUGUGGGAUAUAUGUCGGAGCUGUCAGGAUAUACUCGCAUCAGUGUCACGCAGGAUAAUCUCCAAGAACUUAAGGAGAUUUGGGAUCAAUGGGGCAACGAGACUAAACAGUUAUUCUAUGGUAAUUACGUAGAUUUACCUUACUUGCUCGAUGUUCAAAUAGAUGAGCACUUGUUCCGAGCCCUCGCUCAGUUUUGGAAUCCAGCGUAUAGUUGCUUUACUUUUGGGGAGGUAGACUUGGUGCCUACCGUAGAGGAGUACACUGCCUUGUUACGUUGUCCCAGGUUCCAGGUUGAUAGAAUCUAUUCUCGAGCUGCUAAUGUCCCUACCUUUUGGAAGAAAUUGAUGACUAUUACAGGGAUGAGUGAGCAGUGGAUUACGACCAGAAUUAAAGAGAACGGUGAGUGCAAGUGCAUUUCAUGGGACGCUUUGAAGGGUCUGAUUUUGAUGCAUCCCGAUGAAACAAAGAGGGUAGAUGUUUUUGCCUUAAGUUUGUAUGGAUUGAUGGUGUUCCCUAGGGCUUUGGGAUAUGUGGAUGAGGCAACCACGGAUCUUUUCCAUAGACUCAGUAAGAGGGUCACUUCAGUCCCUGCAAUUUUGGCAGAGACAUUCAGGUCCUUAGGCACAUGUAGAAAAGCUGGUGCAGGCAGGUUUGUUGGUUGUGUACAAUUGCUUCUAGUUUGGUUCUAUAGUCAUUUUCAAUUGGUAGAUAAGGUCGUUUGUCGGGUUUUCUUCGAGGAUUACUCACCGCUGAAGGGCAUAGUCGCUUCAACUAGGAGAGUUGAUGUUCCAGAGGAGAAUUGGAUAGCACUACUUCAAAAUCUUCAGUCGAAAGAUGUUGAGUGGAGAGCUCCAUGGAUGAUUCCUGGUGAGAUUCUUUACCGUUGCGGCAGUUUCGAUUGGGUCCCUUUAUUGGGAAUUUGGGGUGCCAUUGGUUAUGCCCCCUUGCUCGUGUUAAGGCAAUUCGAUUUGAGGCAGUUCGUGCCAGCAACUCAUGGGCUAACUCAAAGUGAGUUCGCAUAUAGAGGAGCUGAUUACAAGAAAAGGGUCGGUGAGAUCUCUAGCGCUUGGAACAAGGCGUGCCGAUUGAAAGGAGUAGCUAUUGGCCCUGCUACGACUCCAGAAUAUGUUGAAUGGAGAGGUAGAAGGAUCAAUGAUAACAUUCCUGAGCCAAAUAUGGAAAGAGCUCGACCGAUGGAGGAAUAUCUGCAAGUGAUGCCCUCGGAGUUAGAAAUUAUGAAGCAAGAAUUUGAGAGGAAAAAUCUGGAGCUCGAGAAAAGGAUAGCAAAGCUUGAAGAAGAAAAAAUGUACUUGAGUUUAGAUAUUGAUGUCCAGAAGAUGGAGGUCGAAAAAAAAAGAAAGGAAGGAAAAGAGGAAGAUUGAAGAGGAUAGAGAUGACUUGAAGGAAUACUACAAAAAGGCACAGGUAUCCUUGAGAAGAGCGAAAAUAGGAGGGUCUUCAGAUCAAUUGCAGAAAGAGGUCCAAGAAGGAAAGGCAAGAGCUGAGUACUGGGAGAAGAAGUUUCAAGAGAUGCAAUCGCGAAAUUUGGCAUUAGAAGAAGAGAAUAAAGGGUUGAAGUCUAAAGUAACUGAGCUUGGAAGAUCCCUUCGAUGGCAUCGCAACCAUGAUUCUACGGUCGAGUUAAAAGAGCUAAAGAGUAAAGUUGAAGAUUUGGAAGCAGCAUUGCAGGAAAGUAAACUUCAGAUCGAGCAACUCGAGACACAAGGAGAUUAUCUAAAGGGAGAGCUUCAUCAGUCUAGAGGGCAGAUUAGAGAAAUGGAUCAUGUCAUGGAAGAAGCCAUAGCUCAGAUUCGAGAGGUUGCUGAAUAUGUGCGAGACUUGGUUGUACGAGCCGAGGUAUUGAGUAUGAUGUGUGGGUCGUCGUCAGACAUCGGAAAAGAGUUAGCCCUUUUAUUAGAUAAAGUUAAAACUUUGGGCAUUAGGGCGAAAGCAUACUUGUAAUCCAUUUAUAUGUAAAGAUAUUCUUUUUCUAAAUGAAGUUUUCUAAAUGAGAUUGAAUCGAGAUUGAUGCCUUUGUUGCAUUCAUACAUUUGCAUUACAUCAUAUCAUAUGCAUUCAAGGUUAUAGAAAGACCCUAAUUAGUUAAAGUUUCUUUAUAAAGGUAGAAAAGAAAAACUGGAAAUUACGCAUUCUUACGGCACUCGCACUAAAACUAAGAACAUGGAUCAAAGGUUUGAGCAGUUGCAAAAGGAUAUGCAAGACCAGUUGCAAGAGCAGUUGGCUAAAAUGCAGAAUGAGAUGAGGGAGCAAAUGAUGGAAGCUCAGAGGAAUAUAAUGGCCGAAAUGGCUCAGUUACUGAGGGCCACUGAUAAAGGAAAGGCUCCUAUGGCCAUCAUUGAAGAGGAAAAUGAGGGUCCUCUUCUAGGUUUUACACCGCCGCAUGUAUCAUUGCAAACCGAGGCACCUCCUAGAAGGCCAUCUACUACUGUGAGGCCUCAGCAUGGGCUAAUCGAUGCUGGUAUCCAUGUGAAUUUUUCGGUUGGUUCAGGGCUUAAUAUGGGUGACAAUCUUACUAAUCCUCUUGUUCCUGAUCUAGAUAUGGUGAAAAAGGAAUAUUUGAAGGCCGAAGCUGCAAGGUAAUUAGAUGAACGCUGUAGAUGGUUAGAAGAAAAGUUCAAGGCUUUGGAAGGCACUGGCAAUAAUCAUGGGGAUGAUGCCAAGGACUUAAGUCUAGUCCCAAACCUAGUGUUACCUCACAAAUUCAAAAUGCCAGAAUUUGAAAAAUACAAUGGUACUACUUGCCCAGAGGCCCACAUCACAAUGUUUUGUAGAAGGAUGACGGGGUAUGUAAACAAUGAUCAGCUGUUGAUCCAUUGUUUUCAAGAUAGUUUGAUAGGUGCGGCAGCCAGAUGGUACAAUCAGUUGACCGGGCUAGAAUAAGUUCAUGGAGGGAUCUUGCAUAAGCCUUCAUGCAACAGUAGAAUCAUGUAACAGACAUGACCCCUGACAGGAUUACCCUGUAAAACAUGGAGAAGAAGCCUAAUGAGAAUUUUAGGCAAUAUGCACAGAGGUGGAGAGAGGUAGCGAUAGAGGUUCAACCACCACUGUUGGAGAAGGAGACCACUAUGUUAUUCAUUAAUAUUUUGAAAGCCCUAUUUAUUACUCAUAUGAUUGGAAGCACUACUAAAAGUUUUGCGGACAUAGUUAUGGCAGGAGAGAUGAUAGAGAAUGCCAUAAGAGGGGGAAGAAUUGAAGGAGAGGGAGUCAAAAGAUCAGCCCUAAGAAGAAAAGACAAUGAGGUAAACAAUACAAGUGGUUUUAAUUCAAAAGCAGUCACAGUUAGCCAGCCCAAAGUAGCCACAGUUGGGCAACAAGUCUCUUAAAAGCAGGAAUCCAACACUAGGUAUGAGAGGAUGCAAUUUACACCUAUACCUGUGACGUAUAGGGAACUCUAUCAAAAUCUAUAUGAUGCGCAUGCUAUAGCCCCUUUCCAUUUAAAACCAUUACAGCCUCUGUAUCCUAAAUGGUAUGAUGCAAAUGCCAGAUGUGAGUAUCAUGCUGGAAUAUCGGGGCACUUAAUCGAGAAUUGUACUGGAUUCAAGAAAGCCGUAGAGAGGUUGAUCAAGAAUGGGGUUUUAAAAUUUGAGAGUACCUCAAAUACUGAGAAUCCUUUGCCAAACCAUGACAAUCAGGGAGUAAAUGCCAUUGGUGAAGCCGGUGAAAAAAGGGAAAAGGAAAAUGUUGAUGAGAUAAGGAUGCCUAUGAGGGUAAUCUGGAAGGAGAUGAUGAAGAAAGGUAUGUUGACCUUUAAAAAUACGAAAGAAAUAAUGUGGGAUUACGGUGAGUUUCGUGAAGAUUGCGAGGAAUUCAAGGCCUUGGUGCAAGGCUUCAUAGACAACAAAGAGCUACAGGUUUAUGAAGGUAGCUCUAGUGAAAAGCAAGUAUGUGUGUUGGAAAAUGAACAGCAAAGAACCAACAGACCAAGGAUCAUUAUCUCCUUGCCAGGGAAUAAUGAAAUAAGGACACCAUCAGCGCCCAAGGUUAUUAUCCAUACACCUACUCCUUUCCCUUACAAGGAUAGCAAGAAAGUACCAUGGAGUUAUGACUGUAGCGUGACGGUGCCGGGAGAAGGAAACAUAGCCAGCGCAUCUAAAGAUGUACAAGAGGAAGGUUCCCAUACGUGAAGUGGGAAGCGUUAUGAUAUGGGGGACGUCAGGGUGGAGCCCACAAAAUCUAAGAAUGCUGAAAUUGAGAAAAAGAGUGAAGUACCUGUUAACGAGCCGGUGAGAGAGGAGGAAGCUAAGGAAUUUCUAAAGUUUCUUAAGCAUAGUGAGUACAGUAUGGUCGAGUAGUUGCGUAAGCAACCAGCGCGUAUAUCGAUUUUAGCCUUACUGCUAAGCUCUGAAGUGCAUCGAGAAGCGUUGUUGAAGGUACUCAACGAGACAUAUGUCACUCAUGAUAUAUCUGUCAAUAAGUUGGACCGGUUGAUAAAUAACAUCAAUGCUGAUAAUUUCAUCUACUUCAAUGAUGAUCAAAUUCCACCUGGGGGCAUAGGGUUAACUAAGGCUUUGCACAUCACCACUCGUUGCAAAGGAUACACGUUUCCAAGUGUACUCGUUGAUAAUGGGUCCGCUUUGAACGUCCUUCCAUUAUCCACAUUCAACAGAUUACCUAUUGACAGUUCACACAUGAAGACAUGUCAUAAUGUGGUAAGAGCCUUUGACAGAACUGAAAGGAAAGUAAUGGGACGAAUUGAUAUCCCUCUGGAGAUUAGACCAAAUACGUAUGAAGUUGACUUCUUGGUAAUGGAUAUCAAGCCCUCCUAUAAUUGUUUGUUGGGGAGGCCAUGGAUACACUCGGCAGGAGCGGUGCCUUUUUUACUGCGCCAAAAAUUGAAGUUGGUGACAGAUGGACGCUUGAUAACCAUCAAUGCAGAGGAGGACAUCAUAGCAGUCGUCACUAGUAAACCUCCUUAUGUGGAGACAAAUGAGGAGGCUAUUGAGUGUUCUUUUCGUUCUUUAGAAAUUGUUAAUACUACCUUCAUUUCGGAGGGAAGCGAGGUGCUGGUUCCCAGGAUGUCUAGAGCAACAAGGAUGGCCCUACAAAUAAUGAUGGGGAAAGGAGCAUUGCCAGGAAAAGGACUAGGAAAAUAGUUGCAAUGAGGGAUUCAAGUCCCAAAAUUGAUGGAGAAGAAGGAUCGCUUUGGUUUGGGUUUUAAGCCAGACCAUAAACAAAAGAGACAAGAGAUGAAAAAGCGUCAAGUAAGAAGGAAGGCGCAUUUGAACGGAGGAGAAGUAGAGUGGGAACUGAUGACAUUCCCACCUAUAUCCAAAACCUUUAAGUCAGGAGGGUUGCUAGUAAAAGAGAGUCAUCAAAUCAAUAUUGUACAUAAUGAGUGGUUUGGACAGGAAAACCUUGAGGGUAUUCACCCUUACGAACCGGGGAGCUCUCUGAACAAUUGGACUGCGGAGGAUCUUCCUGUAGUCUUUAGAAAUUUUUCAGAGUAAUUCUCGAAACAUGUUUAUUACUCUAGGGCCUAGGAGUAGUAAGAUUACAUUUUGUGAAAAUAGGCCUAUGUUCAUAUAUUAUUAUUCAAAUAAAACAUAACUUUUACCAAUUUAAAAGAGUAUUGUCUCAUUUUUAUCAACCAAUAUUUCUUUAAAUUCUAACAAUUCUUAUUCUUUUAUUCAUAGCACAUAAACGAUCAUUCUCAAAUUCAUUCAUUCUUUAUAUAUUCUUUCAUACCCCUUACAGGUCUCUAGAUAUCAAUGAUAUGAGCGCUAAUACUGCCGUUCCUGAUUUCUCUUGUGAGCAAGACAUGUGUUUAGAGGAGCCUUAGGAUUUUGAAGAUGUUCAAGAUUGUGACGUAUCUCUCGAUCUAUUAAGAAUGGUAAAACAGGAGGAGAAACAAAUCAUGCCACAUGAAAAAGAGGCAAUAGAUAAUAUAGCCCUAGAGGAAGGGAAGGAGGUCAAAAUUGGAACACUGAUCGCUAAUGACACAAGGCGUAGCUUGAUUGAGUUGCUUCAGGAAUUCAAGGAUAUCUUUGCAUGGUCUUAUCAGGAUAUGCCCGGAUUGAGUACUGAUAUUGUAGUACAUCGUCUUCCGAUAAGACAAGAAUGUAGACCGGUCCAACAGAAGUUGCGAAGGAUGCGGCCAAACAUUGUCCUGAAAAUAAAAGAUGAGGUUAAGAAGCAGUUUGAUGCAGGAUUUCUGCAGGAAGUGAAGUACUCUGAAUGGGUAGCUAAUAUUGUACCUGUUCCUAAGAAAGACGGGAAGGUACGAAUGUGCGUUGAUUACAGAGAUCUAAACAAAGCAAGCCCAAAGGAUAAUUUUCCUCUACCACAUAUCGACACUUUAGUAGACAACACAGCGGGAUAUUCGUUGUUCUCCUUCAUGGACGGCUUCUCAGGAUACAAUCAGAUAAAGAUGCAUCCAGAUGAUAUGGAUAAAACUACUUUCAUAACAUUAUGGGGCACCUUUUGUUAUAAAGUAAUGCCGUUUGGGUUGAAGAACGCAGGGGCAACAUACCAACGAGCCAUGGUAAACUUGUUUCACGACAUGAUGCAUAAGGAUAUUGAGGUAUACGUUGAUGAUAUGAUCGCCAAGUCGCGAACAGAAAAAGAACACAUUGAGGUCUUGAGAGGAUUGUUCUUAAGAUUGAGAAAAUUUCAGUUGAAGCUCAAUCCAGCAAAGUGCACCUUUGAAGCCAGAUCGGGGAAGUUAUUAGGCUUCGUAGUCAGUAAAAAGGGAAUUGAAGUUGACUCAGACAAGGUCAGAGCCAUACGGGAGUUGCCUCCACCACGUACUCAAAAAGAAGUUCGAGGAUUCCUAGGAAGGUUGAAUUACAUUGCUCGGUUCAUUUUACAAUUGACCAAGAAAUGUGAUCCUAUCUUUCGUCUCCUCAGAAAGCACAAUCAAGGUGCUUGGGAUGAAGAAUGCCAGAAUGCUUUUGAGAAAAUCAAGCAGUAUUUGUUGAAUGCUCCAAUGUUAUCUCCGCCUAGUCUAGAUAAACCGUUAAUACUAUACUUGUCAGUGUUUAGCAAUUCUAUGGGAUGUGUGCUUGGUCAGCAUGACGAGUCAGGGAAAAAGGAAAAGGCAAUUUAUUAUCUCAGUAAGAAAUUUACUGAUUGUGAAAUGAGAUAUUCACUAAUCGAAAAGUUGUGCUGUGCGUUGAUUUGGACCACACGGAGAUUAAGACAAUACAUGCUAUACCAUACAACUUGGCUCAUCUCAAAAUUAGAUCCAUUAAAAUACAUGAUGGAAUCAACGGCUCUAAAUGGAAGAAUGGCGAGAUGGCAAAUUUUGCUUUCAGAGUUUGAUAUAGUUUAUGUAAGUCAGAAGGCUAUCAAAGGAAGUGCGGUGGCAGACUUCUUGGCCAGUAGAGCUUUAGAGGAUUACGAGCCAUUGAAUUUUGAUUUUCCAAAUGAGGAGCUAAUGUGUAUAGCAGCAACUGAAGAUUCUCCAUGGAAGCUAAAUUUUGAUGGGGCUUCUAAUGCAGUCAGAAAUGGAAUUGGGGCAGUCUUGGUAUCCCCGAAUGGCGACCAUUACCUGUUCAUGUGCAAGUUGGAUUUUGACUGUACAAAUAAUAUGGCUGAAUACGAAGCAUGCAUCAUGGGGCUCCAAGCGGCCAUAGAAAGAGGCAUAAAAACCCUAGAAGUAUAUGGAGAUUCUGCGUUAGUAAUCUAUCAGUUAAGAGGUGAAUGGGAGACAAGAGACCCUAAGUUGAUCAAUUAUCGAAUGGUAGUUUUAGGGUUACUAAGAGAGUUCGAUGACAUCACCUUCAACUAUCUCCCACGAGAUGAGAAUCAGAUGGCAGAUGCUUUAGCAACCUUGGCUUCACUGAUUAAGGCAAACAAAGAGGAAGAGAUGAGACCAAUUCAAAUGAGUGUCUAUGAAUUUUCAGCUAGCUGUUGUAACCUUGAAGAGGAAGAAAAGGAUGACAAUCCUUAGUAUCAGGAUAUAUUGCGAUAUGUAAGAGAUCGUAAAUAUCCAGCACAGGCAUCCGAAAAUGACAAACGAACCCUGAGAAGAUUAGCUUGUGACUAUGUUUUGGACGGGGAUGUUCUGUAUAAGAGAAGGAAAUACCAAGUACUUUUGAGAUGUGUCAAUGCUGUGGAAGCCAAGCUAAUUCUAGAAGAGGUCCAUGAAGGUGCAUGUGGUACGCAUGCAAAUGGGUUCACGAUGGCAAGACAAAUCAUGAGGUUUGGCUAUUACUGGGCCACUAUGGAAGGAGACUGUAUCAAUUAUGCCAAAAAAUGCCAUAAGUGUCAGAUUUAUGGGGACAAAAUUCAUGUACCACCCUCACCUUUACAUGUCAUGACGUCUCCAUGGCCAUUUUCCAUGUAGGGCAUGGAUAUCAUCAGACCAAUAUCGCCGAAAGCUUCGAAUGGACAUCGGUUUAUUUUCGUAGUUAUUGACUACUUUACAAAAUGGGUAGAGGUUGCUUCUUACGCAAAUGUUACUAAGUCAGCUAUAAGUCGAUUUUUGAAGAAGGAAAUCAUUUGUCGGUAUGGAGUGCCUGAGAGGAUCAUAUCCGACAAUGUAUUGAAUUUGAACAACAAAACGAUAGCAGAGGUUUCGACCAGUUCAAAAUCAAGCAUCACAACUCUUCACCCUAUCGUCCAAAGAUGAAUGGGGCAGUGGAGGCUGCCAAUAAAAACAUUAAGAAAAUAGUGGGAAAGAUGACUGAGACUUAUAGAGAUUGGCAUGAAAAGCUACCGUUUUCACUCUUGGCUUAUCGAACAUCUGUUAGAACUUCUACUGGGGCAACUCCGUUCUCGUUAGUUUACUGGAUGGAAGCAGUUUUACCUAUUGAAGUGGAAAUACCCUCUCUCCGAAUUUUAACAGAGAUAAGGUUAGAUGAAGCUGAAUGGGUUCAGUCUCGAUAUGACCAGCUAAACUUGAUUGAGGAAAAGAGGCUGAAGGCUAUCCAACAUAGUCAGAUGUACCAGAAGCGUAUGAUACGAGCUUAUGAUAAAAAAGUUCGUCCAAGGGAAUUCCAUGAGGGGGACCUUGUGCUAAAGAAAAUCAUUCCCAUUCAAAAGGACUUUAGAGGAAAGUGGAUGCCAAAUUGGGAGGGGCCAUACGUCGUGAAGAAGGCUUUUUCUGGUGGUGCAUUGAUUUUGACAGAAAUGGAUGGAAAAAGCCUACCCAAUCCGGUGAACUCAGACUCAGUUAAAAAUACUUUGUCUAAAAGCGAAAAGAAUCCAAGGUGAAAACCUGCAAAAGGGCGCCUUGAAUUUUGAAAAAAAAAUGGAUAGGCCAAUGUGAAAACCCACAAAGGGCACCUUGUGACUAAAGGGAUUUUGAGUUGAAAACCUGAAAGGGCAGCUCAAAUUUUGAAGGGCAUACAGCAAACUUGCUAUAUUUGACUUGACAGAGAGUGAGGCACAGUGUACAUUGGGGCAUCAACAAAGUACUUUGGAUCUUUUAAACACAUGUCGAACUCAAGAAAGGCUUCGGGGAACUAAUGUAUAGAUGCUCAAGCGGCGAUAUUUAUCCUGUUUGCUGUCUUUAGAUUCUAUUUCUUCUUAAAGAUAUGCUAUCAAACUUAUUUCCUUUGUACUGUUAACAAUUCGAAUCCAAUUAUUCUCAAAGAUUUACUCAUCUCCCGAUAUUUUUUAAGUAUGUUGCAUUGAAAUAAUGAUAGAUGAGCUAAAAUAUUUUCACAAAAGAAGUUUUACACAUCACUUUGGAAUUUCUAGAUAAUACAAGAAACUAAAACAGGACAAUUGUUCGAGAAAUUCACGUAAGUAAGGAAUGAAGGAACUCGAGAGAUUUCUUUCUUCCAGUUCAAAAAGAAAUGGAUGAUUCAAUUCUUACAGACAUCCUCAAUAGAUCAUAGCAUUGGAGGAAGGCCUACAAGCUGAGUAAGAAUAAAGUUUUGAGAAAGAGAAAUGAAGGAAUGAAUAAUGACACCUGAGAUAGGGGUUAUAUUCACAGCACUUUGCAUCAUAACAUGUUAAGGGCAUUUGACUCAUUUCAAUCAUAGCAUACUUAGGCAUAGGCACAUACUCAUCCUACAGGUCAUGAAGAUCAAAGAUUUCAACAUGGUAGCCUAUGCUUAUAGGAAAUAAAUUGAAGACAACAGAUCUAAACUUCAGACAUUUAUGUUGAAGCAGAUCCAAGAUGAUUUGGUAUUCUUGUGUUUACAAGAAACAAGUCGAGGACAUAGCAGAUUUGACUCUCAGACGUUCUCAAAGAUAGCAGAUCUAACCUUCAGAUGUUUAUACUGAAGCAGAUCCAAGAUGAUUUGGUAUUUUUGUGUUUACAAGAAACAAAUCGAGGACAUGGCAGAUUUGACUCUCAGAUGUUCUCAAAUAUAGCAGAUCUAACCUUCAGAUGUUUAUACUGAAGCAGAUCCAAGAUGAUUUGGUAUUCUUAUGUUUACAAGAAACAAAUCGAGGACAUAGCAGAUUUGACUCUCAGGCGUUCUCAAAUAUAGCAGAUCUAACUUUCAGAUGUUUAUACUGAAGCAGAUCCAAGAUGAUUUGGUAUUUUUGUGUUUACAAGAAACAAAUCGAGGACAUAGCAGAUUUGACUCUCAGACGUUCUCAAAUAUAGCAGAUCUAACCUUCAGAUGUUUAUACUGAAGCAGAUCCAAGAUGAUUUGGUAUUCUUGUGUUUACAAGGAACAAAUCGAGGACAUUGCAGAUAUGACUCUCAAAUGUUCUGAAACAGACUCAAGAUGAUUAGACAUCCUUGCAAAUUGAAGAAGUAGAAUCAGUGUCUCUAUGUUCGGCGGAAAGCAGAUUGAAGAUCAUAGAAUCGAUCAAAUUUGGGUCUUUCUAUGAAUCUUUGCUUGAUUCCUGUUACACAGCAAUAAACAAAGAGGGGCAGCUGUAAUAGCCCAAAUUUGACCGGGUUUAAAUAAAGAAAAAAUUAGAUAAAUAAAUAAACAUUUAUUAAAAAAGUCCAUUGAAAGUCCAGGCCUACUGUUGCUACCCAAAGCCCAAAUACAAAAACCCAUAUCCGGGUAUAACCCAAUAGCCAGAACAAUACCUAAUACCCCUAAGCUAAACCCAAACCCAAAUAAGACCCGUUACACCCAGCAGCCCGUCAGACUCAUUAUCCCUGCUAGCCUAAGUCAGACCUAACCCAUUACAUUAUAGACCUUGACCCAAAACAAAACAGCCCAAAAGGCCCAACAGACUUUAGAGAAACAGGGAAACCUUAGGGUUCUUGAAUACUGUGGUGCCGCAAACAUUUCUGGAAGCUUCGGGGAGUGUCUGGCAACCCCCAAAUUGAGGCCACCGUUUAAUGAGUUGUCCCAAGGGGCUUCAAUGCUCAUCAACGCCCCGAUCAUCGGUCGUCCCUUGGUCUGGCCCCAAAUUACGUCAUGAAUGUCAUGACCAUCACCAAGGCUCCAUCAGCGCCGUGAUCAGUGUACGCGUCUACACCAGCAUGGUCACUACUGGAUCCCUCGCUCGAUUGCCUGCAAGAAAAGGAAACAAACAGCAGAUACGCAAAAAAGCAGAGUAGAAAAUGGCAAGGAAAUCACAGCAGAUCAGUCAGAGAUACAAGAAAUCAGAGAUUUCUUUCCUUAUGUAACAAAUCAGUAGGCUAUAAAAAAAGCCUUUGUAACCCUUGUAACGAUUACACAGAUACAGAAAUAAAGAAACGAAUACAAACAGUUUCAAAGGUGAUAAUCGAGUGACUUGUUCUCUAUUUUUUUUAGCCCAUAUAUAUGAACUGUUUAGCAAAAUACUAAGGGUAUUUGAAAAGGAGAAGAACUACCUGUUUUGGAUCUGAAGAAACGAGGAUUUUUAAACCCUCCGAUCUUCGUAUACAGUGGCCCUUAGGGCGGCGCGUGGGCGCGUGGAUCGGCACGUGGCGUACGAAGGCCAGAACCGGAGCUCCCUUCCUCUCUCUCUUUCAGAGAGAAUUUUUUAGUUUUUUUUUAAAAAAUCGGGGUUCAAAUGAAUCUUAAGCUGAGAAGGUAGCUUAUAUAGCUUGAACGAAACGGCGUCGUUUUGUGACCCACAGGAUCCGCGUGUUGACCCGAUUACCCGGGGAAGAUCCGCGCAUUUUUUAAAAUUGGGUUAAUUUUCCAAUCGGUCCUUCUACCCUUUUUGUGUUUACAAUUAAACUUUAUUUUAUUUAUGAUUUGGCCCUAUUAUUUUAUUUUAGUUUUAAUUUGGCCCUGACAGUUGUUAAAUUAUAUUCUGAGAAAUGUGGCCGUUUUAAGAAUAGGGCAUUUUGCCCAGUGAGUCCCUCUAAUUUUACGCGCGUUUUAAAUAGGGCCUCAAUUCAGUUUUGUUUCUUUGAAAUUCGCCCUGUAAUUUUGCUGAAUUUUAAAUUUAGUCCUAUAUUUAUUCUAUAUAUAUAUAUUUUAUAUAUUGAUAUUUAUUUUUAUCCUUAUUAUUUAUAUUAUAUACUAUAAGAUUAUUUUAUUAUACAUAUAUUAUUAUUCUUCAUAUUACCUAUUAUUUUUCAAAUUAUUUUACAUCAUUAUUUUUUAUAUUAUUAUAUUUUUACUUGUAUUAUAUGUUAAUUAUUUAUACAUAUAAACUUUCAUUAUUUUAUAUUAUAUCUAUUAUAUAUCUUAUUUCCUAUAUAUUUAAAUUAUAUUUUAUAACAUUUAUUAUAUUUUAUUUUUAUUCUAUAUUUUAUAUAUAUAUAUGUUAUGUGUAUCAUAUAUUAUCUAUUAUAUUAUUCAUUAAGAUUUGUAAAUUAAAUUACAUUUUAAACUCAUAUUAUAUAUAUAUUAAAUUAUUAAUUAUGUAUUAUUUUAUUUUAAAAUGAUGUUUUAUGAUAUGUAUUAUUUUAUAAAUCCUUUUACCUACUUUUAUUUUAUAUAUAUUUUUUAUAUAAUUAUUAUUCUCUUAUAAAUAUUUUGUUAUUAUAUUUUAUAUAUUAUGUAGCAAAUACUAUUUUAAAAUUAUUAUUAAAAUUUAGGUCUUUAUUUGUGUUAUGUGUAUACUUUGUUGACAAUAAUUUAUUCCAUUAUUUUUAUAUUGCAUAUAUCAUGCGUUAUUUUAUAUUUAUUAUUUGAUAUUACAUUUCAUGAGCAUAUACAAUGAUAUUAUAUUACUCUUUUGUAUGCCAUACAUUAUUUAAUUAUUGCUUUCUUAUAUAUAUCGUGCAUUAUUUAAUUAUCACUUUGUAUAUUUGUAUAUCUUGUUUAUUCAUUCUCAAUAAUAUAUCUAUGUAUGCAUAUUGUUACUAUUUGCUUUAUAUGUAUUAUUUUAUAUGUAUAUAUCUAAUGCACGAUCUUUAUAUCAUAGUAUUCAUUUUUAAAUGCACGUAUUAUUUACCUACUACAAUAAUAUGUUACUAUGUAUGAUUUAUAAUGCAAUAUAAUUCCUCACACAUCAUCAUUUUUUAAAAAAAAGGGCUCCAAGGUUUUCAAAAAAAUAUAAAGGCAAUGCUUGAUGUUUGGAAAUUUCGGGAAAGUAGUGCCCUAACUUAUCGGGUUGCAACUCUUCUCGUUGAGUUCGAAUAAUCAAAUACCCUUUUAAGUUUUUAAAGGUUUUCAAAAUGUAAGUGACUGUCUUGGAAUUUCAAAGCAAUAUGUCCAAACUUACUGGAUAUGUCGUUUUGUUGUUUCAAGAUAGGGAUUUCCGAAAGGCUAACUCAAUGUCAAUAUUUUACGAGUGAGUUCCAAUUUUCAAAAUCCAAAAUAUUUCAAAGAGGAUUGCGUAUUAAAAUUUCUAAUUUCUGACCUUAAAGACAUUUGAUAAUCAAUUUGGUACCAAUUUUUGGGCGUUACGAGGGUGCUAACCCUUCCUCGUACGUAACCGACUCCCGAACUCGUUCUUUUGAUUUCGUAGACCAAAACCGAUGAUUUUAAAAUAAAAUUGUUCUAAAGGUGAUCCAAUCACACCUAAAAAGAUUGGUGGCGACUCCCGUUUUCAUUUUUUUAAAGUCGAUUCCCAUUUUCCAAAACUCGAUUUGAAAAUGAUUUCGACAUUUUUUAGGCCAAAUUUCUCUCUUCUCACCCUUUUCUCUCUCUUAUUUUCCUGGUAUUAUAGUUUAUCUUGUUGAAUUUUACAUUGUUUUGAUGUUGUCUAUGGAAAUGAUUUAAUAGUGAUUGCUGCAAGAGGAGGGAUGGAGACUUUGAGGCCUGCUUUACAGAGGUUAUACAUGACAAGGGCUUCUGCAUAUAGAGAUGCUCUUAAGAGUUUCAUAGAAGGAUAUCAAGAGGGUAUCCAGCAGAUCAUGGAGAAAGAGGAAGAUUUUUCUAAAGCACAGCAAGAAGGCAAUACUGAUACAACUUGACGGCUGAUAAGUGCAUAAUCGAAGAUGCAUGUGAGUACUUCUCCAGCAUACCUAUUGUAGAUACAAGUUUGGAGAUUUGGUGGAGCUAGGUUGGCAUGAAAUCACAAGAAUGAUACAUGUCCUGAGAAUUUUCUUGUAUUGAGAAAGUGACCUUUAGAAACUACAAGUAUAAUGGAAAUCUCCAUUGACAAUGGUGAUGCUCUUUCCUUCUGUCACAAUUUAAAUGAAAUGAGAAUGUGAAGUGUAACAUUAUAUUGUUUGUUAUAUGUAACAAAGUAUCGAUUAAAAUUAUUACUUAACUCAUAAAUUAACAUUUAAAUUAUAUCAUUAAUUCUAUUUUAGUGUCUAAAUUUUUUUAAUCACAAGCUAUUUAUUACUUUUAAUACUUUUUUUUUAUUGUAGAAUAAUUAAAUUAUUUGUUUCACUAAUGAUAUUUUAGCACAUUAAAUAUGUAUUGCAAUUUAAAAAUAAUAAGGUAAGUUUUAUAUUAUUUUUAUAAUAUUAUAUAUUAUGAUUUUUUAAUUCAUAUAAUAAUUAUUUUAUUAAGAAUGUUAUUAAAUUAUAUAAUAUUUUAUUAAAUUGUAUUUAAUAAUUAUUAUAUUAAAAAAUGAUUAAAUCAUUUAUUUUUAUUUUAUUAAAAUAUAGUUAACAAUAAUUUUAUUAAAAUUUAAUAAUAAUAACAAUAAUUAUCUAUCUAAAAAAAAUUAAAGCAUUUUCAAUGGUUGUUUUGGUUGCUUAUUACAAUGCUUUUUUUUUGUCUUGGCAGCCCUUUUUUUAUUCAUCUUGUGGAUGCUAUUAAAAUGUUUUAUUGAUCAGAGUGAUGAGGGGCGGAUCUGGGUAGAAUCACAUUUUAGGGAAAACUGAUGAUUUUAUUUCGUAAUCUUUUCAAUGUAAAUACCAGCUCCUACCAUACACUCAUUUGUUGUCUUAUUCAUGUACAGUUUCUCUUUUCUUCCCCUUUUUUUUUCGGUGGUUGAAUUAAAUAUGAGAACUAUGGGAAACUGAAUAGAAUAUUUAAGGAUAUCAAGUUAUUUCAUUAACGCAUUACUUUAACCUAGGGAUAGAUUGCAAAACCUCUGCACAUUCAAUCAUGUCCUUCUACAAUGGCGAUUUCUAGCGAAAAAAUAUUUUAGUAUUCCAAUCUUAUAGUGAAUGAUUUCUAGAGAAAAAUAUUGUAUUAUCUCAUUAACGAUUUCUAGAGAAAAAAAUAUUGUAGUAUUCCAAUCUUGAAAUUUAUUCGAGGAACAUUCCCAGAAACAUAUGAAUAUUAUGUUUAAAUGUGAAAUAUAAUUCUCAAGUUAUUUAUUACUUCUUAUAUUUUAUUUUUUAUUGUAGAAUUAUCAAAUUAUUUGUUUCACUAAUGAUAUCUUAGCAUAUUAUGUAGUGCAGUUUAAAAAUAAUAAAGUAGAUUAUAUAUUAUUUUUAUACUAUUAUAUAUUAUGAUUUUUUAAUUCAUAUAAUAAUAAUUAUAUUAAGAAUUUUAUUAAAUUAUAUUUAGUAAUAAUUAUGGUAAAAUAUGAUUAAAUUAUUUAUUAUUUUUAUUAAAUUAUUUUUAAUAAUAAUCUUAUUAAAAUUUAAUAAUAAUAACAAUAAUCAUCUACUUAAAAAAAAUUCAAUUAAGGGUAUUCUGGUCAUUUUAGUUUUUUCUUAUUCUAUUACAACAUCAUUCCAUUCAACCAAACACAAGAAUUCUAUUACAGUUCUAUUCUAUUCCAUCUAACCAAACAGUUGAAUUACUUAUUACAGUUCUAUUCCAUUACAGCUCUAUUUCAUUACAGCUCUAUUCAAUUACAGCUCUAUUCCAUUACAGUGAACCAAACGAACCCUUAGCUUUUUGAGUCAAGACUGCGACAAAGAAAAUGUUUUUCCAUUCGAAUACAAAAGGUAGGAUUAAAGAACUUUUGGUUUUUGGCUUUUAUAUUUGGAAGUGAAAAAAAUAUCAAAAUAUCCUUAUUUAUAUUAGCUAUUUAUAUUUUAAAAGGUAUAUAAAAAAUUAUUUGAAUAUCAUUUACAUUUUAUAUAUUAUUAUAUUAAAUAUUUUGAAUAUUAUUUAUUAUUAUUUUAAAUUGUUAAAAUAUUUUUAUAACUUGUACAAAUAAUUUGUAUUUCAUGUAUCAUAAUAUUAAUUAUUUAAAUAUAUAUCAUAUAAUUUAACUAAUUUUUCACUUUUGACUAUCAUAUUUAAAAAGAAUAUUUAAUCCAUCAAACCUAAUUUUUUUGUAGUAAUAGAGAACACUAAAAAUUAACAAAUUACACUUUUUCAUAGUACUUUUCUACCAAACUUUUCAAAACUAUUUUGGUUUUAUUUCCCAUUGCUUUUUAAAAGUAUCUUUUAUGACCAUAAAUAAUACUAAACAAAUAAAUUCUAAAAGUAUUUUUGAAAAACACUUUUUAACCACAAUAAUGAAUAGAAAACUAACCCUAAGUUGAUGAAAGGGUAACAUAACAACCUAUAACCAAGCCCAAAUGAGAACCUUCGGCUGAAGAACUCACCUUAAAGUAAUGGGACUGUGAUAAUUACCUUUAUUUUUUCGAUAAUUGAUAUGUAUCUUAAUGUACCCUUACUUAACACACUUUAACCAACUAAACGGUAAGUUGGGUUUGCAAGCAAAUGAUUAGCCCUUGGCAACGUGAGCCCAAACUUUUCAGUCAUAUCAAGUUCAUCAGGUAACAUCCCAUCAGGCAACUCCCAAUCAAAGCAAUGAACUAAUUGAGCUAUAAUUAGACUCAUGGUGGUCAACCCCAACUGCAUUCCAGGACAUCCUCUACGGCCACUCCCAAACGGGAUGAGUUGGAAAUCAUGUCCUCGAACGUCUAUGUUGCUAUCCUUGAACCUUUCUGGAAAGAACUCUUCAGCAUUGUUUGACCAUACUUUAUGGUCUCGCCCGAUGGACCAAACAUUCACUAAAAUCCGCGACUUCUUUGGAAUGAAAUAUCCAUCAAUGGUGAUAUCUUCUGUCGACUCACGUGGAACUAGUAAGGGCGCCACUGGAUGCAACCUUAAACUCUCUUUCAUGACCAUAUCUAAGUAAGCAAGCUUCGGUAGGUCCGACUCUUCUACCAUUCUAUGCCUUCCAACAGUUCUUUCCAGUUCUUGUUGGAGAGCAGCCAUGACUGAAGGGUGCCUUAGAAGCUCUGCAAGUGUCCACUCAAUGGCUGUAGUUGUGGUCUCAAAUGAAGCUGCCACCAUGUCCACCAUUAUGGCCUUGAUGUUUUCUCUACCAAUGAUGUACCGCUGCUCUUCAUCGUUAGGGUUAAUGGGCGUAUUCAACAAUGAAACCAUUACAUGAAAGAAAUCUGUGUAAGGUUUUUGUUCCUUGGCGUUAGUCCCUUGUAAAUGUUCAUCAAUCAUUUUGUCAAAAAUUGCGUGAAGCCCAUUGCUUGUCCUCUUAAGCCUUCUUCUAUAUCCCUGCAGUGAAACGAUAGAUGGAAUCUGUAAUAUAUUAUUUUAUUCUUCAUUACUGUCAAGUCUUUGUGAAAAUGCUAGAUUUAUUUGGUCAAUCAAAUAUUUUAAUUUUUUUUAAUUCCAACCAGAUAAUUUCUUAAGUAAGGUAACGAUAUUACCAACAUGUCACAAUUUGAGGUUGAACAAGUAUUUUAAUCUUUUAAAAACCUAUAAAAUCAAAUUAUUCAAACAUAAUUAAACUCUUAAAACACUUCUUUAUAACUAGUCUAAACUGAUUGAUUGAACCAGCAGUUGAAUAGGUUUUUUUUUUUUAUAAUUUUUAAACAAUUUAUUUAAUCGAAAUGAUUUUAAUUUGAAAAAUCAUAAGAACUGAUGUGAUGCAAAACAACUAAAAGCAUAAAAUUUGAAUUUUUUAUUUUAGAAAAAAGAAAGGGGUUGGAGUAGACUUGAUCAUGGAUCGAGUUAUUUAUCUAGGCUCGAAGGUUCGUCCGAAAUUUAGGAGGGUUUAGGCAAAAUAUUAAGUUCGAAAAAUGAGCUUGGAAAAAAAUUAGGCUCGUUUAAAAUAUGGGUUGAGUUCUAGCUUUGAACAUUCAAGGCUUGAGCCCGGUCCAACCCGUUUAUACUUUAUAUUAUGUAAGUUAGAACACAUUAAAAAAAAACCUGUAGUAAAUAUAUAAUACUACUCUAAUGUAAAUAUUAAAAUAAUAUUAAUAUGAUUAUAUAACAAAUUUCAAUAAAUAAAAAUAUAUAAAAUUAUUAAAUAUUAAAAUAAUAUAAUAUAAAUAUUUUUAAAUAAAUUAAAAUAAUAUGGAUGAGCCUAAAAUGUGCUUGGGUUAAUUUUUUUUAUAAAUUUGAGCGGGUUUGAAUAAAAUUUUAGGCUCAUAUUUUGGAUCAGACCGAACUUGGACAAAUAUAAAAUAUAUUAUUAUCAUACUUAAAGACCGACUCAUAAACACCUCUAGGUUGAAUAUUUUUGAAGCUUGAAGCUGGAUGGAGUAAUAUAUUAAAUAUUUAUUAAAUUUAUAAUUAUUUUAUUUAAAAUGUAUUAAAUGGAUAAUAUACUUAAUAUAUCUAUGCAACUGAAUUUUAUGUCACUCCCAAUUUGUAAGCCAUAACUAGGUAGUUCUUUUAAUUAUCUAAUUAUAAAAAUAAUUUUUUAUAAAUAUUAUUUACUCUCUUAAUAACCUUUCACUUUUUAAAUAUAAUAUUAUUUUAUUAAAAUAUUAUGAAAGUUAUUAUUUAUCAAAAUAUAUAAUAAGGAUCUCAACUUAUAAAAAGAGUUAUUCCAUGGAUAUGUCCUAACACAUUAUUUAUAGUUCCUAAUCAAUUAUAUAAAAUUUAACUUACAAAUUGGUACUUAAAUUAUACUGAUUUUUUUUAUCUUGGGACUUAAACUUUUUUUAGUCACAUGUGAUACCUAAACAUCAUUUUUUUUUUCAAGUUAGUACCUUUAUUAAGUAAAUCGUUAGUCAAACCGUUAAAUCUAUUUAAGAAAGAAGCUUAACCUAUAAAUUGAUACUUAAGCUAUACAUUUUUUUCAGUUUGACACCUAAACAUUUUUCUAGUUACAAGUGAUACCUAAACUACCAGGGUGAAGCCAGAAAUGAAAUUUUAAAUUUUAAUAGUCUAUAUUUUUAUAAUUUUUAAAUGAUUAAAUUAAAUUUUUAUAUAUUUAAGAGGGCUAAAGUGUAAUUUUACCUUUACUAAAUUAAAAUUUUAAAAAUUUCUAAAAGACUUAAAUAAUAAUUUUCCAUUUUAGAGGUGUUGGCCCCAGCUAUUGUCUUCAUGGUAGACUUUUUUUUUUUAAUUUAGAAGGGUGUGGCUUGAUACAUUGGGUAGUAUCUACUUAAAAAUAUAUAUAUUUCUUUUUUCUCUCAUCAUGUAUACUUGUGAAAAUAUGACUAUUUUAAAAAGAUAUACACUGAUUCCGCUAGACACGGCACCAAUAAUUUUUUUAAAGAAAAAACAUAAUUAUUGGUUUAUGAUUGGUUGAAAAAGUUGUGAUAUUGCCGAUAUGUCAUAUAACCCCGGUUUGCAAGGUAACAAACAAGUCAUUUUUAUAAAUAAAUUUUCUCAACCUAUUUUUGUAAUUAAUUAAAAUUUUAUAUUAUUUUUAUAAAAAAAUCUACAUCUUAUACAAUUUUCCUAAUUUAUUUAUUUUUAUAUUAUUUUGAUAAAAACCAAGAUGGAGCAAGUAAUAACAAGAUAAAUUGUGAAAAGGAAAAUCAUAUAAAAUAGGAUAAAAUGAGAAAAGGAAAAGGAUAUUUACCUGAAGGUCAAGUGGAGCAAGAAAAGGUAGAUAAUCUGAUAGAUUGAAAAUCCCAGCCAAGAGCAUGGUCUCGUCAACUAGCGGUUUAAAUUGGAAUUUAUCAUCCAUGGACUGCCCGAAAAUCACUUUACACAUCAUUACUUCCAUAACCUUACCUAACUUCCGGCUAAGGUCCACCGUCUCACCCGCCGUCACUGCCUUCCUCACCGAUUUAACCAAUGACACCACCUCUUCCUUCCUAACCGGGGCAAAACAUUCGAUUUUUGAGGCACUAAGGAAGUGCAAAGUGCACCAUUUCCGUACAGUUCGCCAAUAGGAACCGUAGGGGGCAAAAGCCAAGCCCUUGCCACUGUAGGUCAAGUACUCGGUAGAUUGGAGGUUAGGCCUGGAAGCAAAAACAAGGUCAUGGACCUUGAGGAACAGUUCAGCGGCUUCAGGUGAUGAUACCACAAUCGUCGGUACAUAGCCUAGCUUUAUUGACAUUAUGGGUCCAUAUUUUUUGCCAAGAUGGUGAAGGGUUUGGUGAGGAAGUUUCCCUAGCAUAUGGAGGUUACCAAUAAUGGGAAGAGGAGCAGGACCGGGUGGAGGUUUCUGGCCAUUUUUGUGGUGGUUUCGUGGGCGGAAGAAAUAGACAAAGGAACAAAGAGGUACAAGGAGUACCAAGAGAAUGGCUAACGUUGAAUAAUACAUUUGGGAUGGGAAAGGAGAGGCAGCCGAUUGACAAUUGACAAUUGACAACCCCACCUUAAAUAAGAAAGGAACAAAUAUGAGUUCCAUGUUGGCGGACAAGUAAUACUGUAAUUACAAAUAAAUAACCAAAUAUGAACCAUAUUUUUCUCAAUCAAAAGAAAAAAAACAUGAGCCACAAGUGGGGAAAGAAGUAAAGAGUAGAUUUUUACAUUAGAUUUAUUUCCAAUGAUGUCCAUGCCUUAACUUAUAUAUUUUUUGACACAAUGUAUAGAAGAUAAUGUGUUUCAGUGCGCUCAAACUCAUAUACUCUUGUAUUGACAACAAUACACAUACUAAUCUAUAGUUUCUUUCCAAUCCAUAAAUAAGAAGAUAAUGUGUUUCAGUGCACUCAACCUCAUAUACUCUUGUAUUGACAACAAUACACAUACUAAUCAAACUAAUACUCAAUCAACUAUGUUAACUUAUAUAUUGAUUGAGAUUGAUGUUUAAUCUAUUUAAAAAAAUAUCGAUUUGACAUUCAUAUGACAGCUUAAUAUUUAUAUUUAUGAUUUUUUUAUAACUAACCCAAAUAAAUUGAUUAUUUACGAAAUUGAUUUAGGUGCAAAAUCUUAUACAAAAAUGAUCUGUUUUUUUACAUUACAUGUUGAUGUCGGCCAUCCAUCACCCCUUAAUGAUUGCUCGAUCUAUAAAAAAUAAAUUUUUUGUGUGUUCACGGCACCGGUAUGUAUUUUUUUUUCAAAUACACUUAAAAAAUACAGACAUUCCAGGAUUUAAAAAAAAUAUUUUAAUAGGUGUGGACAUUCUCGUUGCUGACACCGGUUGAAAUUAAAAAAAUAAUUUUUUAUUUUUUUUAGUGUCAACAUUCUCUUUGCUAAUGUGGUUUUUGAAUUUUUUUUGCCAGCGUGCUUUGGUUGCCAGGAUAGGUUAAAAGAAGAGAGGAAGAGAAGAAGAUAAGGCAGCUUGAGCAAGAACAAUAUAGACAUGGAAAAUAUAACAAUUAAUGAUAACAAUAACCAAAUUAAUUAAUUGUAAAAUAAAUAAGAAGCUGUGGAGUUAUACCUCGUAUUUUUCAGUUUUUCUUCUCUAAAUUAAACUCUAUUUUUUAAUUUUUCACUUAAAACUCCGAUUAGUGUAUAUUAUUUUAAUAUUAUUUGACCUAUGAAUUUAGCUAUAAAUAUGUCCUUUUCCACUUUAAGAAAAUAAUCCAUUACACAUUUAGGUAUUAACUGUUACAAGCUUUCGGAAAAUUUUGUGUUUACAUUUUGAGAGUUCUUAUUUUGGGUUUCAGGAUUUAGUUUUAUCCCUAUCUUUUGUACUCUUCAUUUUUGCCAUUUUAGUGAAAUUAUCUUUACUCGUGAUUUUUUAUCUUCUUCGGAAGGAUUUUUUCACGUAAAAUAUUUGCAUUCAAUCUUUUCAAUUUCCUUGUUAUUUUAUUUGUUCGUUGCUUAAUCCGGUUUAUCUCCAACAAAAAGCCAACAUGAUCAAAUGAAAGGACAAAUAGUUAACAAAAAGAGAUAGUAAAAUAAUUAUUUGUUCGUUGCACUAUAAAAACAUGUCAUUUUGGUACAAAAUUUUACACUCGGGAUAUUUUCGUACAUAAACAAUUUAUUUAGGUCAAUUACUGAAAAACCCCUAUACUCAUCCUUGCUGAAGAAUUUUUUUAAAAUAAAUUUAUAUUAUCAACACUUCAAGAAAAGAAGUUUAAAAACAAAAAUUGUUGAAAAACCCCUAUACUCAUCCUUACUAUUGGAUUAAAAAUUGUUAGCAAUAUCAACACGAGAGACUCGGGUUGAGCUUGUUUAUUUAGAUUACUUGUGUGGCGUAUUUGGAAAAAUAGAAACCUCUUUAUUUUCUAAGAUAUUUCUAUGAAUUUGAAUGAUAUUAUUAGGAUUCUAUACAGCUGAGCUAAUCAAUUUAUCUCAAUAAGUAGAGCUAUGUCGAAAAUGGCAUCUAAAUCUUUGUGUGCGCUGUUAGUCCCAAGUAUGUGUUUUUAUCUCAAUACGGAUGGUGCUGUUCAAACAAACAUUGGGUUAUCUGCUGUAGGAGGUGUGAUUUGGGAUGAAAUUGGGAAGUGGACAUUAGGAUAUAAUAGGUUCUUGGGGAAGUGUUAUGUCUUUGUUAUCGAAUUGCGGGAAAUCUUUGAUAGUUUGCUCUUACUUUAUUUUAUGAAGACGAGUGAUUUAUGCGGUACACUCCUAUAGAGAAUAAUUAGAUAGCAGAUACAUUAAAUAAAAUGACUUUUGUAAAUGAAGAAGAGUUAUGUUUAUUUAACGUUCGUAUUUGAAGAUUCAAGAAACUUUAGAAGAUGAUAGAAUAAGGGGUAUUUUAACCCCGAGUACUCCUAUAUAAAUCUUUUGGUAUUUUUGUCUGUUUUCUACACAAAAAAAAAUGUUAGCGAUAUAAAUAUAUUUAUAAAAUUCACAUUUAUAAUACGUAAAAUAUGAAUAAAUAAUUAUCAUAAAUUUAAAUUUAUGUUUUUAGUAACACUCAAUUUAAAAUUACUUAUUGUUAAUUAAUUAAAAUAAUAGAAAAUAGAAAGCCCAAGAAAAAUGUGGACAAAUUUUAGUUGAUAACAAUUUCCCUCCUUGCUUUCACCAUCGGGAAAUAAUCAACUCUCACAGUCCGAUAAAGACUCCAACCGACCAAACCUAACCAAACCAAACCCAACCACAAAAGAAGUAAUUACUAUCUAAAAGUACAGCUCAGGUAAUAGUAGAUAUUAAAUCCUCAAGGACCACAUGAUUCAUGAACGGGAAGCCUCAAAUUAUCAUUUUAUUUUCGAUAUUUCGAAAAUAUUUUAUUGGUUUUUUUAUAAAAUUAACUCAAAAAUUUUAAUUAUUACAUAGAUGACUCAUUUUUUUAUUAAACAGGUAAAUAACCUAAAAUCUACAGUGAAAGUUGGUAGAGUCAAAAGAGUUUGACGCCACCAACAUGUCAUGUCAGUAAUCGAGAUAAAAAAUUAUUUUUUUAGUGGAGCCAUGUAGAAUGACGCUAUCUAAAUAAAUAUCAGAGAAAUACUACAAUUUUUUGAAAAAAAAUAAGGGUUUAAAAAAAAUUUAUUCUUCUGGUGGAGCCAAAUAAAUUGGCACCACCAAUUUCCAAAGCUAUUUGCGUCAUCCUUUUUGCAAUGUGAUUUUUUUAAAGUUUUUUAAAAUUUUAAAUAUAUUAAAAAAUAUUAAAUAUAAUCAAUUUUAAAAUUUUAAUACAUUUAAUAUAUUUUUAAAAAUAUAUUAAAAUUUUAAAUAUAUUAAAAUUUUAAUAUUCUUAAUAUAUAUUUUUAAUAGGUGAAGACAAAAAAAUAUUUUUUUAAUAUAUUUAAGAUUUUAAAAAAUUUUAAAAAAAUUAAAUAUAUUAAAAUUUUAAAUAUAUUAAAAAAUGUUAAGUAUAACCAAUUUUAAAAAUUUAAUAUAUUCAAUAUAUUUUUUAAUAGGUAAAAAAAGAUUUUUAAUAUAUUUAAAAUUUUAAAAAAUUAAAUAUAUUAAAAUUUUAAAUAUAUUAAAAAUAUGUGAAGUAUACCAAUUUUAAAAAUUUAAUAUAUUUAAUAUAUUUUUUAAUAGAUAAAGGUAAAAAAGAUUUUUUUAAUAUAUUUAAAAUUUCCAAAAAAUUUAAAGAAAAAAAACCUCAUUGCAAAAAGGGAUGACACAAACAGCUUUGGAAUAUAGUGGCGCCAAUUUAUUUGACUCCACCAUAAAAAAAAGGAAUUUUUUUAAACCCCCAUUUUUUUUAAAAAUUAUAGUGUUUCCCUAAUAUUUAUACAGGUAGCGUCAUACUACAUGGCUCUACAAAAAAAUAAUUUUUUUAUUUCGAUUGCUGACGUGGCAUAUUAGUGGCGCUAAACUCGUUGGCUCCAACUGUAGAUUUUAGGUCAUUUAUAUGUUUAAUAAAAAAAUGGGUCAUUUACAUAAUUAAUUAAAUUUUUUGGGUUAAUUUUAUAAAAAAAGUCUAUUUUAUUCAACAUUAAAAUAAUUUUAAUAAUUUGAUCACUAUUUCUAUGAUCCAACGAUUGAUAUGAUAUCAUAAGUUCAUUGUGAUUCUAGGAGUUUAAAUGACUACUUUUAUAUAUUUUUAGCUUUUUAUUAUGUUUUUUUAAUAAUUUUUAUAUUAUUUAUAAAUUUUUAUAAGUUUUUAUAAAAAUUCAAAUAUAUUUUAUUACUUUUAUAAUUUUAUAAUUUUUUUAUAAUAUUUAUAAGUUUUUUUAUGAUUUUUUUUAAUUAUUAUAAGUUUAUAUCAAUUUCAAUAUUUUUUAAAUUGUUAAUGAUAUUUUUCUUAUUUUUAAUGAUAUUUUUUAUAUUUUUAUAUGUUUUUAUAAAAUUUUAAAUAUUUUAAAUAUGUUUUAUUCAUUUUAUAUUUUUUUUAUAAUUUAUUAGAUUUUUUAAAUAUUUAAGUUAUUUUUAUAAUAUUUAUAAGUUUCUAUAAAUUUUAAUAUUUUUAAUAUUUAAUAAUUUAAUAAUUUUAAUGAUUUUUUAAUAAAUUUUUUAUGAUUUUUAAUAGUUUUUAUGAGAAAAUAUUAGAUUAAAUAAAAAAUUGUCACAUGUUAUUAUCUGAUUGAUCCGUCAUGUCACAUCUCAAAAAUUGAGUUAGUAGAAAUUUGGUUAAUGAACUGAGUGUGGUCACGCCCAAUUUUUUUUUAGAUAACCUUAGUACAUUUGUCAAUAUAUAAGUAUCAAGCAUAGUGAUUGAAUAGUGGUGGAGGUGUCAUUGAUGAUCUGAGUUUGAAUCCCUUCUCUCUCAUUAAUUUCCAUUUGGUGUAAUUUUGCUUUAAACCUUAGUAAAAGUCACACCAUAUUUUUAAAACAAUUGUUGUAGGAAUGUGAAUAAGGAAAUAAGUUGAUUUAGUGGUUCGGAGCUUAAAUAAAUUCCUAAAUGUCGUAGGUUUAAGUAUUCACACUCUCAAAUUUCUCCUUAUUUGAUCCUUUUUUGUUUUUUUAUCUCAUUAACAUGCCUAUUUUCUUCACCUUUACCUUGUGUGAUGUACAUUGAACUUGGACAAGGUGAAUUACACAUUUUGUUUUUCAUCUUUUAUUUUUUCUCUCCAUAUUGGAGCCCCUCUCUUUUGUUCCUUCCCUCUCUUCAUUUUUUCUUUUGUUUUAGCCACCAACCACCACCUUUACUUUUUUUCUUCUCCUCUCCUUCACCACCCUUUGCCAACGAAACCCUACUAUCACCACCACCACCACUAGACCUCCUUUUUGUCACUACUCCACCUAUUCAUUUUGCUCCAACGUCACCCCUUGCACCACCACCUUGCAUCAUCGGGGAUAAAACCUUCUUUUUCUCUCAUUUUCUCUAUUUUCCCUUUUAAUUUUCUCCUUCUCCUCUCUAGUGUCGCAACACUCUUCUUUCCCUCCUCCCUAGUCGAGUUCUCGUCAGACUACUGUCGUCAUCAUUGUCGUUGCUGCGGCUCCACUGGCUUUGGUUAUUCUUUCUCUUUUCUUCAUCAUUUUUCGAUCUCCAUCACUCCUAUAGUAAUAAAAAAAUCCUAUAUCCCUAUUUUAAUUAGUUUACUUUUUUUAAAAUAUUAUACUUAAUGACUCACUUUUACAAGUGACUAUUUUUCUCUAGACUUGGUUUCCUCUCCGAUUCGAAACCCCAGUGAUCCAUCAACCCUUUCAAUCCAACCAAUAUAGAGUAAGUAUAGUGGUUGAAUGAAAACCACUAUUCCUUCCCUAAUUUUUACCUUAGGCCGAAUGUGUAUAAAAGAUCAUGGUGUAUUUUCCUUCAAGUAUUAACAUCGUGUUCUACAUUUGAUUAAUGGCCAAUCGAUACCAUCCCGAGAAACCCCUAACGUUGGCAACGAGAUCACAAUUUUCAAUUGAUUAAUUAUAAGAGUAACCUAUCGAUUAGAUCUAAGUGUGGGAGCUCUGAGAGUGGUGAUUGGCUUUGGAUCUACUAUCAUGUGUGGGUUUAAUCUAAAUAAAAUUAGAUAUACAUUAACUCUAGUAUUUAAAUAAAUAUUGUUAUUUGUAUUGUGUUUUAUAUAGAUACUUAAAGUAUUCCAAAAAAGGAGAUUAAACCCAUCGAUGUGUAUUAUACAAAUUAAGUGACCCCAACCAAUUAGUUUAUGAAAAGUAUGUUGUGUGGUUAUGAUUUUUACUGUUUGAAAAGUAUGUUAUUCUCAUUCUUAUGUUAUGUGAUAUAUUGACAUAAUUCAUUUUACAUGAAAAAUAAAUUGUGAUAUUUUGAGAUAUUGGAAUAAUACAUGAAUCACAUGUUAAACAUGCCCUACAUGAUAUUAUGUGUUAAAGAAAUUAGAUUUGUAUGUUUCAACAUGCCCAAUGAGAUAAGUGAAAGCUUGAAACCAGAAAAAUAUGUAUAUAUAUGUUCAUUGUGGCCUUAUCACAUGCAUUGGGUAGAACAUUGCAAGGAGGAAUAAUUGGUGGCUUCGCCCAUAACCUAUAUGGCAACUUGUCUGCAAAAUUGGUGGUUUAUCCACAACCUACAUGAUAGCUUGUCUGUGAAUAUUGGUUGCUUCGUCCACAACCUACAUGAUAGCUUGUUUGUCAAUUUGGUGGUUUAUCCACAACCUACAUGGUAGUUUACUUACAAAUAUUGGUGGCUUCAACCACAUAUAUUGGAGUGAUUGGAUGGAUGAGUUCUUAGGAACUCUUUUUGGAGUGUAGCGGUGAUCGGGAGGAUGUUUUAUAAAAAUUUGAAUUAUUGUUUUAUAAAAAUUGUAUUGCCAUGAUCAUGUGCAUAAAAUUGAUUAUGUUGUAUGAUAAGUAUGUGCUUAUGGUUAUUCAACUUCUUAUAAGACUCACACUGGGCUUUAAAAGCUCACCCAUUUAGUUUCAUAAUCUUUCAGGUGAUUCAUGGACGUAGGGUUUGGAUUCAACAUUCGGAGGAGCUUAUCAGAUGGAACUUUAAUAAAUGGAUUAUAAACUAUUUGAGAUGUCAUUUUAGACUUUGGACAUAGAACUUUUUAUUAGGUUGUUCCUUUACUUUAUAACUCUAAAUUGCCAUGCAUGCAUGGUUAAUGGAUUUACAAGUAUUUUGAAUUAUUGAGUUUAUUUAAAUUAAUUAUAAUUUUUACUUGAUUUUAAAUAAACUUUGUGAUUUUUCUAAAUAUUUUUAAAAGUGUGUUGCGAAAGAUUUUUACCAAAAUCAAUUUUAAGAAAUAAUUAAAAAUAUUACAAAUUCUUAAAUUUAAUGAUUUAAGACGAGACUUCGAUAUAAAAAUGAUACUUUUCAAAUACUUGGUAUUUAAAUUUUGUUAAGUGUUUUUCAAAUACUAAAUUACUCGGUAUUUAUAUUUUAAAGUUUUCGUAAAAACAACUGAAACCUAAUUAUAUCUAACAAGAAAAUGUUUUCAACAGUUGUAAUGUGACUUCCGAGAUUCGGUCAUAACGUCUAGGCCAGGUUUGAGAUGUUGCACGUCAAUUUAUUUUAACUAUUAACGUGAUCAACCACUGAUUUCAUUAAUAGAGAGGCUUAAUUAAUUAUUUUUGUUAACAAUAAAAGCUCAAUUAGGUGUGAAUUUAAUACAAAGCUUACUUGAUUUUUCACAUUUUUGUAAUUUUUUCUUGGCAUAAAAACUUUAUUUAAGAGUAUAUGUAAUAAAAGCACCAUCUAUCCCAUCAAAAUGAACAAAAGUAAAAGAAGUCCAAUUCUAAAGCUUGAGCGUUGCAGUAUCCAACUUAAAAAAUGUUCUUUUUAAAAGAAAAAAUCUUCAAAAAAAAGCUUUUAGGCCAGUAUUUUUUGUUAAUUUUUUCGUCUUCUAAUAAAAUAUCUAGUCCAUUAUUAUCAACAAAAAGUAAUAAUUAAGCUUUUGUCGUUAGUUAAAAUAAUCAAUUAAACCCUUUCGUUAACAGAAUUUAUGGUUGACUACGUUGAUUGUAAAAAAUAAAUUGAUAAAUGAAUCAAAUGAUGACAUAUGAUAAUUUAUGAUUUAAUAUGAUAUUUUCUCAUAAAAUAAAAGAAAUUAUAAAAAAUUAUAAAAUUAUUAAAAUAUAUAAAAAAUAUAAUUAAAUUGAUAGAAAGUUAUAAAAAUUAUAAAAAAUAAUAAAUAUUAUAAAAAUCAAAUUAAUUCUAAUAAAUUGUAAAUUUUUUUAUAAAUUUAACAAAACAUAUUUAAAAUCUUAUAAAAGCGUAUAAAAAUUCUUUAAAAUCUUAUAAAAAGUUCAAUAAAAAAUAUUAAAAUUGAUAUGAACUUAUAAAAAUAAUCAUAAAACUUGAAUUGAAUCAAAUUAGUAGAUUGGACUGGUUAAACAAAAUUGACAAAGGUACUAGUCCAGAGAAAGCCAUUACACCAAUUGACUUGAAAACUUGAUGUUUGAAUCGUUUUUACUUUUUUAAUAUUUUUUUAUUUUUUAAUGUUUUAUUUAAUUGAAAUGGACGGACUGAUUGAACUAGUCAAACCGAAAAACAAGUGGACUAACUAGUUCGUCUAGUAGUCUUGCUCUGAAAACUUUGGUUAGAGUAUUCAUACUAAUGGCCCCUUUGGAUGGGUGUUUACCUCCAGUGCAGUGCAUUUAGCUUUCUUUUUGUGUCACGCUAUAGUAUCACUACAAUAUCUAAUCUCAUCGCGACCGUUGUUUUUACACUAACUAUAACACCUCUAACCCGUAUUUGUCACUGGAACGAGAUUACGAAGCAUUACCGAAAUUUACAGAUCAAUUAAACAGAUAUUUCACCUCAUACAAUAUUCAUAUCAGAAAUCAAUUAAUAAGUCCCUUAUAUGAACCCUCGAGGUCCAAAAUAUACAUUAGAAACAAGUCGAGACUAAACUGAGUACUCGGAGAAUUUUUUGCAAAAUUUCAAAAUUUUUCCAAGGUGCAGGGAACACACGCCCGUAUGGUCAGGCCGUGUGGCUCACACGGCCAAUAAACACGCCUGUGUGGUCAAGCCAUGUGGCUUACACGGCCAAUAAACACGCCUGUGUUUCAGGUCGUGUGAGCAUUUAAAAUAGGGCACACAGCAGUGUCCCAAACCGUGUCCGUACCCGUGUAACUCUCUGACUUGGAUCACAUGUGGCUUGGUCGUGUGUAGAUGUCGGGGUCACAUUGCCAAAGCACACGCCCGUGUGCCAGGCUGUGUGAAAAAUAUUGAGCAUUCUAUUUUGAAUUUUUAAAAUGCAGGAUACACAUGGCAAGACCACACGCCUAUGCGCUAGGCCGUGUGUUACACACGGCUGAGAUACACACCCAUGUCUUUGCCCGUGUGGACGAAAAUAGGCCAUUUCCAAGGCCACUUACCCAAAUUGUCUUUUACCUACAUCAACACUUUAACACAUUUACAAGGCAAUACCAAUCAUUCAAAUCAAGCUAAAACCAAGUUUAAUACAUGUUAUAACAUCCCAUAUGUCUAAGUAUUCAAUUUCCCUUAAUUGAUCCAAUUCAGAUACAUGCAUAUCUUACCAAUUAUACUAACUAAAAUCAAUUAAUUAUGAGCCUAUAUAAUCUUCAUCAUAAAACCAAUUCAAAGACUCAUCAAACACAUUAUGACCAUAUAUAACCACAUCAAAAUAUGUCCAUCACAAGCCAUUCCAAUGGCUAGCUACAACCAAACAUUUACAUUGCCAUCAUUGGUCAUGUUUAGCCUAUACAUACCAUUAUAACUAUUUUUUUUGUCAUAUAUAUACCGAAAAGUCUGAGGGAUAGUGUGAUAUGGUUCUGACUAGCUUCCAACCUUUACGAGCUUCCAAGUACUAUAAAGCAGAGGAAAUAAAAUAGAGUAAGCAUUUUAUGCUUAGUAAGUUCAUAUAACAGAAAAUUAAUUAACUUACCAUCCAUUUACAUUUAAAGUAAACAUGCAAAAUUCAUCUAAAGAAAUUUGGCAAUUUGCCUAAGCACAUAUAACCUUAAAAAACAUAUUAGCCAUGUACUUCAUAUGAAUAUCAAGAACCAAGGAUGAGUUUAUCAUGUAACAAUUUUCAUAUACAUAUGUUUUCCACAUCAUAUAACAUAUACAUUUCCAUAAUAAUUCAUCUCAAGUUCAGAUUAUCCCAUGUCGGAACGUUGCCCGUUGAAUUUAUUUGAAAUAUCGAUGGAUACAUAGGUAGUACACUUGAAAUGUACAAAAUUGUAAUCCGUCAAUUCACUCAUACAAACACAUAAACAGGAAGCUUAUGUGAGCCAUAUAAAGGGAAGCUUAUCUGGGCUGUAUAACGGAAAGCUCAUAAGAGCCAUAUUCAGAAAACUCAUGCGAGCUAAUAACGGGUAACUCCGAAGAGCCAUUAAUCAAGAAGCUCUGGAGAGCCAUUAAUCAGGAAGCUUACAAAGAGCCUUUAAUCGGGAAGCUCACGAAGAGCCAUAUAUCGGGACGUUCAUAAGAGCUGCAGUGUGUCCACAACAUAUGCAAGAUCACAACCGAUUGGGAUGCUCCGAAGAGUUACUAACGGGAAGCUCGUUAAAACCGUGUAAUGAGAAGCUCGAAAGGGCUAAUAACGAGACGCUCUUUCGAGCUGUGAUGUGCCUGCAACGUAUGCAGGACCACGACCAAUUCGGGAACCCUGUAUCAAUCGAAUCUCAUUUAUCCAAAUAGGACUUAAUAUUAAUCGGACAUUGUUAGAUAUGUGAUCAAUUUUAUAUGUAUGAUAAUUUCAAAAUUCACAUAUACAACAUUCAAUUCAAACAUAUAAAUAUACACAAUUUAGUUACAUGAACUUACUUUGACAAGUAUUCGUAUACGCAAAAUCUACUAAUUCGACACUUUUUCUUUUCCACGAUCUAACUUCGUAUUUGAGUUAUCCGGAUCUAUACGAAUGAAUUUAAUAUCAAUUUAAUAUAAUUCAUAUUCAAUUCAAUCCAAUUCACAUUUUAAAAAAAUUACCAUUUUCCCCCUAUACUUUUAAUUAAUUCUGAUUUCGUCCCUAGGUUCGGAAAAUAAAAUUCAUGCAAUUUAAUCCUUAUUCCAAGCCUGGCCAAUUUUUACAUGUAACAAUAACAACCCAUAUAUUUCAAAAAAUUCAAAAUUUUUCCAUGAAUUUUACAUUUUUACAAUUUAGUCAUUAAAUCACAAUUUCAUAAAAAUUCACUUUACAAAAGUUGUUUAUCUAUCAACAACCUUUCAUUUUCUACCAUAAAACUUCAUAAUUCAUGCAUAUUCAUCCAUGGAAAAAUCUUAGUACUUUGAUAACUUUACAAAUUAAUCCCCGAGAUACCUAAAUUAGGCUAUUACAAUCUCGGAAACAUAAAAAUCAUUAAAAAUGGAACUUGAAUACUAAUUGAGCCAAAUAAGCUUGCUACCUUCAAGCUCUUCUAACUAGGGUUUUCAUGUAAAAUAAUUUGGGAAGGAUGAUAAUAUGAUGAUAUUUUCAUUAUUUUAUUACUUAUCAUCUUUAAUUAUUUUUAGUUUCCAAUUUAAUCCUUUUCUUUAUUUAAUUUUCUAUGGAUGAAUCAUCAUACUUAUCUACUAACUCCUCUUAAUGGUCUAUUUUCCAUAUAAGGACCUCAAAUUUUGAAUUCCAUAGCUAUUUGAUACUUAUAGCUACUAAAACUCAACUUUUGCAUUUUAUACAAUUUGGUCCUUUCCAUUUAAUUAGACAUGUAAUCGGUAAAAUUUUCUUAACAAAAUUUAAAUACGACAUUCCUAUCAUACGGUAAAUCAUAAAAUAAUAUUAAAAUAAAUUUUCUUUAGAACUCAGAUUUGUGGUCUCGAAACCAUAGUUUCAAUUUCACUGAAAACGGGCAGUUACACUAACCGUAGGUAAACGCAUUGUCCAUCUAAAGGGGCCCUAAGAUAUUCUAAUGAUUGGAUAAUGAAAUUUUGGUUUGAUAGUAUCUAACUAUACCAAAAAUACUUUAUAUCAUACAAUACUUAGCAAAAAAAAAAUCACUUUCAAUAUCCAAACUACUGUACUGUACUUAAAAAAUUGGAGAUAAAAGUUUUAAAAAUAAAAACAAUAAUUUAUCAAUAAAAAGGAGAGGAUCCCACAAUUAUCGUCUUAGUUUUGAAAUAUUGAGAACAUUUUAUUUAACAUGAAAAUGACCCUAACGAUCUGAUGACUAUUCUCAUUAUCCGAUGAUUGGUGUGAUGUCAUGUGCUCAUUAUGAUUUUAGAGGUUUAAAUGACUUUUUUAUUUUUAAUGUUUUUAUGAUCUUUAUAAAUUUUUUAGUAAUUUGGAUAAUAUCUUAUAAUUUAUUAGAAUUUAUUAUAUUAUUUAUAUGUUUUAAUGAAUUUUUAUAAGUUUUUAUAAAAUUUUAAAUAUAUUUUUUAAUAUUUUUAAUUUUCAAUAGUUUUGAUGAUUUAUUAUAUGUUUAUAAUUUUUUUACAAUACUUAUAAUUUUUUAUUAUUUUAUUAUAAUUUUUAUAAGUUUAUACCAAUUCCAAUAUUUUUUAAUUUUCAAUAGUUUUAAUGAUUUUUUUAUAAGUUAUUAAGAAUUUGUAUAUGUUUUUAAAAAAUUUAAAAAAUUUUGAUUUAUUUAUAAAUUUAUUAGAUUUUUAUAUUUUUAUAAUAUAUAUGAGUUAUUAUUUUUUAUAAUUUUAAUAUUUAAUGAUUUGUUUAUAUUUUUUUAUUUUUAUAAUUUUUAAUAAUUUUUAUAAUUUUUUAUGAUUUUUAAUGUAAAAAUAUUAGAUUAAAACUAAAGCUGUCACAUAUUAUAAUCUGAUUAGUUCGUUAAUUUAAUUUAAUGGUCAACAAAGUCAACAACAAAUUCCGUUAAUUGAGGGGCUUAAUUGAUAAUUUUUGUUAACAACAAAAUCUCAAUUGACUACGAAUUCAAUAUAAGAGUUAUUUUUUUUUUGUAUUUUCUUAAAGGCUUUUUCUAUAUAUAAUCCUUUAUUUAAAAAUAUAUGUAGUAAUUGUACUAUUGCCAUCAGUUAUAUGUAAUAAUUGCACUAUCUAUCCCGUCAGAAUUCCAAUACCAAAGCUUGAGUGUCUCACUAUCUAACUUAAAAAACGUUAAAAAAAACUUAUAUACGAAAAAGGCCAAAAAAAAGCAAAAAAAAAUAAGUUUCUAUAUUAAAUUUGCACUAAAUUCAUUUUUUAUGUAAAUUAAAAUAAUUAAUUAAACUCCUCUGUAAAUGGAAUUCAUAGUUGAUCAUGUUGAUAGUUAAAAUAAAUUAACGGACCAAUUAGAUGGUGACAUAUAAUAACUUUUGUUUUAAUUUAAUAUUUGCUCAUAAAAAUAUUAAAAAAAUAUUAAAAUUAUAUAAACUUAUAAAUUUUUAAAAAGUUAUUGAAAAAGCUUAAAAAAUUAUAGAAUAUAAUAAAUAUAAUAAAUUCUAAUAAAAUUUAUAAAAUUAAUAAAACAUAUUAAAAUAUAAAUUUUAUAAUAAUGUAUAAAAAUUCUUAAAAAAACAUAUAAAAAUCAUAAAAAUAUAAAAAAUAUUUAAAAUUAUUAAAAUCAAUAUAAACAUAUAGAAAUUAUAAAAAAUCAUAAAAAACUUGAAUCGAAUCGAAUCAACCGGUUGAAUCAGUUAGAUUGAAAUAACAAUAGUAUAGGUAUAGAGAAAUCCAUUAGAUCGAUUGACCUAGGAAUCUAGGCUUUUUUUUAUUUAAAAAAAAUAUUUUUUAUUGUUUUAUUUGACUGAACUGGACGGACGGUCGAAUUAGUCAAAUCGACGAACUGAUGGCUUGAUCGAUUCAACCACUAGUUUGGUUCUAAAAACCUUGGUCAGAAUUUUUCAUACUGACAUAUACUAAUAGUUGGAUAAUGAAAUUUUGGUUUGAUAAUAUCUAAUUGUACUAAAAAUACUUUAUAUCAUCCAAUACUUAGCAAAAAAUUUUCCACAACUUGAUUCUAGCAACAUUUAGGAUCUCCACUAGCUACUUUAAGUGGUAGACUCUUAUAUUAAUUGAAGAUUUAAAACUGUUGCUGCAAUAUAAGAUAGGUGCUUGGAAGGAACGAUAGGGUAGUGGGCACUUCUCUGGCACCAAAUUGUAAAUAGUAAACAAACAGAACACACAUGUAGUUUGGUUUUUUUACGUUUAUGGAGCCUAGUUCAGUGAGAAAUAUCAACUCUCUUUAACAAUUACAAUAAGUAAUUCUAACCUAUCACACAUCUUGUGACAAUUUUCCUCACAUUUGCACCUUGAAGAUCAAUACGAUCAGCAUUAAGUCCACCCUUGUGAACUCAGCAAGUAAAACCACAACACAAAUGGUUUUACUAUCAAAUAGCACCCUAAGAAAAGUUCCUUAAUCGAACAAAUUUAAAGCUCUCAAUUCAUAGAUAAAGUGGAAAUAUGAAAAUUUAGGGAUAGGGUAAAAGCACAUAAUAUUUGAGUUACCUAUAGCAGAAACUCGACUCAGCACUUGAUAUAAUGUCAAGUUUUGAUUGAUUCAAUGAGACAAAAUACAUCAUCAACAUGCGACUGCUAAAACUAUAAAAUAAUAAAUAGUAUAUCGUGCUAAGAAAAAAGUGCUAGAUACCGGUAAUGGUAAGAGGAAGGAUGAGUAAUAUACUCUUAGAAGACCCAUAACAUAAAUGUGUUAGAGUGUUAUAAUUAUGGGAACACUCUUAGGAUCUACCUAUGUGAGUGUGAAGCGUAGCCGCUUCUAAGAGCUUUAGGGCUUGACCUUAAUAGCACUCAUGAAAAGAGGUUACAAACACAUGACCAUAAUAAUGUCCAUGAAUACUCUGCAUUGACUGCUGUUGUAACCAUUGUGUGAGAUGUGUUCGGUUAAUCAAAUGGAAUAAUCGGUUCAAAACAUAAUCUACUAUGAAAUUUUGAUUAACUUUAACAUGUCUUCACUAAGUAAAUGUUCAAUUGUAUAACACUUUCACUUAUGCAAUUGAUUACCAAGAUUAUCAAAAUCUAAAAUAUUUAAAAAAUGGAAAGAGAUUGUUGAAACAUAUUCAAAAUACUUAUAAUGUUUCAAUAAUUAUAAUUGAAAAGUUAACUCAUUAAUUCCUAUAAAUAGGAGUGGAAACACAUGUAACUCAUGCGUUUUUGAAGUUUUUAAUACUUUAUAUUAUGUUAUUUUUAUAUAUUAUGUAAUUUAGAACACAUUAAAAAAAUAAACCUAUACUAAAUAUAUAAUACUACUUUAAUAUAAAUAUUAAAAUGAUGUUAAGAUGACUAUAUAAAAACUUUCAAAAAAAUAAAAUAAAAUAAAAAUUAAAAAAUAGUAUGAGCUAGCCUAAAAUGGGUUUGAGUUAUUUUUUUAUAAAUAUGAAUAAGUUUAGAAAAAAUUUUAGUCCCAAUAUUUCAAAUCGAGCUAGACUUGAACAAACAUAAAAAAAAAAAUAUAAUAACAUGUUUAAACACGCCAGGACCCAACCCUUCAAUACCUCUAUAUGCAUCAAGCCUCCUAAACACCUCCACAAUGAUCAUAACCGUCACAACCAACUCCCCUCAUUUAUUUAUUAGCUCUUUUAAAAUAUAUCUAACAAAUCCUCCGUUUCUUUAAAUAUGACCCAUAAAACUUAAAAGACAUACUUGAAGCUUGCAUGAUCUUGCUUUAAUCUUUGCCUUUUGUUUUUUGGGAGAAAGAGAGUGGUUGGCAUCUAAAAGUCCAAUUCAGAAUUUGACACAAUUAAACAGUUUGAUAUUACAUUCCCAAUAUUUGAAUCAAGCCAAUCUUCAGUUUAUAUAUAUACCCUUUAAAGAGAAGCUUAAUUUUUGUAGCUGUUGGUCUGUUUUUGCUUGUAGAACAGUUGCUUCCAUGGGGGUUUCCUCCUUGUUCCUCCAUGACCUGUUUCUUCAUUAAAAUUUAAAAGGAUAUUGCAUGAGAUCUAACUUUGAAAUGACUGCUUGAUGUAAACUCUGAAAUUUGCUUUACUACUAAUAUAUGGUAGGUAAAUGUCAGUGUCAUGUUUGGGGCUAAUGAUAUAUGAUACUAUCAAAUGUUACAGAAUUGCUUCGUUGGUUCCAAGUUUCACCCAUGAAGAUAAUGUGAGUUUUGUGCUAUUAACAUAGAAAUAAGUUCAGAAUCACGUCCAUUAUGGGACAUAGAAUAGCAUUCAUGUAAUAUAGAUUUCAUUGUUUAAAUAUAAAGCUUUGACUUAUCUUUGACGCCACUCUAAAGUUGCUCUAACAACUGGGUCUGCAUCAUACUGAAGUCUAAAAUGAAGCUAUGGGUUUCUUUAUAUAUAUAUAUUAAACAGAGAUAGUUUCCAUCAUCUAAUUAAAAAAAAAAGUACACACCAAACACCCCUUUGCCUUUCACUAUAUAUACACUCUUUUGUAUUCUUCAAUGAAUACAUACUCAAGGAGUAGUUCAUAAGUUCACUCAAACGGAAGAGAAAUCAGACCAAGAAAAAGAAAUGGGAGUUUUUCUUCUUUCAUCACCAGCAUUUCUGGUUUUCUUCUCAUUUUUCACUUUCUGUCUACUUGUUGACCCCGUACUUGGGAUCACCAGGCACUACAAGUUUGAUGUAUGUAUUAAUUUGAUAGGAUUAUCAACCAAAUAUAUGUUUGAUUGUGACUAGGUGUACCUUACCCAUUUUGUAGGUCAAGCUGCAUAAUGUAACACGUUUGUGUCAUACAAGGAGCAUUGUUUCGGUGAAUGGACAAUUUCCAGGGCCUCGCAUUGUAGCAAGGGAGGGUGAUCAGCUUCUCAUCAAAGUGGUCAACCAUGUGCCUAACAAUGUUUCUAUCCACUGGUAUUGAAGUUUACUUUGAAAAUGACAUUAUGCAGAUAUUACAUUUACAUGCUGAAUAAAUUAUCUAUGCUUCAUGAGGGAAGGUCUAAAGUUACAUGCUAGAUAUGGUGAUGUCUUUUCGAAACAGGCAUGGCAUUCGACAGCUUCAAAGCGGUUGGGCGGAUGGGCCUGCAUAUGUGACUCAGUGUCCCAUACAAACUGGCCAAAGCUACGUUUACAACUUCACCAUUAUAGGCCAAAGAGGGACUCUCUUCUGGCAUGCCCAUAUAUCAUGGCUAAGAGCCACUCUUUAUGGUCCCAUUAUCAUUCUUCCCAAGCGUGGCAUACCUUACCCUUUUGCUAAGCCUUACAAGGAAGUUCCCAUUGUCUUCGGUAAUGAAAUCAUAAUGAACCGAUUCAUUAAGAUUCUACAUUUAUUUUGCUAACUCAAAUUGACAUGAACCCCUUUAUGAUAAAAUUGCAGGAGAGUGGUUCAAUGCAGAUCCUGAGGCUGUUAUUAGCCAGGCACUCCAGACUGGUGGGGGUCCAAAUGUCUCUGAUGCUUAUACCAUCAAUGGUCUCCCUGGACCACUUUAUAACUGCUCAGCCAAAGGUAAUAAAUAGCUAAAAUUUUGUCUUAAGCUUUAGACAUACACAUACAUGCACACAUACAUUAUAGAGCUAUGGGAUUCGCUUGUGGACUAACAACUUUGACAGAUACAUUCAAGCUGAAGGUGAAGCCUGGAAAAACUUACCUUCUUCGUUUAGUCAAUGCGGCACUCAAUGAUGAGCUCUUCUUCAGCAUAGCAAAUCACACACUAACUGUUGUUGAUGUUGAUGCCGUUUAUGUUAAACCAUUUGAGACUGAAACACUUCUCAUCACCCCUGGUCAAACCACAAAUGUGAUCCUUAAGACUAAACCAAGCUAUCCAAAUGCCACUUUCUUCAUGACUGCUAGACCAUAUGUGACAGGCCAAGGAACAUUCGAUAAUUCAACUGUUGCCGGUAUUUUAGAAUACGAGUCAUCACCCAAUAGCCUUCAUUCGAGCAUAAUGUUGCCCUUGUUUAAACCAAUUCUACCUGCUUUGAAUGACACUUCCUUUGCUACAAAAUUCGCAAGUAAACUCCGUAGCUUGGCCAGUGCACAAUAUCCUGCCAAUGUGCCUCAGAAGGUUGAUAAGCAUUUUUUCUUCACUGUUGGUCUUGGAACCAGCCCAUGCCAGCAUAACCAAACCUGCCAAGGACCUAAUGGAACCAAGUUCGCAGCUUCAGUGAAUAAUGUAUCGUUUGCAAUGCCGACUACAGCAUUACUCCAGGCUCAUUUCUUCGGCCAAUCUAACGGAGUUUACACCCCUGAUUUUCCUAGCAGUCCUAUAACUCCAUUUAACUAUAUAGGCUCACCACCUAACAAUACUAUGGUAAGCAACGGAACAAAGGUAGUAGUGCUUCCUUUUAAUACUUCCGUGGAGCUAGUUAUGCAGGACACGAACAUUCUUGGAGCUGAAAGCCACCCUCUUCAUCUACAUGGCUUCAAUUUCUUUAUUAUCGGCCGAGGUUUUGGAAACUUUGAUCCAAAUAAGGACCCCGCAAAGUUCAAUCUGAUUGACCCUGUUGAAAGGAACACUGUUGGCGUGCCAUCAGGAGGUUGGGUUGCAAUUCGUUUUCUAGCCGACAAUCCAGGUAAGUGACAUGUUAAACACCAAUUAGAUUCAUCAAAUGCUUGCUUUGAGUUGAUGACCAUUGACAACAAGAACCACAUGCAUGCAGGGGUAUGGUUCAUGCAUUGCCAUCUAGAAGUGCACACCAGCUGGGGCUUGAAGAUGGCUUGGAUUGUCUUGGAUGGUGAACUUCCUACUCAGAAAUUGUUGCCUCCACCAGCAGAUCUUCCUAAAUGUUGAUCGAUAUGACACUUCUUGUGUUAUUUUGGCCAAAAACCUGCCUGAACUUUUUUUUUUUUAAUUUCAGCCAUUUUGAUUUGGUGACUUUUUUUUUUUUUUUUUUGCUUUUGUUUCUGUUUUUGGCAUUGGCCUAUCAAUGGUCCAAAUUUGUUUUCUUGAUUCUUGCGAAGUUAGGACAGUCAGCAAGCAAUUUAUUUUGUAACAGGAUCUGCAAAUUGUCAAUACAAAGAAAUCUCAAUAAUUUAUUGGCAUCCUUUUGUUCAAUCAAUCCUAGCCUCUGAAGCAUAUCUGUACAAUUUGCAACUCCUCCGCACUAAAUUUAUUCCUUUAUUUUCGUUAAAAUACCAUUUCCCUGACUGAUCAGCUCAACCUGAAUCAUACCAACUUAAAUCUAAUAUAUUCUUGGAUAAUUGGAUUAUCUUUCUAAUCGUUGGAACAUUUUGAUUUUCAAAAUAUAUAUAGUGUUUCAAUAGUUGCAAAUGAAUAGUUAUAAGUUAGCAAAAGUUAUAUCACUUAAUUACUAAACAAAAGUUGUCACUAUUUAUAGUGAUUAGUUAUGUCUCUUAGGCUCCGUUUGUUUGACUGAAAAUAGUUUCCGGAAAAUAAUUUCUGGAAAAUGACUUACUGUUCUAGAAAAAGAGUUAAUAUUUUUUGGUAUUUGGAUGAAUAUGUGCAAAAUAUUUGCUGUUGUUUGAUAGAUUUCCUGAAAAUAUUUUAUAAAAAUUGUUUUCAAUAAAACAAACAUACAUUUGAGAUUUUAUUAUAUUUUUAUUGUUUAAUUGAGUUUAUUUCCUAAAGCUUAUUUAUAUUUUAAUUAAUCAUGUUUUAGUUUUAAUUGAUCUUAAUUUACUUAAUUAAACUUAAUUGUUAAUUUCAUACAUUAAGAAAUAUAAAUUUACGUUUAAUUAAGUUGAAAGUGGUAAAUAUUUAUUUUGAAUAUUAUUUGGAUGAGUAAGUCGAAAAAUGAUUUAAUUUGAUAAAAAUUGAAGGACCAAAUUGUAAAAUUUGUAGAAUUUUGAAAUCUAAAGGUUUGAGUAGUGAAAUCUGAAACAAUGAUGUAGUAACUAAAUUAUAUGGUCAUGAAAUAUGAAAAUUUGGAAAGUUGAGCAUAAAAUAGUAAAGCUUGAAAUUAUAGGGGUUAAAUUGUAAAGAUUUCAAAACUUGAGUUUUAGGACUAAUUUACAUUAUUUGAGAAUUUACAAUUUUGAAAAAUAGAAUAUGAAAUUUUAACUGUUCAAAAAUCAAGGACUAAUUUUUUGGAAAUUUUGACAAUUUUAGUUGUAAGGACUAAAUUAUAAAAUCUAGAAAGUUUAGAAAAGGGAUUGUUUUGCAAAAUUGUACAAAACGAGGUUUAGGACUAAAUUGUAAAAUAAGAAAAUCUACUUUUGAGGAAUUAAAUUGUAGUCUAGUAAAAAUUUUGAUUUCAAGGAGUAAAUCAUAAAAAAUAUAAAAUUAGAAUAUAAGAGACUGAGCUUCCCCUUCGUUGCUCUGAAAGCUUCCCCUUUUUGUUUUUUCGAAAGUGAAGACAAUGAACAAAGCCUUAUCAGUUUAGAAAAUGUCUUACAGAAAAAGAAAUUGGUAAAGACAUUUUCGUUAAAAAAGUUUUGGUGUUACCCUUUUCAAGGAAAAUGAUUUCGUUUGGUAAUUCAUUUUCCAUCAAACAAACACCGUAAAACAAUGAAAAUGUUCUACGGAAAAUAUUUUACAUGCAAAUAAACAAACCCUAAGUUUAUAAUAUUUUACAUCAUGUUAUUUUUUAUAUAUUAUGUAAUUUAAAACACUUUAAAAAAAUAAAUCUAUACUAAAUAUAUAAUACUACUCUAAUGUAAACAUUAAAAUAUUGUUAAGAUGACUAUAUAAAAAAUUCAAUAAAUAAAAAAUAUAUAACAUUAUUAAAUAUUAAAAUACCGCAAUAUAAAAAAUUUAAAAAAAAUUAAAAAUAAUAUGGAUGGACCUAAAAUGGGCUUAUGGGUUAGUCUUUUGUAAAUAUGAGCAAAUUUGGGCAAAAUUUUAAACCCAUAUUUCGAGUUGAACAGGGCUUGGGAAAACAUAAAGUAUGUUAAUAUCAUGUUUAGGCCCGAUCUAAUCCAGCCCAUGAACACUUCUAGUUAGAACUCGGAAGUUCUUUUAAUUAUCUAAUUAUAAAAACAAAUUUUUAUAAAUAUUAUUUACUCUUUUAAUAACUUUUCACUUUUUAAAUAUAAUGUUAUUUUACUAAAAUAUUAUUAAAUUUAUUAUUAUUUAUCAAAAUAUAUAAUAAGGAUCUUAACUUAUUAAAAAAAAAUCAUGAAUCUUUUCUAACACAUCAUUUAUAGUCCCUAACCAAUUAUAUAAGGUUUAACUCACAAAUUGAUACAUAAACUAUAUUAUUUUUCCAAUCUUGAUACCCAAACUUUUUUUAGUCACAUGUGAUGCAUAAAUUACUUUUCUUUCCCAAAUUGGUACCUCCGAUAAGUAAACCAUUAAAUGUAUUUAAAAAAUAAGCUUAACCCAUAAAUUGGUACCUAAGCUACGCAUUUUUUCCAUUUUGGUACCUAAACAUUUUUUUAGUUACAAGUGGUACCUAAACUACUCUUUUUCCUAAGUUGGUAUAUAUGCUAGUUUAAUUGUUAAUUAAACUGUUAAGCCUAUUUUUGGAAAAAAGAUAAUAAUUAAAAAUUGACAUGUGGCAAAAAAGGUAAAAACUAUUAUUUUCUCUAAUAUAUAUAUUUCUUUCUUUAGAAUCGGACUGAUGGUCAAAUCGGUUAAGCUACCAAAUUUUAGUUUGAUAAGUUUUUUUGGUUCGAUUAAAUAUGAUUAAAAAUUUAUAAUAUAAAACAUUAAAAAUAGAUAAAACAUGUUCAAUUGUCUUUUUAGCUUAAUUCAACCAGCUUGUAUCGAUUUCCGAGUCAACCAGUUCAAUCCUUAUUUCGAUUUGGUUUUGAAAACACUAGUUAUGAUCAAUGAAAUUAAUUGCCAACAUCUCGACAUCAAGACGGCAAAUUUUAAGCCUUGUUAGUAUUGUCAUACAUUAUAAAACGAAAAGGAAAUGAAAAGAAAUGAAAAUAGAAAAAAAAAAGAAUUAAAAAAUAUUUUUUAAGUUUAUAUGACGUGGCAAAUUAUUAUUGGUUGGAAUUGUUUUUAAUAGACAUAACAUUUAUGUGUAAAAUGGGUAACAAAAGAAUAGUUUAGGUACCAAAAUAGGAAAGACGAACAAUUUCACUAAUGGAGAUACCAACUUGAGAAAAAAAUAAUUUAGAUACAAAACUUAGAAAAUUGGUAUAACUUAAGUACGGAUUUAUGAACUAAGCCAUUAUCCAGUUACAUAUAACUUUAAAAAAUAUUUUAUUUGUUGACACCACUUUAAAAAAAAAACAUUUUUUUACAAAUGUAAAAUAUUAAGCUGUUAAUGAGUCAAUUGACACCACUAUAAAAAAAUUUGUUGACACCACUAUAAAAAAAAAUUUGUAUUCGGUAUGGUAUUUGUUUAGUAUUAAAAAAAUAUUCGUAUUCUUUUGGGUGCUACUUGACUAGUGGACAACACCACUUAAAAAAAUAUUUUUUUACUUCACUGGAAUGAAAAAGCUUGGGGAAAUUUUAGAGUGUCGUUGCCAGACACAUUAGCGAUACCUAAAAAUAUUGUAAAAACUCACCCAUUUUUAUAAUUAAUCUACAUCUUAUGGAUUUUUUACAAAAAUAAUAUUAAAAAAUAAUUAAUUACAAAAUGGGUUGGAGACAAAUUAUUUAAGAAAAUGGGUUGUUUGUUACUGUGCAAAUCGGUGCAUCCUGACAAAUCGGCGGCACCAACCAACAUUUCGGCCAAUCAUUACGUUUAAUUUUUUUAUUGGUGCCAUUGUGUCAAGCAGCACCGAUGUGUAUUUUUUUUUCAAAAAAAUAUUCAUAUUUUCAAGGGUCUACACCUUGAGAGAAAAAUGAAAAAAAAAUUUACCACUUUAAAUUUUUUUUUACUUCACCAGAAUGAUCGGUAGAAGUUGGGGGAAAUGCUAGGGUGGUGUCGCCCAACACAUUGGAAGCACCCACAUAAAAAAGAAUAUUUUUUUAUUUUUUCUCUCAUUGUGUAUAUCCGUGAAAAUACGAGCAUUUUUAAAAAAAUAUACACUAUAGUGUCGUCUGACACAGUGACAACAUCAAUAAGUUUAAAAAAAUGUAAUUAUUGGCUGAUGAUUGGUUUAAAAAUUAGGUGAUAUCGUUGGUGUGUCAGGUGGCACUGAUUUGUAUUGUAGCAAACAACUCAUUUUCGUGGAGGGAUCACAUUGUAUGCAAAAAAGGCAUGAGAUGCAUCAUUGGUAGGAAACAUGUGAAAAGAUCCAUAGCUUGAAUUAUGUCCAAACUAAAAAUCUCGGUCAAACUAAAAAAAAGUUUUGUAGCUUACAUGAAACAUGAUCUAGAUCUGUCUACUUUUAACAAAUUAUAUUUAUACAUUUUAUGAGUUUUAUUUAAUUUUCAAGAACAAGAAACCUAAUUAUUUUAAUUGCUUUAUUGUAUAUUAUUAGGGGAACUUAGUUUUCAAGUCUCUCACAAUGUCUACAAGUUUCAUGCUUGCUACUGUCAUAUUGCUGAUGAUUCUUUCUGGUUCUUACUUUAAAAUUCUCAAGAUUCAAUGUUGUUUUCAUUUUGAUUCUCUUAUUCUUUUGACCCAUAGACAAGUAUCUUUGGCCAUUGAUUAUCUUGAUGGUUGCCUACUAUAGUUAUCCCAUUAUAGCUUAAACAUUGAAAAACUCUAACAUUAUUUUAUAGAAGCUUUAAAUUUGAUUAUUAGAUGUAAUUAAGUUUGCAAUUAAGCAAACAAAGCUCUAAACGACCUAUUGCGGUGCUGAUGUGGCGUUGUGCCGCUUUUUAAUAAUUGUUGCGGCGUUACAUAACAGAUUUUAUCCGCAACGAUCGUGAUGCGAUUUCUUUGAUGCGUUGCGCCGAUAUUGCAUCACGGUAGUUUCUAUUUCAGUUACAAUGAAGCCAUUACGUUGCGUUGCGGCCGCAAUUUAAUACUUUGGAACCGUAGUGGGAAAAAGCCAAGCCCUUGCCACCGUAGGUCAAGUACUCAGUAGAUUGGAGGAUAGGCCUAAAAGUAAAAACGAGGUCAUGGGACUUGAGGAAUAGUUCAGCAGCUUCAAGUGAUGAUACCACAAUGUCUAAAUCAAUGUGAAGUCUAUUAUGCCACUAAGUCAAUAAAUAUAAUUUCCAAAUAAUUAUAUGCAAUAUUCACUUCAGGGAAUAUGCCAAAAUCUUCAAAUGUAGGGCAUUUGGUGUAGCAGCCCGAUUUUGGGCCUAGUCGGAACAGUGGUUUUGGGACCACUAUUUCGAGGCCAGAGAAAAUUAUUUUAGUAUUAUUUUAUGUGUUAUAAUGUGAAUUUAUAAGUGCAUGUAAAUUUUGGUAAGUUAAUUUUAGCAAUUUCUAGUCCAAUUUCGAAAAAGGACUAAAUCGCAUAAAAGGUAAAAGUUGUGUUUUGGUGCCUAAAGGUGUUUAAUAGCUAGAUAAGUAAAAUUGGGGGCUUUAAAAUGGCAAUUAGACUCUUUUAUUGAGGUGGCCGGCCAAGGGAGACAAGAUUGGUUAAAAAGCCAUAUUUUAUGGGAUUUAAAGUGAUUUUUUGGUUAAUAAAAUAAAUAAAGAAAAAGUUGUCAUUUUCUCUUUCAUUUUUUUCUCUUCUCCUCCACCGAAAUAUGCAGCAAAGAAAGGGUUUUGAAGCUGGAAAAUUUCAGCAACAUAUUUCCCUUGCUUGUAAGUGAUUUUAAUGUCUUUGCUUGACGAUUUUUACAUUUUUGGAACCCCUAAAGCAUGAGCUUUCAUAAGAGGGGACUAUUUUGAAAAAUGAUAAAGAGUAUAGGGUUUUUCCAUGAGAUUAAAUAUGUUGUUUGCUGUGUUUUUAUGGAAGAUUAUGAGUCCUAGUUGUCUAAUAAACAACUUUUGUGAAAGAAAUUGCAUGAAAACACCUUAAAAAGGGCUAGAUUGCUAAGUUGUAAAAUGAGUUGUAAAUGUGUAAAAUAGUUGAAAUUAUGAGUUGCUAUAGCUAUGAAAAUGGUUCAUCUAGACUCAAGGAGUAAAGAAAUGUGAUAAAAAUUAUUUUACGAGCAUUGGGGCAAAAGUGAAAAUAUGCAAAAGUUUAGGGGUCAAAAUGAAAAUUUGUAAAAAUAUGAUUUUUAGACCCAUAUGAAUAUGGUGACUGAUUGGUAGGCUAAAUGUGAUAUUAUAGAUCAAUGAAAUCGAGAUUUGGACCUAGAACGGAAAGAAAUCGAUUAAGGGAUGAUUAUGUCCUUUUUACCUUUGUGGUAUCAAGGUAAGUUGAUAUGUAAACAAUACCAUGCUAUACAUGUAUUUAAAUGUUAUCAUUACAUGAAUUGUACAAAUCUUAAUGUGUAUGUGAUUAAUAGAAAUAUGAUGAGACAAAGCCUUAAUAGACGAGGAAAAAUCCCGUUUGAACCUUAGGAAUAGAAUAGGAUACGAGUGACAUGUCACUAGGAAUUAUGAGUCUAGAUGACUAGCUCGAGAGUGAGCAUUGAAAUGUCAUGGGAUAUGAGGUAGCUUUAGCUACAAUUGAGGUACUUAUGUGCAAAGGCUUUUCCGAGUAUCCAAUUAGUAUUCCAAGUGUUCAACGGGUAAUCCGAGGAAAGAGUUGAUGAUGGUCCCAAUGAGGUAAGUCAUUGGUGAGUAUGCACUUGAGUUAUGUUACGAGUUGUGCAAGUAUGUAUACUAAACCUAUGAGAAUGCCUUGAUAUGUGUUGAUCUAUGAUGCAUAAAAUGUGUUCUUACCAUGAUGGAUGAAAUGAUGUUGUAUCAAUUUUGUGAACAAUGAUCAUGAAUGAGUAACUUAGCCUUGACAGAUUUGAGUUAUUGCAGUAGUGUAACUUUGAAAAUACACUAAAAAUAGUGGAAAAUGAGUUAGAGGCAGAAUAAAAUAUGGGAUUAAAUCUUAAUGAGUCUAUUUUCACAUGAAAGAAAUAUGGGAAGAAAAAGAAUUCUAUAUUGUGUGAUAUUUGAAUUCUUUUGAAACAGGGUCUGAAUGAAUUCGAGAUCCCCUGUUCUAAAUUUAUAAAUUCACAAUAAAUUGUAGAAAAAUUAUUAAGAGUCAUACCUUAUAUUCAUGGAUUUUUUAUUGAGUCUAUUUUUAAGGGAAAUAAACGACAUGGUCAUUGGAAUUCUGUACAGGGAGAAAUUUGGUUCGUAGUGCACAAGGGUCAGAGUAGUUAUACCCUGAAAUAGGGAAGACUUUAACUAAUAAACUGUACUAAAUGGCUCGACCAAAAAUUCUGGAAAUUUUAUGGAAGAAAGAUAAAUGAGCCUAGUUUCAGAGAAAAUUUAAGGAACUUAAUUUAGAGUUUUAUAGCUCCAGAGAUAAAUAAUUUAGUGACUAUUUCUCAGGAAGACAACUUACAGUGAAAUUAUGAUUAUGUGGUAAACAUUGACAAAAAUUUGUUAAUGAGUUGCUUAUUGAUUUCUUAUAAGCUUACUAUGAUCUGUAGGUGUGAAAUUCGAAUAUAUUAAAUAUAUAUAUUAUAUUUUGAAAGUGAUGCUUGAAUAGUCGAAUAAUGACUAGUUUAAAGUUGUUGAAUUUAAGCUCAAGAGCAUAGAAGGGCAAAUUCGGAUAAGGGAAAAGAGAAAGUAAUCGAAUAGCCGUUGUAAUCGUACGACAACAUUCGAGGUAAGUUCAUAAGUAUAUAAAAAUUAUUGUGAGGUUGAAAUAUGUAAUAUGUGUAUUAGAUUUGAUGCACUACGUGUGCGAUAAAGGCAAUAACUACAACAUUUAAAAUGGCGCUGGGUGCGUGAGAUUGUAAUAGCAUUGGCUGAGUAAAUGGAACUAUGUGGGUGACAUAGAUAUAAGUUCGGUUUAAUGUAAUGGCACUAAGUGUGCGAUAUAAUUAUAGCUUCCGCUAAUUAAUUGGCACUAAGUGUCGAUAUAAUUAUAGAUUUGGCUAAUUAAUUGGCACUAAGUGUGCGAUACAAUUAUAGCUUCGGCUAAUUAAUUGGCACUAAGUGUGCGAUACAAUUAUAGCUUCAGUUAAUUAAUUGGCACUAAGUGUGCGAAACCAUUAUAACUUCGAUUAAUUAAUUAGCACUAAGUGUGCAAGUUUGUUGAAUGUUCAAGGAUGAUUGAAUGAAUUAAUGUUUCGAGCAUUGAAAUGAUAAGCAUGACAGAUAAGAAGGUAAUGGUACAGGUAUGUACGAAACCUAUGUGGUGGAUGAUGUUAAGUAUGAAGUAGAUGAAAAUUUAUGUAAAUGAAUGGGGAAAUAUUAUUCGGGCCUUUGAGCCUAGCAGGCUAUAAUGUCAGUGAGAUACUAUUCGGGCUUUCGAGCCUAGCAGGCUAUAAUGCUGGUGAAAUGAUAUCGGGCCUCGAGCCUAGUAGGCGAAAUGCCGAUGAUUUGAGAAAAGUCUAAGACUAAGGUACCUCGUGUUAGAUUGACAAAUGAAUACAUUCAAUACGUUAAGAGGGCCAGGUACGCAUUAUGUACUCAUAUGUGAGUUUGAUUUGAAUUGAAUCAUAAGUGUGAUGUGAUACAUAUGUGAAUAAAUGUUAUAACUAUAUAUAUGACCAUGAUACAUUCGGUCAAGGUGUGAAAGUAUGUGAAAGUAUUUGAUUUAUUUAUGUUAUAUGAAUUCUGAUUAAGUGUUAUAAGAAUGAUGAAUAUGCAUUAUGUGCUUGUGUAUAUUCGGCCAGAUGGCAAUAUACUUAAAAUAUGGCCUCUUGAGAAAUUGAAUAAUCGAAGUAUAAUUGUAUUUAUUUGUUUGCGGAGUUCGCCGGAGAUAUUAUCACACUGUCGAGCUAACACUAUGGGUGUAGUGAUUUCAAAUACUUUGAGUCUAUGGCAUGUAUAGGUGUGUAAAUAUUAGAGUAUGUGAUUUGGCUUUAACCAUAUGUGUUGGCCUAUUUUGAUUAUAGGGUUGUAAAUCUAUUUUAAUUAUGCAUGAAUGUGCUAUGGUAUUAUGUGACGAGUUUAUAAUGAUUAAAGCAUGAAUUUUCCAAGUUUUUCUUAAGUUCUCGGUUUAGUCCCGAACCACCCCAGAUAUAUGUUUUGGGUCUCGUGAACCCGUUUAAGGGACAAGAUUGUAUGUGAAAAGAAAAGUUUUUAAUUAUUUGAGAUUUCAUGGCCCUGUUUAGUGUAGAAGUGUUAGUAAAAUUCAAGUAGCACCUCGAACCCCGUCCUAGCGUCGGAUGCAAGCGAGGGGUGUUACAUUUGGUCUAGUGGUAUGAUUUUAGCUUCGGACGCGAGAAGUCUUGUAAUAGCUCGAUUUUUAGUGGUGUCGGAAACAGUGGUUUCAGAGCCACCAAAUCUGGCAAGUAAGUUUGUAAAUAUUAUAUUUAAUAUUUAUGAGUUAUUUUUUAUUUUAAAAAGGUUUUUGAUAUAGUGAUUUUUGUUGUAUAAAUGAUUUAUUAAGUUCAAGUGGUUUUAGAAAAUGAGGUAUUGAGACCUCGUUUCUAUAAACCGAGCCGCAAAUAUUUAUAAAUAUUUAUGGAGUGUAAUUAAGGUGGUAUUAAAUUUUUUUUGGAAAAUUUUAUCGUUUCGAUAGUUAAUUAAGCAAAAAGGGCUAAAUCGCAUAAAGUGUAAAAGUUGUGUUCUAUAAGUAAAGGUAUUAAAUAGCUAUAGAACUUUAAAGUGGAAGUCCUUAUACGGUAAAUAAACCAUUAAAGGUGAUAGUGGAUGUGCAUAGCUUGGCAUUAGUGUAAUUUUUAAAUAGGUAAAAGUAAAAUAGUAAUUUGAUUAUUAAAUUAAAUUAAAUAAAAACCAAAAUGUUAUAUCAUCAUUUUGGUGUCUUCUUCAAGAAUGAAAAGGAAAAAGAGAAGCCAUGGAUGCUGGAAAAUUUCAGCCAUGUUUUUUCAUUGCAUGUAAGCCCUUAAGCUAUUAAUUUCUUGUAAUUUUUAUGUUUUUGAGAGCGUUGCAAUUAGGUCCAGCUAGCCCGUACCUUUGAUUUUAAACUGUUAAAGAUUUUGAAUGUUGCCAUUGAUGAAUCUUGUGAUUUUUGAUGUUAGAUGAUGAAUUUGGAAUGUUGAUUUAUAUUUAAAAGUAUUUUGUUAAGUGGUUUUGAUGAAUUUUUUGAUUAGGGACAAAUUUGUUAAAUUAAUAAAAGUACAAGGAUUAAAUGUGAGAUUUUUGCAUAAAUGGGAUGUUUUGGAUACCAGGAAUUUUUUUCUAAGCUCAAUUUGGGGUAAAAAUGGUUAAUUUGCAUGUUUUGGGCUCAGGGACUAAAUUGAAUAAAAGUAAAACUUUAGGGAUAAUUUUGUAAAAAUGUCAAAAAUGAAAAAAUUGUAUGAAAUGAAUUUUUUAUUGUCUAAAUUAAUAUAUUGAAUGAAAUUAUUAAUUUAGAUCAAGAUCGGGUGAAAAAUCGAGUUAAAUAGUAAAUUAUCAAAAUGCCCCUGAACUUUGGUAUUUCUGUAAUUUAGCCAGGUAAGAUUUUAUGAACUAUACUAUGUAUAUUGUUGAUUAAAUUGGAUAUAUAUAUUAUACAAUUUAGCUUAUAAUGAAACGAGGAAAAUUCAACAACGCACAACGACUAUCGAGUCUCGUUUGAACCUUAGGAAUAUUUAGAAUACGAAUGACAUGUCAUUAGGGGUUACCGUGUUAUGGGUGCUGGUCUUAUAUGUCCUAUCGAUGGCUGAGUUUCCAGCAUUUGUUGCGGUUACUUGACAGCUUGUGUUAGCAGCACCAUGUAGCUACGUCUCGACUGACAGCUUGUGUGAGCAGACCCAGUUAUGGCUCAAGUGAGAGCAUUGAUAUGAGAUAUGAGAUAGUAGUGGCUUCGACCACGUGUAGGCACAUAGUGUGCGAGACUCCAUUGUAUCCGAUAUUAUUCUAAGUGGUUUAACGGGAAAUAUGCUAUUACGAGACGCUAUGAGUUUGAUACAAACUAAUACUAGUAUAUACAUGAAAUAUAUGGAAAUGAUGGUACAUGAUAUAUUGAUAUAUUGAAAUGGAUGAUAUAUGUAUAUGAUGAAACGGAAAGAUAAUGAUAUGUAUCAUGACAUGCACAUAUAUGAAUAUCUUUGAUAUAUUGAUACAUGAUAAUUAUGUAAGUUGAGACAAGUAAUGAACUCAAUUGUGACAUGUUGAGAAAAUAAAAUUAUCAAUGUUGAAUUUAUAUGAAAUAUGUUCAAGUACGCUAACAUGUGUUGCUGUUUGAUGCUUAGGCAAGUGCCAAGCUGUUGGCUGAAUGAUAUUAUGUUUACAUAUAAGUCGUAUUGAAAUGGUAAGUGCUCAAAUGAAAAUAUGCUUAUACUCAUGAAAAAGUGAUAAUGUUUAAAAAUUAUGCAAAUUCUUAGGAAAUGGUUUAUCAUGUGAUUAAUUCUAAAAGAGCUAUGCUUAAAUGCACUACCUUGUGGCUAUGGUUGAUGAUAUGCUUGUGUCUUGUGUACUAUGUAUAUGAAAUGAGUGAUGAAAAAGAGAAUGAUGAGUUGAAUUGAUGAUGUUAUUUAAGCUAAAGAAAGUAAAUGUAAUGGAAAGUAAUGACAUGCAAAUGAAAGGAAGAAAAUUGAAAGAGAUUUAAAGUUUUCAUAAAAUCCUACUUUGUUAAGGAUGAUAGGUAUAAGUGAUGUUGUGGAAUUAUUCAAUUUCUAAGUUGUUGAAUUUGGUUUCAUGAAUCGUGUGGUAUCGGUAUAUGAUUAUUCUUGAUAUGUAUAAAUUUCAUAUUUGAAAUGGAUAGAUAUGAUUAAAGUUUAUACGAGCUUACCUUAGCAUUAUUGCUUACGUAGUUAUUUUUCUUUACUUACAGACUAUUGGAAGCUCGAUUGGGUUGGAAGCUCGUCAAAGAUUUAUCACACUAUCCAGCAAUUAUAUCGGUAGAUUUUGAGGUCUUGGUUAAGGUUAUAAUGGCAUGUAUAGGUAUUUUGGCUAAUGUUAGCCCAUGUGUUUUGGGUGUGGAAAUGACUAUUUGGUUAGUUUGCAUUUUGGCCUUGUGUUGGUAAAAUGAUAUAUAUUAUAAGGUGAAUAUAAUUAGCCUUGUAAUGGUUGAUAUAUGACUUAUUAUGGUUGAAUGAUGGUAGAUAGAAAAGUAGUUGAAUGUGCAUAUUAGAUAUGACAUAUAACUUGUUGUGAAUUGGUGUUUUGCCAUAUUAAGCAUAUAUGUGUUUUGAUGCUAUUGAUUAUGUGGUACGGUUGGUACCAAAUGGUAUGUUUUGGUAAGUGAUUUACAUGUUGUGUAAUGUUGCAAAUUUAGUUAGAAGUCAAUCAAUUAUUUUGGCCAAAUUGAGUACAUGGUUAAACAACCAUACAUGUUUUAAAUGUUGUCAUUUGAGGUGCCUUUGGGCAUAUUGGUUGGAUGUUAUUAUACCAUAUGUGUUUGGUUUGAUUAAGCAUGAUUUUGGUGCCUUUUGAGGGCUCACGUAUAUGUGCAAAAGGGAUUUUAGGUACAUGUUGAAAAGGACAAGAAAAAUGGUUUGUAAAAUAGCCUAUUUUCGUCUACACGGGCAGAGACACGGGUGUGUGUCUUAGCCGUAUGUGACACAUGGCUAAAUAACACAGCCGUGUGUCCCCUGUAGUUUUCAAAGGAUUGUAAGUUAGGUUUUAAGCGGCCUGGCCACACAGCCGUGUGACCCUUGCAGUUUGUAAAUUUUCAUUUUUUCCUUAAAAUUUCUAUAUGUUUUUGUUUUAGUCCCGAUUUAUUUCUAAUGUGUUUUUAAGGCCUCGGGGGAUCGUUUAAGGGACAAUAUGUAUGCUAUUGAUUAGUUUUACUGUGAUUGAUGAUAUGAAUUACAUGUUUUAUAAUUUUUUAUAGUCCUGAAAUGUAAACUCUGGUAAUGCUCUGUAACCAUAUUCUGACGGUGGAUACGGGUUAAGGGUAUUACAAGUCUCGAAUUUAAUUCAAAAUACUUUUAAAACCCUUUUAAUAAGAGUUUUGCAUAAUCAUUUAACUACCAAAAAUAAUUGCCUAGGUCGUGUAUAGAAACAAGUCUAUACUAAAUAUAUCAAUAAAUGUCACAUCUCAAACAUAAAAAAUAUAACAUAAAUUUUUUUAUAACCAUCAUCAUAAACAUGUAUGAAAUUUAAUUCAAAAUCCAACCAUUCAAGCUCAUAGAACUUUUCAUUUACAAUUGUUCAUAAUAUUUCUCUAAAUAAUUAACAUAUGGAAUAGUAUAAAACGUAUGAACGACUACCUUUAACAAUUCUUUGAACUAAAUCAAAUCCGAAUAACCAUAAAAGUCAUUGGUUUAUUAACACAAAUUUGCAUACUAGAUAUGUUUUAAUCAAAUAUAUUAUUUAAUUAUAAAACCUACAAUAGCAACAUAAAUAAAUCAGUUAAUAUUGAUUUUUAUGAACAAAUUAAAUGCUUAAAACAAUAUGUAAUCCAUGUAAUCAAAACUUAAAAAGAAGACCAUCUCAAAAUAUUUAAAUCAUAUAUCAAGUUGAUUUAAUAUUUAAAAACGUAAUUUUUUUCUUUUCUUUUUUUGUUCUGUGUUGAGUCUUGAUAAUAAGAAGUAAGCAAAUUAAACUUCAGUAAUAGACUUUGAAUCCAACCAAAAUCUAUUAAUAGCAAAUUUUGAGAGUGAAUCUUAUUUUCCAAGUAUACAAAAGGUACGUAACCAAUGACUCUUCAUAAAUAAAUUGUCUCUCUUCUUAAAAAGUUCUCGAAAAUUAUUAUUCUUUUCUUGCUUUUUUCAUUUUUUCACUUCUAGUGGUGAGAAAAAAUUAUUACUACAAUCUUCAUGACUAUUAUUAUAGUCCAAUUUACUACAUCCAUGUUAAAAAUUAUGUCUUUCGAAUUUAUUACAUAUUGUUACAUUCUCUUCAGGGAAUUGGGGAAUUGUUAGGUUUCGUAGUUAAAAACUUUUGUUCAAUCAUAAGUAAAUUUUUUUUCAUGAUAUUGCUACCAUAGGGGCACAUUUGAAUCAUGUAAAGUUGAAUAAGUUCUUCCUUGUAAGGUUUUUAUCAGUAAUGUUUUUUCACGUGAUUUUAAUUGAGAACUUAUUUUGAAUACUGUAGAAUUAUACUCACAGUUUUAAAAAACUUGCAACUUCAGGUGUAUCAAACCAUAAUGAGCUUUAGAUAGAUUUACCAUAUUUUAUUUCUUAUAAGUAGAUCUUUAACAGUUAAAUAUUUUGCUUUCAGCUCCUUAAUGAGGAUGAUGACCAAAGGAGAUCACAAAAAUAGUCACAAUUAAUUCAAUUUAAUAACAAGAGUAAUCAAUAACUUAAUCCUCCUUUUUUUUAAUCAUUUCAAAAUAGAUAUUUAUAGCAAUAGUGAUUCAUAUGAAAUAUAAGCUUUUCUUCAUUCACAAUCUCAGUAUGAGAUCCAUUACAAUGAAUAUAUUUUAAAACUAAUGCAUUAACCAUAAAAAAAAUUGUUCUUUUAGAUAUUGAUAUAUUAGGUCUUUUGGAGCUUUCAACUAAUUUUGUACUAUCAAAUAUUGAAAUAAUAUUUGUUUAUUUCAAUAACAAAUAAGGUAAAUAUUUUCUAUUUGUAAUGAUAGAAUUCAUUACUACAUUCUCAUAUCAUUCCUCAAAGAAUAUUAACGAAACAAAAUAUUUGGACAUAUGCCACAUAUGUGGUCAAUAAUCUUUCAUAUCACAUUGAUAACAUAUGUUAUCUUUAACCUUUAAAGAAUUAUCUUGAAAAUUCUCAUUGUUCUUUUAUUUAUUAUUAUAUUCUCACUUUUAUUGGUCAAUGAUUAUAUCUUUCAAUUUCUUUAUAUUUUCUUUCACUCCAGGGAAUGCAACAAAUUUGGUAUGACAAACUUCUAAAUUCCUUCAUUGAUUAUUUAUUUCAUUAUCACAAUCGCAAAACAUGCGUGGAUUUCAAAUCAAAAUCUAUUUAUUCAUAUUAUCAUGAUUAGUCUCAAUUAUAAUAAACAUGAUAUAAUAAAUAAAUCAUAGUAAAAUAUACUUAAGAUUCUUUAACAUCAUUGUUAUCACCCUGGCUAUUAUCACUAGCACCAUAAUGCAUAGGCCUCAAUUGAGGACUUAAAUAACAAUAGCUCUAGAAGGCAAUCGACAAUAGCUUGAGUAGCAAAUUUGAGUAACCGGCUAUUGCAUUAGUUGUUGCUUGAAAGGGGUAAGGCUUGGUGAAAGGGAAAAAAAUUUUGUGACUAAUGAAGAAAAACAGUUAAAAGAUAAUCGUGCUGAUAACGUGUUAUAAAAUAAAUAGACAGAAAGUAAAGAACAAAGAAAAUGAGAGAGAGCAAAAAAAAGCGUAUUUUAUUGAUCAAUCAGAGCAUUUAUAAAAUUUCUUCAAAUUCUCUAUUUAUAUGCAUAAGAAAUAUAAAUGAAGUAGCGAUCUACUUCUAAUGGCUAUUAGAAUUUAAAGUACAUCAAAAAUUAUCUUGAUCUUUAUAGACAUCCACUUAAUAAGAUAUUCAUAACAUGUAUAAUAAUAUUAAUUAUUUAAAAAUCAUAUAACAUAACUUUUUUUUUACUUUUGACUAUCAUAUUUAAAAAGAAUAUUUUAACCAUCAACCAUAAUUUUUUACGGUAAUAGAAAAUAUUAAAAAUUCAUAAACCACAUUUUUUUACCUUAUUUUUCAAAACCACUUUAUUUUUAUUUCCUAUAACUUUUCAAAAGUACUUUUGUGGCCAUAAGAAAUGUUAAACAGACAAAUUCUAAAAACAUUUUUGAAAAACACUUUUUAACCACAACAACUAAUAGAAAACUAUCCCUAAGGUGAUGAAAGGCGACAGAGCCACCCAUAACCAAGCCCAAAUGAGAACCUUCAGCUGAGGAGCUCACUUAAAACAACGGGACUAUGAUAGUUACCUUUAUUUUUUCGAUAAUUGAUAUGUAUCUUAACGUAUCCUUAAUUAACACACUUUAACCAACUAAACGAUAAGUUGGGUUUGCAAGUAAAUGAUUAGCCCUUGGCAACGUGAUCCCAAACUUCUCAGUCAUAUCAAGUUCAUCAGGUAACAUCCCAUCAGUCAACUCCCAAUCAAAGCAAUGAACUAAUUGAGCUAUAAUUAGACGCAUGUUGGUCAACCCCAACUGCAUUCCAGGACAUCCUCUACGGCCACUCCCGAACGGGAUGAGUUGGAAAUCAUGUCCUCGAAGGUCUAUGUUGCUAUCCUUGAACCUUUCUGGAAAGAACUCUUCAGCAUUGUCUGACCAUACUUUGUGGUCUCGCCCCAUGGACCAAACAUUCACUAAAAUCCGCGACUUCUU